Molecule: long non-coding RNA, 102553 nt
Filed under: Setaria italica (foxtail millet)
Lineage: Eukaryota; Viridiplantae; Streptophyta; Magnoliopsida; Poales; Poaceae
Description: long non-coding RNA (SITA_LNC004628)
Source: RNAcentral
AUGAAAUCUACUAAAUAAGACUCAAGAAAGAAAAGCAAGAAAAGGAAAUCAACGCACACGGCAAGAAUUGAAUAAAAUAUUCUGGAGAUAGAGUUGGUUAGGAUAAGCUUGAUUAGAGAUAGAGUUGGAUUAGUUAGAGAUAGUAUUUUGAUUAGAAAAGAUUGUGUACAUGACUUGCCUUGUACGUGGUGCGUCAGAGGCCAUCCGCCCUAUAAAUAUAAGGGUCGUGGCCAUUGUAAUUAUCAUCACACCAUCAAUAUACAACAUAUUUAUCUUUUACCUUUUCGGCUUCACGCCAUUGCAUUAGGAGUAGGAGUAAUGUAGCUUCUCGACGAGUUCCUUCUAGCAAGCUGGGCUGCAUCGACUUCGAUCUUCGGUGAGCUGCAAGUUCCGUCACCAGGUGUUCUAGGCUUUAACCACCGGGCGCAUCGCUAUGGUUUCGUCUAGUUUCUUCUACCAGUUACCGAGUAUCUUGGAUCUUUGACUUACGGCGCAUCGCUUCUAUCUCGAUCUACGGUAUUCACCAGUUAUUCCGCCUUGAUUAAGCUUGCAUCGGCUGAUAUGUAUCUGUUCUUUCGUCUUGCCGUUCAAUUUGCUUUAGUUAGCUUUAGAUCGGUUCAUCAUAGACAAUAGAUCAUUUAAUAGCAUGUUGCAUCUUGAUCUUAGCUAUCCUUCGAGUGUUGUUGGGAGUAUGUUCCGUUGUGAUUGGAUCCAUCGGCUAGCAGGGUUUAGAUUAACGUCUUGCUAAAUAUUUCUAGACUGCAACUACCGGGCACAUUGUUGUGGUUUCACCUAGAGAUAUUGGUGGUGACGUUAGUUUAGAUCUCAUCGGCUUGUGGCUCUAGCUAUGGCAGGGCAACAACUCAACAUCAUCCUGUUUUCAAUCGACCGUCUAACUGAUAGUUAUUGUAAAUUAUAUUAAAUCGGCUGGAUGGCCGAUGAAUCACUCACAUUCAUCAAGGUACUGGAAUCGGCUUCACAGCCGAUAUAUUUGUCAUGAUUUAUUUUGUUGCACCAUUAUCGCUACUGUGCUAGGAUUAUAUCGGCCUAAUCGGCCGGUUUCCUCGGACUUCACAACGACUAUCAUCUCCUUGUCAGUUGAAUGGUCAAACUGACUGGCAUGCCCGCGCACACCACACGUGCCGAUUUGGAUUCUGCACUAGAGUUAAGCAGAUCUCCCAGGUUCUCAUGUGCUGAUGCAGGGUCCACCACCGCCAGGAUUUUGUGUCAACACCUUGUAAUCUUCCUUUGAUUUCCUCAAUGAUUCGAAGACAAUAACCUUGCUUCUAUCAAUGAUAAUUAUAAGGAGAACCUAGUGGAAACUGUGUAUUCAUAUUAGAACUACCUAUGGUUAAUUAGGUUAGGAAAGGAAAUCGAAAAUAGACCGUACCCACACUUACUUAAAGUUGUUGGGCAGUAGUAUGUAAUGCUUGUAAUUCUGUUACUCCAAGAAUUUGUAUAUGUAGUCCAAUGUAGACUUUGGUUGAUCCCAUAUUUGUUGUUGGUUAAAUAAGUGUUUCUAGCCAUUUCUAGCCGUUAGAACCGGAACUAAAGGGGGCUCUUUAGUACGGGUUGAUAUUACUAAUCGGGACUAAAGAGCCCCCAUUACAGUUGGUUUUUGGACGCGGAACUAACAACUCCUUUAGUCCCGAGUCCAAAAACGACUGAGAUAGAAGGUCCUUUAUCUACCGUGAAUAUUGCCAGAAAGAAUUGAAAGAGACCGCUUGCUAAAAAUAUGUCAUAGAUGCAGACCAAGCUACCAAGGAGGUAGACCAAACAUGAUACACACCAUGCGUACCUUGCUGUGCAGACUAUGCAUGGACAAGAUACCCGACCACAUGUUGGCCUCGAUCACAUCAAAAGAAUCAUGUAGGCCACCAAUAAACUACUUGAAGCGUCAUUCCGUAUCGUAUAUGCAUUGCCGGGUUCAUCUGCAUUACAUUACAUAAAGUAGUAUUAACUAUUUGAAUAAAAUGAAGCAAUUUAAAAGUAAUGUGUUGUACUCUACUAUAGAAAGCCCUAUCACUGUCGGAUCCAGAAACAUCAUUGUUGAUGGUUGUUAAGUACCAAGACGGUCAAUAUUCUCAAGAAUAAUGGAGAAUUGGCAUUUCUUACACACAUAUUUGGUUUUGAACAAUGUAGUUCCACAUGUCCUUGGAGAUUAUUUGGGUGUGGGUGAAAUGAUACAAAAAGAAGGAGAAAACACACUCCCAUGGCGAAGAAACACAACUCCGACCAAUGAGAGAUAGCCACAGGGGCAGCACACGGAUCCAUGGGCCCACAAUCCGCAUCAAACUGUCUUACCAAGGCGGGUAGCACCCACAACCAUGAUUAGGACCCACCUGGAUGUCUACCAAGAAGAAGGUUGUGAGUGGGGCCAGGAGGGGUUCGGCUGAAUCAUCUCUAGCUCCCCUCAUCCCCAGCUGGUGCGUGGCGGUGGUUGAUGGUGUCCCUACAUCGGUUAAAGGAGAUUCCCCCAAAUAUUCCUCUUGUAAACCACCUGUAUGGACCUAUACAUAGAGGGGUGUGCUCUCCAGUCCAACACACACCACAAGUUUAAUCACUCUCUCCCUCUUUAGUUUCCAUGUUUAUGGAGUUAGGCUAGAGUAGCUCUGCUCAAGGUUCCAAGUCCACUUGGAGUUAAGCAUAUGUCUCUUGUAUCGUUAUUUCCUAGAUUGACUUUAUGCUUAGUUCUUAUAUGCAUGAGUUAGUCUAAUAGCCUUGCUCUAUUGAUAUGCUCGGCUUAUAUGCUCAUAUGCUAGUCAUAUACCCUUGCUGCCGUAGUAUAGGCUUAUAUGCUCUCAUGUGUGCCUUUAGACCUUGCUACAGUAUAUACUUGUUGUGUAUACAUACCAUGUAUAGGCUAGUCGAUCUUUACCAUGGCAUUGGUUCAAUAGCCAUGUUUUUGGUGGCUCCAACCCUAGUCACAAUAGCUCGGGACAGCUGGAGUGUUGUUAAAAAUGCAAGAGUGAUGGUUGGGUUGUUUAGCAUCGUUGGAUAUGGGUUUUCCCCACGGGUUUCUAAGAGUAGGCGGCAGCUAGUGACAGCCCUGUCCGUCCUUCGUAAUCCCCCCCACAUUCAAGUACGCCAUAGAAAUUCAUAAAUUAGCAGUAACUACACCGGCAGACCGGCAGGAUAUUGUCUCCCUAUAGUACCUUGGUGCAUAGAACUAGGUCAUAUACACUGUGUGUCUAUGUUUACGCUGAUAUGAUCUGUGCAGUAUAUAGGAUGUAUAUAUGAACCUAGAGCUAACUCCUAGUCCAUUCUCCGUAGCUUAGUUAUCUUGAGAUGAUUCUUCUGUGUGUGUAACACUACCCAUCUUAUCAUUAUCCUUAAUCCUAUCUUGUGUAAUAUAUCUACUCAUCCUAUGAUAUACUCAUAUGCAUAGUAAACUAUUUUGACCUACCUGCCUUCUUUUGGGAAAUACGAUACCCUGGAAUAAUCCUAGGUGAAAUGCUACAACGGUAUAUCCAUGUGCUUGCGGAAUUAUUCAUGACCAUUAAAUAUACCAACAAUGAUCACUGUCGGUUUUGGGCAUCGUUAGUGAAGCGUCGGCAGUGAUGGGCAUCCCCUUCACCAAUGGAGCUGGAACCGGCGGUGAUGGCCAUUAAAAAAAAUGGGACCCCACCCAGCGUACCCUGCGACCCGGCCGGCCGCGCCUCCCAUCAUCCCCGCCGGCCGCCCUUCCUCUUUGCUGGCCGAGCAUGGUUCCGGCCCUCAUCCCUACCGCCUCGCCUCCAUCGCGACCCCCUGCCGAUGUCCUCAUGCCUGGCCCCCCUCGUCUGGCCGGCCACCCUCCCGAUGCAUCCACCGGGGCCCUCGCACCACCAACCACCCUAGCCGAGAGAGAGAGAGAGGAGGGAGGUGAGGCCACACACCUCGUCCUACAACGCCGCUGUUGCUCCUCGGCCCACCGCGCCUCACCCCACACCACAGCCACGCCUCGCCAUCUUACCGGCCGCGACGCCCCAUCUCACCGGCCACCGUUCCUCAACCCCACAUCGGUCAUUGCUGCUCCUUUCCCUACUGCUGCUCUUUGCCGCCGCGAAUGAGGGGCGAGUGGAGGGGGAGGGGCGGGGCAGGAGGAGGGCAAGAUCCGGGAGGAAGGGAGAGAUUUUGGGAGGUGGAGAUGGAAGGAUAUGGCGGAAGGUAGAGAUCCAGAGGGAGAGAGCGGGGGAGAGAGGGGGGCAUGUGGGGAGAGAGCGCAUGUGGGGUGGGGCCGGGCUGGUGGGAUGGAAGGUAGAGGGGCCGGAGGGCGCAGUGCAUUCAACUGGAUUAAGUAAAUAUUUCGGAUUCGAGACCCCAGCUUUAUUAUCACCGCUGGUCCGUAGUACCAUUCGGUGCUGGCUCAUAAUUUAAUUUGAACCGGUGGUGAUGUUUUAUUAUCACUGCUGGUUUCAAUUUUCACCAUCGGAUCAUAUAAAAAUCCGGCGGUUAAAAAUCCGCUGGUUUCGAUGAAAACCGACAGUGAUAGGACGACUGUGAUAGUCUCUUCUCUAGUAGUAGUAUAUUAGUACCGGCUGCCGGAUGGUGUUGCCGACGAGUACUUCUCCAGGGGCGAUUCAGUACUGAUGUUAGCAAAGCAUGUUCUCUAUGAAUUUGGGGGAUGGAAAGCUAGUUCUCUAGUUGUGAUUUGUUACAUAUAUCUCUAUGAUAGUCUAGAAAUUGCAUGUCCUUCGUUGACAUAGUUGAAGCUGCUUCAAGAAUUUACUUCGUGCAGUCGUGCAGCAUAUUGGAUUAUCACCUAGACAGGAUACAUAGGUGAAGCAUUGGAUGUGAUUGUGGCUGAUAAUUAUGCAGGACGCUGUUGCAAUCAACCAUCAAGAAGACUGGAGCGAUGGGGUUGCCUCAUCAACAAUUUUUAUAUAUGGCUGCAGUAUUAUUAAGCCCACGUCAAUAAUUUUUUCUCCGCAGCAUAUAUAUGGUUACUCAGUUCGCUGGAGUAUCGCUGUGGAAAAACAUACGUACUGCGCCUCGGAACUAACUGGCAUUCAGGCCAUCAACGACCAGAUAUUUGGGACAACAAACAAAUAGUAGGUGGUUCCUAAGUUGUAGUCGUAUGUACUAAUGCGCCUCGAUGGGGUUUUCUUCAGAUAUUUUAUUGCCGUUCAAUGAACAAGCAGAUACAUAACCUGUGCAGAAAAUUCCAUCUCCACGCAUGCCACUGCACCAACAAGAUCCUCAGUCGACGAUGAUGGCUCAGCCUGUUCCUUCUGCCACCAAAUCCUCAAUCUUCCCUCCAGCAACGGAGAAUGCACCUUUAGUACCUUCAGUAUCAGAUGUUGCAAUCGGUACCGUGAAACCGAGACUAAAAUCCUUACUUUGCAGGGGGCAAAACAAUCUUGCAAAUAUAUAUUUUGAAUUCCAACAAAAUUUAAGAAAUGUUAAAGAUGACUAGCUGAGAGUCAACAGACAAGAUAUGAUAUUAGGAAUGUGGGAGGAUGAAUGCAUUUGUACAGGGGUCAUACUAUUUCCAGACUCUUCUAUAUUUCCAUAUGACUACCUACUUCAAUGUCACGCGAGCCAUUCAAAAACAUACAUGGUACACUUGUAUGUCUAAUCCAUUAUUGAUUAUUUCCUCUUGUCAUCUCUUACAAGUAUUUCUCCAUACUAUAGAAACGUGCAACACAUUUUUAGGAUAUGGACACGCAUGAUUAAUAUGCUUGGACUAGUAUACAGGUCAUCUUUGGAUGAGUACAUAUGAAUGCCAGGGAGGGACUGAUGGAUAUAAGGAAAAGGGACCAUGCAUAAAUAAUGACAUAUGUCACAUGGCAAUCUUCAUUGCCAUGCAACUCCUAUCAACAAUCAUGGAAUACAUACUACUGCUCCAGAAGGGUGGUGUGCAAAUUUAUUUUACCUCGCGGUGAAAAUCUCCAGAGCAGGCCUGAAGUUAAAAUAAGAGGAGGCAGUCACUAUCGAUCAUGACAGUCUCGAAACUGUACAGCACUAUGCUAGUCCUAGUCCUCAUGUCGUUCGUGCUGUCGUGUAGCAUGAUGGAUUAUUAACUGGGCAGGACACGGAGAUGGCUAGCGAUGACAGAGGAUGACGUACAUGAUAUUCACCUCUGAAAUGAAGCGUAGGCUAAUGAAGCACAAUUGCAUGUGAGUGUGGCAGAUAUUUAUACAGGACAGUGAUUGCAAUAAUCGACCAUCGAGAUCGAAGACAGGGGCGAUGGGCUUGCCUCAUCAAUAAUUCGCGCAACCAGACAAGCUGCAGACUCAAUAUGGUACGAAGCUAGUUGGUCAGCCCACAUGCUCUGAUAUAACAUUGGCAUCUGCUGAUCUACAGUAUAUAUGACCAGAAAUAUUGUGCCACCUCAAUAAUUUUCUGAAGUAUCGUGGGGAAGAACCUACUCGUACUAUGCCUCGGAACUAACUGACAUAUCGGCCUAGGCGGUCUAGGCCGAUUGGACUGGCUCUUCCUUGUGGCUUCUCACGUCCCCUUCGUUCCUGAGUAAUCUCAGGUGUUCUGGAGUUUUCUUUUCACUUGCAUGUGGGUCUCAUAUAUCAAUAGCUUCGGGAUAAGAAUGCCUCUUGAUAACCUUCCAAAUCGUCGCUUGAUUCACUUUGAUUCCAAAAUCAUCUUGCCAUAGAGACUUAGGCCCUAAGGCAUCAUGGAGGAUUGCUCGCCAAGAAUGAGCACCAUUGGGCUCCUGAGGACCCUAGGCCGAUCAGCCUGUGCUCUAUAGGUCAAUUGGCCCAGGCCCUCUCUGAGCCCAUUGGCCUUCAUCUUUCUCUGAGUCGACGCUUAUUCAGGGCUUUGUCCAAUUAUAGUCCAUUAUAGUCUAAUUUCCUAAAAAACAGAAUAUCCUCCAAAAUACAAUACAUAUGUGAAAACAACCCAAUUAUUAGGUAUGAUCAAUAGUCUAGGUAUUAAAUUAAUAUUAUUAUUUAAGAUAAAUAGGGAUAAAGGGUGUCAUUAAUAACGAGCACCAACCAGCGUGCCAGCUGUUAACACUAACCGAUGCUAAUAUGUAACCUUUAGUACCGGCUAUUUCACCCGGUACUAAACGAGACAAGAGCACCCUAACAGAAGGUUAAUAUCAUCCAUUUCAUGAGUAAAAUACUAUGAUUCAAAAAUAAUUCAAAUCCCUUAAGACAAUACCUAUCAAAUGAGUAGAUUGUAAAUAGAGUAAUAUUGAUCAAACAAUGUCCUAAUGAAACGGAACACUUCUGGUUCGUGUAGAGCACAAUAUAGAAAACAGUAGGGUAGCUGUACGAUUGACACGUGGUCCAUUAAUUAUUGAGCCAUCACUAUGGACAUGUCUUCAUGAGUAGUGUACUAGUCAUGAUACAUGGUAUGUAGUAGGUGGAGGUAUUGAGUUAGCCAUGCCAUGAGCACUUAGUUAGAACAAACACUUUGCCAUUAUCGAGCAUCCCAAAUCACUACAAAAUCCAUAGUUUACCAUAUACUACAAAAUCUGAGUUAAAAUAAGAGCAUACACGGAAGAGUCCGAAUGCACCGGUUUAGGACCAGGCACAUUGAAUUACUAGAAAAAGUUAUCGGACAAGGUUUUGGGUAACCGCAUGAAAAAUAUUGGAUUUUACUGAACACUUAGUUACAAUUACCAUACCGUGAGCACUUAGUCACCACAAACAUUUAACCACUUUAGAUCAUCCUGCAUCCCUAUAAAUUUUGUACCUUACACCGUACCAUGAAAACGACAAGAACAGAGACAGAUGCAGUGAAAAUCUCCAGAGCAGGCCUGAAAUUAAAAUAAGAGGAGGCAGUCACUAUCGACGAUCAGGACACGGAGAUUGCUAGCCAUGACAGAGGAAGACAUGAUAUGAUAUUCACCUCUGAAAUGCAGCGUAGACUAAUGAAGCACAAUUGCAUGUGAGUGUGGCAGAUAAUGGACCAUCGAGACCAUCGAAUGGUAUGAAGCAUGAUUAUCACCUAGACAUGAUAUCCUAGACAGGACGGUGAAUUGUAAAAAGAGUAAUCUUGAUCAAAGAAUGUCCUAAUGAAACGGAACAUUUUUGGUACGUGUAGAGCACAAUAUAGAAAACAGUAGAGUAGUUGUACGAUUGAAACUGCAUCCAUCCACGUGGUCCAUGAAUUGUUGAGCCAACACUGUGGACAUGUCUUCAUGAACACCAUCUAGUGAGGACAGCAUGCAGAAAAAUAUAAAACAUGUCAUAGGGAGGCAGACCAAUCUUGCAAGGAGGUAGACGAAACGUGAUACACGACCUGCCUACCUUGUCGUGGAUACCCCAAGAGAAGAUGUCAUAGAGGUGCAGACCAAGCUAGCAAGGAGGUAGAUGAAACGUGAUACACGGCCUGCCUACCUUGCCGUGGAUAUUAGCCCUGAUAUCAUUCUAUUGUUCAAGGAAUAACACUCAAUGCUGCUGCUGCUGCUGACCUGGCUCCAUAAAGUUAUAUUCCUCUAGCCGCUUGCACUAACUUUAUCUAAGUAUUAUUCUCUCUGCACUAAUAUGUCUUGGAACUAACAGACAUUGAUUCACAGACAAACUCUACAAGGUGCUGUUGUCCCAAAGGACUAUAAAUAAUAUAGUUUACCAUAUACCGUAUACCAUUAUAUGUUAGCUAAAAUAAGAGCAUAACAUGUCGUAGGAGUCCAAAAGCACCGGUUGAGGACAAGGUAUAUUGAAUUACUAGAAAACGACAGGGGACAAGGUUUAGGUAGCCACAUGAAAAACAUUUGAAUUUACUGUUCCAUUAACACUUAGUUACCAUGCCGGGAGCACCUAGUUAACACUAACAUUUAGCCACUUUAGAUCAUCCCGAAACACCAAUGACCCUCAAUAGCGACAAAUUUUGGUUUAAAUGCCGUCACCAAUGAUCCUCAAUAGUGACGUGUUUAGGUUUAAAUCCCGUCACUAAUAACCCUUGGUAGUGACGUGUUUUGGUUUAAAUCUCAUCACCACUGAUCCUCAAUAGUGACGUGUUUUUAGCAACACACUUUAUGAUUGACUUGUCAUUGGUGACAUGUUAAACGCGUUAUCUCAGUGGCAAAUCAUUGGUGACGUGUUUUAAAAAAAAUGUCACUGUGAGAGUUAUUCGUGAAGGGUAAUUAAAAUGCAUUACUAAUUUUGUAGCAUUAGUUAUGAUAUAAUUUAGUAACGCAAAAAUCUACCAUAGUAAUGAGGUUUAGAGCCGUCGCUAAUCUGGGUUUCUUACGUAGUGAUUCAAGCUCUAAAAGGUGCUGUUGUUGCCAUUUUAAAGCAUCCCAAAUGACUACAAGUUAAUAGCAUAGUUUACCAUAUACCAUAAAAAUAUUAGUUACAAUAAGCACAUACGCAUGUGGAAGAGUACGAAUGCACCGGUUGAGGACUAAACACAUUGAAUUACUAGAACCAAAUGUAUGUCCAGAACAAAGAAAGGGGUCAAGGUUUGGGUAACCGCAUUAAAAACAUUAGAUUUUACUGUACCAUGAACACUUAGUUACCAUUACCAUGCCUUGAGCACCUAGUUACCACAAACAUUAAUUUAGCCACUUUAGAGGUUCCUGAAUCACUAUAGAUAAUAUACCAACACCGUACCAUGAAAACAUCAAGAAGAGAGACGGGUACAUGGACCACCAUCAAGUGAGUAGUGACAGCACGCACAAGAAUACCCGGAACCUGUUAGCUUGUCUAUAGUGAUCUGUUUUCUUCCCCAUAAAAUCCAUGAGUAUUGCCACAAAUAAUGAAAGAGGCUGACCAAGCUAGCAAGGAGGUAGAGCAAACGUGAUACACGUAGGUUUCAUUCAAGACAUCCAUGUAAGUUUCAUUCAAAACAUUCAUGGAAAUUUCUUGUAAGUUUUCAUGUAAAUUUCAUUCAAGACAUUUCUUAGAGGUGUUGUAUAUAUACCUUAACGUACAUAUAUCUAUGAUUUCAUGGUUGUUAGUGAUGGCAGAUGAGGAGCAUGCAAAGUAUUUAAUGGAGCAGAUUAUUGCUAGUGGUAGUAGCUCCAACCUGCCCGUAACGUACACCAACGAAGAGAGCAGCCAGGCGGACAUGUUCCUCAACAUAUCCGGUGAUGGCAAUGAAGAGCCCGAGCAAAAAAUUGCCGUGACGGAAGGUUCCAGUGAGGUAUAUAUCAUUUCCAUUGUUUUACCCCAUCUAUAAUUUUAUAUUCAUUAUUACUAUGUACUAAUUAAUGGAUCUUGAACCGUUAGCCCUCUAGAUCAACGAACCGAAAUAAGUCCCGAGGUCUUACAAAGAUAAUGCAGGGAAGGCUUCACAUCACGGAAGUCACAGAAGAGGGCACAUCAGUUGCUCCCGAACAUGUGGCAAGAAAGUACGUGAGUCAAACCAGGCAAUGUGCCCAUCAGCAUUAGGGAAUGAAAGGGCAAUAGAAAUGAUCUAUACGCGCCCCCGGAUACACAAAAGGAUAUGCUGUGGGCAAAUAUCAAGAAACACUUCACAUUUCCCAAACGAUAUGUUGAAAAAGAUGUGAAAGCAUGGAUGCUGAAGAAGAUGGCCACCCAAUUCCAGACAUUCAAGAAGAUGUUGGAUGCCAACUUCAUCAAGAAGGGUCGAACUCCGGGUUUCGAUGAGUGAACAAAGUUAAGGGACCACUAGGAGUCAUUUGUCAAAUACAAGACGAGUGAAGGUGGUGCGAGUAAGGUUCGCAUCAAUGUUGCCAAUGCUAGCAAGGAGUACCAUCAUCAUCUAGGGCGAUGUGGUUACAACACUGCAAUUCCCAGAUGGCGCAAGAUGGAACAAGACCUGAUCGAUCGGGGUAUCGUCCCAGCAACUCUUGACUGGCCUGAUCGAUUGAAAAAUUGGUAUUAUGCUCAUGAAGGCAAUCUGAGCCAACAGGAUGCGACAUUGGUCUUCAAUAAAACAAUACGUCAGAAGGCCGGAAGGCUUAUUAGGAACAUUGAAAAUUCUAAAUCUGGGAGGUUCAAGGUGGAUAGAGAGAAUGAUGAGCUCACAUUGGCCCUUAGGACUGUCAUCUCUAGCACUUCCAGCUCCAGGACUGUCGUCACCACCGGGACCAUCGCUUCUUGCUCGAUCACAGUCUCCAUCUCCAGCACAUCCAGGUGGUGCGAACGAUGACGACAACAACACCCCUCCCUGCCCACCAUCGCCGGGACUAAGACCCGCAUCGAGUAAGGAACCUGCAGCACCACUGAAGAAGUCGCGACCACCGCCUUCCAAGCCAAGUCAGCAAAAGAAGAAAGCAGAGAAGCCUAAGCCCACUGAGAAGCCAGCAACCGAUAUGACCGAUGCGGAAAGAUGGAAGGCACUCAAAGAAGAAUGCAGGGAGUGGUUCAGAAAAAGGACCAAAGAAAGAAAAGGAAAGCAGAUGGAGCCACUGCCAGUAGAUCCAAGAAAAUUAUAAUUUUUUAUUAAGAUGUCAAAAGGAGCCAAGAAGAUGAUUCCACAACUAUCAAACUACGACCGGACCUUAGUCAAGGCUGAUGAGAGUUAAAAAAGGAAAGGAAAGUCAUCUUCAAGUGGUACUGUCCCCCACCUCGAGGAUCUACCAGAAAAAGACGCUAAAAAGAUAGUAGCAAUGCUCUUGGAUCAACAAACACAUAUAUCGUGAGAUUCAUGCAAGAAACAGGUAUGUGCCUUACUGAAUGUCUAGGGCAAGUUGAUAUGCUAGCUCUAGAGCCAUUUGUACCGAAAUGGACCUUUGAGCUAGGCAAGCCUCUAGUAAGGCCUGAGUUGGUACAGAAGCUAUCCACAUAGCUGUAUGAAUACCAUGAAUGGUACAUGAAGUAGUCUGCCAAUGAGAGGGAAAUGUUCGGUCUCGGGGAAAAACUGAUAAUUUUUUUCGGCGAAGGCAAGAAAGUCUUGUGGAUGGAAUUCAAGGAUAUAUAUGAAGUGUACCAUCAGGAUGCCCUUGAUGUCUCUCUCAUCAGCGCCUAGGUUAUGUAAGUGUAUGUUUAUCUAUACGUAAUUUUUGUCUCAUAUCAUUAUUUCUUUUGCGUGCGUCACCCUACUAACUUCGUCUUCCAUUUUAUGUAGGAUGCUAAUUCAGAUGUGCCGCAUAGAAGCGCACUUCCAUGUUGGCUUCAUGGAUCCAUCCCUAGUUAACCAAAAGCAGAUACGGAAGUAGCUAGAGAAAAUGUUGGAGGUGGUAUACAACUUCCUGGACAAACAAAACUAUAGAAUAGGGGCAAUAUGUGAAGGUCUUGUAGGAUUCCUAGUGGACGAGGUGAUAAAUCCAUAAGGAGAAUAUCAUUACAACGGACGAGCAUUAGACACACUGAGCAACACCUAGACGGGAGGAUCCUAGGAAUGACCUGGACAGAUUUUGGUAUAAAUAGUAAUUGUGUAAAUACUAGUUUGAUUUGUAUAGGAAUAUACUAAGAAUUGUAUAUAUAGUAAUUGUACAAAUACUAGUUUGAUUUGUAUAAAUACUAGAUUGAUUUUAUUAUAAAAAAGUUUUAAGUCGUACGUGCAUGCGCCUACAAAGGCGCGUAUGCCCUUUAAUCCCGGUUGGAAAAACAAACCGGUACUAAAGGGGCUCGUGCCCCACCUGGCAUGACCACCCCUUUAGUCCCGGUUGAACGACCCAGGACCAAAGAUCUGCCCCGUCUCAUAAAUUUUAUCCCGGAUGCUUUUUAGAGAGAUUUGAGGCCUAUCAACCAAGACUAAUAUCGAGUUUUCUACCCGUGGAACUAACUAACGUUCACAUGCUUUUGACAUUCACCUGCCAUUUGGUGUAGACAAGGGCACCCUAACAUAUGGUUAAUAUUAUUCAUGAAAGAAAAUCCUUUGAUUCAAAAAUACUUCAAACCUAAUAAUACAAUACUUCUCACGUCUGAAAAAUAUGAGAUGGCCCGACAGUAUUCUAACCGACGCAAUAAUAUUUUGAGGGCAGCACUACUACAGCGACCUUCAUUCGUGCCGGUGCUGGGACCCCUAUCACGACCCUGAUACAAAUGAGGGUACAUUAUUGUUGCCAGUGCUAGAAUAGCCACGAAUAACUUGCUAAACAUGCUGUUACACUCACUACUAGAAAAAUAACCUCUCGUCCUGAGGCUUAGUACCGGUCACUUUUUUGCCCAGUACUAAUGUUAGUAUUAGUACGGGAUCCAAAUUUGGGAUCCCCCAGAGACCCUUUAGUACCAGGUGGAGUCUCCACCCGAUACUAAAGGCUUUGUUACCGGGUGAAGGAUCCUCCCCGUACUAAUGGGGGAUUUUUAGUACCGGGUGGGAACCCCACCCGAAACUAAAAUCUCCCGUGCGGACCCCUCCCCCCCCCCACGCGUUGCCUCUCUCCUCCCUCCUCCUCCUCUGAGUAGUUAUCCCUUCCUCAUCCCUCCUCCUCCUCCCACACGUGGGGCGAGGUGAGGUGGCAGUAGCAACGACUAGUGGUGUGGCGGGUCGCGGCGGGCCGGAUGCGGAGCGGCAACGGUGGUCGGCGGGAUGGGGNNNNNNNNNNNNNNNNNNNNNNNNNNNNNNNNNNNNNNNNNNNNNNNNNNNNNNNNNNNNNNNNNNNNNNNNNNNNNNNNNNNNNNNNNNNNNNNNNNNNAACAUCGACAAAACAUAUAAACCCAGCUCAGUAGCUCAAGCAUCAACUAAAACUGCUGAAUUAAAAUAACAUAACAUUGUGUAGUUCAUCAUGAUGAUAACUAACAGAACCGAAAAGCCUAACUGGGUAAAAGAGCAAUUCGUUCAUAAUGCUUCAGCACUUACAUCACCGGAGUAUGCAACUGGCGGCGUCGCUUACGUCACCAUCACCGCACUUGGCGAGUAAAGGAGGAAGAGGUGGCAUAGUAAUCGAAGAGGAGGCCGCUGCCGGCGGGUUUAGACUACGUGGAGGUGUGGGUAGGGUUAAGGUGGCUCUGUGGACGAGUAUAUAUAAGAGGUCUGGGCUUGUUAGAAUAAGAUAACAUUCUAACUGGCCAAAUUCGGAUCCGGUUAGAAUAAAUUGUUCUAACCAGCCCUAAUUCGAGGUGGUAAGGAUAAGUUAACAUUCUAAUCAGCUCUAUUUGGAGCCCGAUUGAAUGUUCUUGUUAUUCAAAAAAAGAUCAAGUUCAUCAAUUUUUUUCUAGAAAAACAUCAAGAUAAUUUAAACACGAUAUAUAACAAGAUUAAUACAUUUAAAAAUUGUUUUCUCCAAUAAUUAACGAUAUUUAACAAAUUCAAAAAAAAUCCAAAUUAACAGAACACAAUAACCAAUUGUUCGAAAAAAUCAAAAUAGUCCACACAGUAUCAUAUUACAAAUUCAGAAAAAUAUCAAAAUAAUCCCUGAUCCACUCGAUACCGUCGUAGAACUUUGAAAUACUGAGCUUCUUGAUUCAUCUGAGGUCCACGUACUCGUCUCAGUAACACUAGUGGUGGCCAUGCAUCUUGUAGAUGUCUUCUAACGAAUCAAGCUUGACAUACAAGGUCGUGCCUUUCGCUCCUUGAGGAUUGCUUAUGACGUUUCUGCAAAUAACGAAGCAUUGCUUUCUCCAACAUGCUCAUUUUCUUCGGCUUAUCCCAAGGGACAACUAUGGUUUUCCCCUUGCCGGAAGAGGAACGAUGAUCGCCCCCACCAUCGCCACUUCCUCCAGUAGCAGAAGCCAUCUAUGUACAAAAAUUCAUACCUUAGCACUACAGAACUUGUUGAACUUGAAGACUGUGAUCAUUAGGCGAGCAUGUUCUCAACUGGGCGGCACCGCACUUCGUCAUGGAAGAGCUUCGAUUUUACAAAAAAGGGGACAUGAUCUUCCAUGAUGUCCGUAUCCGCUCUUUCUCGUAUAAUCAGAGCUCCUCCUUAACAUACGAUGCUGCUCGGCGAAGAACAUGCUCACCGAGAUGAACACGGUAUGCAAGUUCAACAAGUAUGGAUUUGAAAAACCAUAUUGAAUUUGACAAGACAAACUAUCUAGACAAGGGUAGCAUCAUUCUUAAACCACUGCAAGGAUACGUACUAUAUAUGACACAUCAAUCUCCCUCACAUUCUAGCUCAAAAUACCUCUCCAUUUUCUACUUCACAUUCUAGCAAAUAAACUAUCUAUCUCCAUUCUACACAUCAAGUUGUUUUAACUAAUACAAAUCGUAUAUAACAAGCAAACUAUCCAUCACAUUCUAGCUCAAAAACAUGUAUAAAUACAAAUCCUCUUCAUUCUCCCUCUUUCUAACAAACAAACUCAUUUUUCUCCCUCUCUAAAGCAUAAAUUAAAGCGUAACAUGAGGAUGAGGUAGCAAACCUUCACAACACAUUGGAUGAGUGAAAUUCCCACGAAAAUGAGGGAAAAAAAUUCGGGCAGCACCUCCCUUGCUUCGGCACCUCUAGAGAGUAGGUGAAGCUCAGUUCUCUAUUUUUGUGGUGGACUGGCUUGGGCUGGAGGAGGAAGAAAGGCCUCUAUCUUGGUAUAUAAUGGGGGAUGAGUUUUUAUCCCAGUUAAAAGCUCCAACCGAGACAAAACGGCCAAUCUUUUGUCCCGGUUGGAGCCUCCAACCGGGACAAAAGGGGCACGCCAUCGACGCCCGGGAACUAGCCGUUACAACCGGGACUAAAGGGGGGCCUUUAGUCCCGGUUGCAAAUACCAACCGGGAUUAAAUCUCCCCUCCAUUUUUGCCUACCGUGGUGCGCCCCCUUUUAUCCCGGGUCAACUUUAAACCGGGAUAAAAGGGGGCGUAUCGAAGAUCAGUUCUCUACUAGUGACCCCUCCCCACCUAUCUCUCUCCCUCCAUGCUCCUCGAUCUGUGCCUCCCCUCCCCUCCCCUUCCACUCGCCCCUCACCGACGGUAAGGAGCAGCGGCGGGGCGAGGUGAGGUGGCGGCAGCAAUGGCAGGUCGUGGGUCGCAGCGGAGCGGCUACGGUAGGCAGCCAGACGGGGCAGAGCGGCGGGGCGGGGUGGAGGCGGAGGCGGCGGUUAGAGGCGGAGCGGCGAGGCGGAGGCGGAGGUGGAGGCGGAGUGGUGGGACGGCAGGGCCGGGCGACUAGUAUAGGUGGGCGGGCGGAGGGCGGCGACGGUGGAGCGGGCGGAGGCAGAGGGGCAGUGGGGGCUGCCGGCGGGGGGUGCGGUCGGGGAUUUCAAUUUUUUUUUAAUUUUUUAACACCUUUUAGUCCAACUAGUUCUAAAGGGACCCCUCUAGUAUCAAAAUUGCUAGUACCGGUUGCACAACCGGUACCAAAAGGGUUCCUAACUGGUACUAGAGCCACUUUCCCUGGUAGAGACUUUUUUACCGGUUAGAAUAUGUUAUUAUUUUAAUCAGCUUUCGCUGAUCGCCAGUAUGAUUUAGUACCUAAUUUUACUGGCGAUUGUUACCGCUGACACGGAUUGGGUAUAGUCCUAACAGUGUAUAACUACGGCACUACAUUUGUUAACCUAUAACUACUUGUAUCGAUUAGCCCUGGUUAGAAUACUGUCAAGGCAGCCAGAAAUUUUUUUUUUGCCAAUUCUGCUAUCCAUGAGAUCCAUGACUAGUACCGCAAUGUAAUGAAUGAACUGCACAAAUAACUGAUGCACACAAAGGAAUAUGCACUUGCACGCUAGACGUUCGUAACAACAAAUUACUCUCAUCACCAAUUGAACAUAAUAGAUUAAACAUUAACCGAACAGAAUUCAACACGUACAUCAACACGACAAAGCAGUUUAAACAUCAACUGAACAGAACUGAACACAUACAUCAACUGAUGAUAAUUAUCGACAUCAACAGAACACAUGAACAUCAACAUCAAUAGAACUUAAUAGAGCAUAUUAAACAACAACAUCGACAAAACAUAUAAACCCAGCUUAGUAGCUCAGGCAUCAACUAAAAUUGCUGAAUUAAAAUAACACAACGUAGUGUAGUUCAUAAUGCUUCGGCGCUUACACCACUGGCCGGUCGCUUACGUUGGCAUCACCGCGCUGGCUGAACCUCCGACACCCCCACCACGGCAAACGGAGGUGAUGGCGGAAGGUGAGGCAACGACAGUAGCUGGUGAGCUCCCGCUCCAAUGUCUCGCGAGUGAAGGAGGAGGAGGUGGCAUGGGAAUCGAAGAGGAGGCCGCCGCUGGCGGGUUUAGACUACGUGGAUGUGUGGGUAGGGUUAAGGUGACGGUGUGGACUAGUAUAUAUAAGAUGUCUGGGCUUGUUAGAAUAAGAUAACAUUCUAACCGGCCAAAUUCGGACCCGGUUAGAUUAAAUUGAUAUUCUAACCGGUCCUAUUUCUAGGUGGUAAGAAUAAGUUAACAUUGUAAUUGGCUUUAUUUGGAACCCGAUUGAAUCUUCUUGUUAUUCAAAAAAACAUCAAGUUCAUCAAUUUUAAUCCAGAAAAACAUCAAGAUAAUUUAAGCACGAUAUAUAACAAGAUUAAUAAAUUUAAUAAUUGUUUGAUCCACAAAUUAAUGAUAUUUAACAAAUUCAAAAAAUCCAAAUUAACAGAACACAAUAACCAAUUGUUCAAAAAAAUCAAAAUAAUCCACACACAUUAAUAUAUUACAAAUUCAGAAAUAUAUCAAAAUAAUCCCCGAUCCACUCGAUACCAUCAUAGGACUUUUAAAUACUGAGCUUCUUGAUUCGUCUGAGGUCCACGUACUCGUCUCAGUAACACUAGUGAUGGCCAUGCAUCUUGUAGAUGUCUUCUAACGAAUCAAGCUUGACGUACAAGGUCAUGCCUUCCGCUCCUUGAGGAUAACCAUCUUUGGUGAUCUUGAAAUGGCAGACGGUGGAUGUGCCAAAGGUACGUAACGAUCCUUCUAAAUGUAUGCCACCACAACUUCCGUCUGAUCGCCAUGGGUGACACCAAGAAGAGCUACCAUGCGGCAAGGGACGAACAAUUUAUCAAUUAGUGCCGCUGUCCAUUCGCCAUCAUCUAAUCCAGCCAUAUCUUGAUGUAUAUUUAAGUAUAGAAAUUAAGAUUUAAAAAUAAACAGAAUAAAUUGAGAUCGACUAUGUAUGUAUAUCAGAACAUUAGCUUUUGGAAAAAGGGCUUCGAUGGAAGAGAGGCACGGGGCAUAGAGACAACAACGAGUGACAAUAUGUCAGAAGAAUACCCGAUCACAAUUAUUGGCUACAGGACGGGCACACACAGCCGAUAUUUACAGUAGUCAAUACCCCUGGUAAAUAACCACACCAUCAAGAGUAAAUAGUGACAAUAUGCAGUAUAUACACGACAUAGCCUUGGUUGCCGUGGAAGCGCCAGAAGGGAGACAAAUAACAGGGACCACAACAUCAAGUAGAUAGUGACAAUAUGCAGAAGAAUACCCGCGCCUGUUAGCAUGUGUGAACUGACCACACCACGAAACGUGAUACACGGCAAGCGUACCAAGGCCUUGCUGUGCAGACUAUGCAUGGACAACACAUGGUACCUGACCGCUUUUGGCCUCAGACACAUCGAAAAACUGCAUCGUUCCACGUUGUACAUCCAUUGCUAGUUUAUCUAUAUUACAUAAUAUAUUAUUAGCUAUUUGAAUAGAAUGAACCAAUUAAAAAAUUGCGUUGUAUUUUAGUACCGGCUGCAGGAUGGUGUUACCAACCAGUACUAAUUGGCCUGUAGGAGUGAUGGUUAUUAGACUUGGUACUGUUGUUAGCAUCAUUAACCUAAUUGUGCGCGGUAUGAAUUUGGGGAUGCAAAGCUAGCUCUCUAUGAAUGUGAGGGAUGGAAAGCUAGUUCUCUAGUAGUAAUUAGCUAUAUAUAUAUGUCAGUCAAGAAAUCGAACACUAUGCUGCUACGAGUCACCAUCAUUUCCUUCAUUGACAAUCUGACAUAGGUGAAGCUGCUUCAAGAAUUUCCUUCGCGCAGUCGUGGAGCUUAUUGGAUUAUCACCAGGACGGGACACGGAAAUGGCCAGCAAUGAAGCUGAUUGCCGUCUGAGGAAGAUUACAUACUUACCUAUGAAAUGAAGCGAUUGCAUAGACUAAUGAAGCAUUGCAUAUUUGCAUGUGAGUGUGGCAGAUAAUUCUGCAGGACAUGAUUGCAAUCCACGCACCAUCGAGAAGACUGGGGCGAUGGGGUUGCCUCAUCAAUAAUCACGUGGAUGCAUGCAUGCAUGUUCCCGCAACCGGACAAGGGUCUGAUAUAUGGCUAUAGUAUUACUGAGCCCACAUCAAUAAUUUCCGCUGGUGUAUCGUGUGGGAAGAAUCAACAUACUACACCUCGAGUUCUUGGAACUAACUGACGUUCACAUGCAACCUCCACAAGGUGCUGUAUAUAUGCUUUUGACAUUCACCUGCCAGUUCGUGUAGAGGACACCCUAACGUAUGGUUAAUAUUAUCCAUUUCAUGAGUAAAAUACUGUGAUUCAAAAAUACUUCAAAUCCCUUGAGACAAUACUUCUCACUUGACUAACCACUAACCAACCCCGAAACCCUAACUCAACUCCGAACCCUAACACCUAACGGCAUAACCACUCCGUUUUGCCAGCCAGAUGGAGGAACUGGCUGGGAGGGAGAGAGGGCAGCGGUCCAGGGUUGAAAACGACGGGCGAGCGCAGUAACAUGUGGAGGAGGAAGUGCCACGUAUUCGUUCACCGCUAUUGGGCAGCGACACACAACACGCCCAAUAAGAUUUUCGCACGGUAGAAGGGCGCCAUGUAUUCAAUAAUGUUAUUGGUCCUCCAUGUGCAGAAGGGCGCGUAUGGAAUAACAAGUAGGGACACUGCAACUAAUCUACUCUGCUCGUCCAGUCCCUAGCCUAUAAAUAGAUGCCAUGCUAGCUCUUGUUGUGCUCACAGUUAAUCCGAUUACACACGAGCUUCUCUCCCUGGCCAAGACACAAUCAUAGUAUGAUGAAGAACAUGGCACUAGCCGGCAAUGGUAUGAAGAAGUUAAUCCUCGCUGUUCUCUUACUGUGUCUAGUUAUAGGGCAGAUACAAGUGGAAGCUAAGAGCUGCUGCCCAUCCACCACUGCAAGAAAUGUCUACAAUACCUGCCGUUUGACGGGUGCAUCCCGUCCAACGUGUGCAAAACUGUCAGGCUGCCAAAUUAUCAGCGGGAACAAAUGCAAGCCCCCUAACGACCACCUCACCCUUGACCCGGACACUGGUAAAUAAUAAAUUUAUCUCACUUGAUUUCUUUGUGUUUUGAGUCGUUAAUGUAUUUUCCAUCUGAUGAAACGCAUUGGUUUUGCAUUGAAGAGGAAGUUAAUGUGCUUAACUUCUGCAAGUUGGGGUGUGCGUCGUCUGUGUGCAACAACAUCAACGCUGGUAAGCACCUUUUGCUCAGACAGAGAAAACAAUAAUCAUUAAUUAGCGGCAGCUAGAAUCCUAUAAUCUAAUAUAUAUAUAUAAUUUUAUCAGCUCUGGGAAAUGAAGAGGCGAACGAUGCCGUUGAGAGUUGCGACCAAGCCUGCUCUAGCUUCUGCAGCGUGCAUGUUGGCAGCGCCACCGUGGUUGCUUAAGCAAAUGCAUCCAACUAGAUCGUCCUUGUGCUGAAUAAUUGGAUAUCGUAUCCACUUAAAGCUGCCUUGUGUAGUACGUCUUUGUGUCUCUCUUUAUAUUCCAAUAAGGUCGGUGAUCUUGAUGCCACACACUCAGAUGUGUGUUCAUCUCCAGAUACUACUCCAUGCUACCUGCCCUUUGUGUUUUGUUCAAUAACUGGGUAUCAUAUCCCAACCAGUAUGCCGUCUGUUUUGUGUUUGUUUCCUUCUAGUUCCAAAAGGGUCAUCAUGAUGUUACCUUCUUUCAAUAUGGUGCUUUGCAUGACUACUAUUGUAUGGUACCAUCUUGUGGCCAAUAAGUACAUCUUAUCCUAUGACCUUUGCUAUGACCCUUUGCAAAUAAGUAGAAGAUUGUUAUAAGCGUCAAUACUCCUUAUAAAUUGAUCGCUGCUGUGAGUUCCCUUUCAGCUUAUCGUAGGCAUACAUUAUUGCUAGCACGGUAAAGCCAAUCAACACGAAUGAUGAAGUAAAUGUAGCGGUACUUCUGUAUACCAACACCCUUACUUAAAUGUACCGGUGUCAUUCCCUACUGGCACAUAUAUUCUUAUAUGCUAGCCAGCUUGUAAAAUUAACCAAUUAAAAUAAUUAAUUCAAGAUAGAAAUAACUUAUCGGCUUCUCGAAGCAUGUGUAAUAUGAAUCGCUUCAUCUAUAUUGCUUUCAGGAUUUUGGGUAACUAAAUUUAACAUUUGCACAUACAAAUGUUAAAGUACAAAUGUUAAAUCUAGUUACCCAAGCAGAAUAUGAAUAUACUCUAUAGUAUAUAUAUACUAUAUAAAUCUAGUUAACAUUUAGUCUAAAUGUUAAAUCUAGUUACCUAAAAUCCUGAAAGCAAAAUGUAUAAAUAUAUAUCUUUUAAGGCAGUAUAAGCUUCGAUUCCUAUUGCUGCUCUGUUAAAUCUCAUCUUUCGUUGUGGCCCAACACUCUAGUAUGUAUGUUGCACCAAGCUUCCUUGAGCCGCUCUGCCCUCUGAUUUUGCUGCGUAGGGGAAUCUUUAUCAGGUUGGGCUGCUUCCAGUCAUACGAUGUGUGGCUUCAUAUCUUCUACAAGUUAGACAGGAAACCCGCGUUCUGGAAGAUUCUGCAACGUGCACGUUGGCGCUGCCACCGUGGUUGCUUAAGCAAAUGCAUCCAACUGAAUCGUCCUUGUGCUAAAUAAUUGGAUAUCGUAUCCACUGCUUAAAGCUGCCAUGUUUAGUACAUCUUUGUUUUUCUCUCUUUAUAUUCCAAUAAGGUCGGUGAUCUUGAUGCCACACACUCAGAUGUGUGUUCAUCUUCGGAUACUACUCCAUGCUACCUGCCCUUUGUGUUUUGUUCAAUAACUGGGUAUCAUAUCCUAGUCAGUGUGCCAUCUGUUUUGUGUUUGUUUCCUUCUAGUUCCAAAGGGGUUAUCAUGAUGUUACCUUCUUUUGAGGUGUCUAUGACUUUGUUAAUAUCAAUAUUAACCAAUUCAAUCUAUCUUAACUAUUUGUAAGGGGUAUGAUGUAUGCAUGAUUAUAACAAUGAUUGCGCAUACAAUCACUGCCAAAGAAACGGUCAAUACCAUAAAGACAUAUUACAGACAAUUCUCAUAAUUUAUAAUGAAUAUACAUAUUCACUACUGCAGAGACUGUCAUUUGUAUCAGCUCAUACGUGCCAGGGCAAAGGUCACCCUUGCAUUAAAAGUACAUUUGCACGGUAAAGAUAACCAACACGAAUAAUGAAGUAAACAUGCCGGUGCUUUUGUACACCAACACGCUUACUUAAAUGUACUGGUGUCAUUCCUCACCGGUAGCCGGCUUGAAAAUUAACCAAUUAGAACAAUUAUUUAUUGUAUCGGUGUGAAUUUUGACCUAUUGGAAUAUGAAUUUGACCGUUACUGCAUUCGUCAAGACUCAAGAGAGAAAUAACUGAUCGGCUUCUUAGAGCGUGUGCAAUGUGAAAUCAAGGACUGGAUGGAAGUUGAAGCGCUAGCUUCAUCUUCCGCUGCAUGUUAAUUGCUUGGAUAAGAAGUUGUAGCCGCGUAUAUAAAUAGUCCCGCUGAUGCUGUGCUCCGAAGUCUAUACUAUAUAUGCGAAAACUAGAUUGCUUUCAGGAUUUUGGGUAACUAAAUUUAACAUUUGUACAUAAAAAUGUUAGUUUACGAAUGUUAAAUCUAGUUACCCAAGCAGAACAAGAAGAUAGUAUAUACUAUAUACUAUGUAAAUCAAGUUAACAUUUAGUCUAAAUGUUAUAUCUACUUACCCAAAAUCUUGAAAGCAAAGAAAGAAUAAGUAUAUAUCUUUUGUUGGAAAAUUGGUCCACGGAGAGUGGCCUCGUUCGUUUCACCGGGAUGGAAUUCCAGUCAGGAUUACUUCCAAGUCCGGUUUAAGUGAUUCCACCCAUGUCACUCAAUUCGGCUAGGAUUCAUUCCAGGGGUGAGGAGGUAUGGUUUCAAUCCGGGCCAUCUAAUGUAGAAGGAUUCCAAUCCAGGCCGGUUUUCGUUCUAGGCUAGACUAAAACGAACAACACUUUCAAUGCAAGUCUGGUUUCAAACCGGGCCACUUCAAACCACCCGGAAUGGACCUCAUUCCGGGCCAAUCCGGUGAUAACAAACGAGGCCUUAAUGGAAUCCCAAAGCAAGAGUUCAGUGGCAUUCUAUAGUCCCAUGCUGCUAGUUUGAGUUGGUCGAAGCCAACUUAAAUAGGAGAGCUCUCUCACUUCUCUAAAAAUGUAACUGAAGGAGAGAAGGGGGCUUGGGUUACACAACGCACGCACGCACGCAUAUUUGCAUUCUUUUCGCGUAACCGACCGCGUGACUUGAAACUUGCGACGUAGCGUGCUGCUAAGUCAAGUUGAUAUAACCUUUUUGCCGUUUGCGUGUAAUCUUUUGACAACGGUCAUUGGAGGUGAUAAGCACGCAGUCAAUACCUUAAUCCUGAGUUAAUAGGGCGGUUACUACUGCCAAUUAGUGCAGCAAUUUUGUAGGGGAAACGGUUAGCAGAGGGCUACCGUCUUCUCUAUAAGAAGUUUUGGAGACGUUCAGGAACACACAUGUACAUGUGAGAGACCCACGGAUUCCUUCCCUUCUCCCUUUUCCAUCUGGUGAAGUGUGCUAUGGUACUGAGCUGCUGGAUCUCGCCGGCUCUUCUCCUUGGCGUGCACCGAGGAGGAGGGUGAGCGGUAUCUCUGAGCUAUUGCCGUCAGGAAGCCUGCACGAGGGACAACAAUAAAGUUUUUAGGUAGCGCCUGCCUAAUCUUCGAUCUGCACUGCAACGUGUAACCCUGCAGCAACUCUACACGAGGACGGAGCACUAAUCUGUAAGUCCUAGAUUGGUUUCUUACAUAGUUGUAGGUUACACAAGAUCUAGAAUGGUUACAUACCAAUUAUUAUGGGUUACAUGAUGUUUUGUACGGUUUCGUCUAUUUUGCAUAUGCUAUUUUUUCUAUUUUGCAUAUGCUAUUUUUACAUACCGUUUACAUGCAUAUGUUAAUGGUUACACCUAGCUAUUUGAAUCUAGAAUUGGGUUACAUAGCAGUAGCAAUGAGUUACGUAAUAUGCCUCACGUUUAUAUCUGGUAGAAUUUAACACGUAUCUCCAACAUAUUUUGAGGCAGUAUAAAUUUCAAUUCCUUUUGCUGCUCUGUUAAAUCCCGUCUUUCGUUGUGGCCCAACACUCUAGUAUGCAUGUAGCACCAAGCUUGUUUGAGCCGCUUUGUGCUUUGAUUUUGCUGCGUAGGGGAAUCUGUAUCAGGUUGGACUGUUUCUUUGUCUUGCGAUGUAUAGCUUCAUAUCUUCUAGAGGUUAGACAGCAAAACCCGCAUUCUCUUAAGGCAACAACCCGAAGAAUCUGCAGCGCCUCUGAUAUAUCACUGCUGCAGAAACGAUCUUUAGUACUGAUCUCCAACCCUCUUUAGUAUCGGUUGGGCAACCAGUACCACUAUGUCGGUACUAAAGGGAGUUCUCUAGAAUCGGAUCAAAUAACCGGUACUAAAAGGGCUCCUUUACUACCGGUUGGUAACAACAAUAGGUAGUGACUUUUUUGCACCCAAAAAAUUAAAGAAUAACAGCCGGGAGGCUCGCACACACACGCAUCAUGAGUAAUAUGCGCGUGCAUGGUUUGUGGGAUUUCAACCCACGACCAAGCUAUAAGAACGUAGUUACAACAAAUCAAACACUUAGACAUUUUAGAGCAUCCCAAAUAACUACAAAUUCUAUAGUUUACCAUAUACCAUAAAAUAUUAGUUAAAAUAAGAGCAUACACAUGUCGGAAGAGUCCCAAUGCACCGGUUGAGGAUCAGACCAGGCACUUUGAAUGCACAUGCCAUAAGAUAAUUCUGCAGGACAAUGAUUGCAAUAAUGGACCAUCGAGAAGAUAGGGGCGAUGGGGUUGCCUCAUCAAUUAUCACUUGGCGCAACAAGACCAGCAAAGUCUUUAUCGACAGGGGUGGAUCAAGGGGUGGGGCAGGCAGAGCUCCAGUCCUCCUACCGCCGCUCGAACAAUGGAGCCCCCUUAGCCCCUCCAUAAAUUUUUAGGUAGAAGAAAAAAGAAGAGAAGGGAAGCAAGGGGAAGAAGAGGGAGCCCCUACUAAGUAGGUCGCCAUCGUGCUUCCCAACGCAUGAUCGCCGCACCGCAUCCAUUCCUCUACAAGCCUUCAGCGUCUCUCCCGCCGCUACCUCUGAACCAUGUGCAGCUAUAGACCCAACUAGUGUGUUGUCGCCCAUCUCAGUCCCAACAGAGCGGCGGCGGCUGCCAACACAAAUCUCCCUCCGCCUCUUCUUCACGGUCGAUGGCCGCCACAAGCAUAAACCUCGCCUUCGCAUCCAAGCAAAAGGGUCGUUGGGGUGCCUUCUUGCAUCACUUCUCAGCCUCCUUCACUUGCGGCCAGCGAAGAACUGCGCCACCACCUCGGGUGCGUGCCACCACUCCAGGGCCGCUACCCCAUGCCUGCGGCCGCCACCGGCCACCACGCGUGUGCAACCGCGUUGCACCGCUUCCCUGCUUUGUGCCACCACUACUGCUGUACCACCAGCUCCACCACCUUGGGAUGGUCGCCAGGGUGACUGAUUGGUGGAUUAUUACUAAAAAUAAGUUCCUUAUUAUCUGCAACUACUAUUAACUCAGAGAUACAUGCGUCUUUUCCUUCUCCUGCUAAUAGGUCCUAAAAUAUCUAGGAUGCUUUAUAUUUCUGGACAGAGGAAGUAUUUGAAUAAAAUGAACCAAUUUAAAAAAAAUGUGUUGUACACUACUACAGAAAGACCUAUCAGUGUCAAACCCAAAAAUGUCGUCACCGCCAGUUUUAGGCAUCGUUGGUGAAAGGUUGGCGGUGAUGGGCAUCCCCUUCAACAACGGCACUGGAGCCGACGGUGAUUGACAUUAGAAAACAAAAAAGGGAACCCCACCUAGCCACCCCUGCAACCCAGCCGGCCGUGCCUCCCCUCAUGCCCACCACCUCGCCUCCCCCGUGACCCCCCGCCGGCGCCCUUGUGCCUAGCCCCCUCGCCUGCCCGGCCGGCCACCCUCGUCAUGAGAGAGAGAGGUGCAUGUUGUAUAAUUGCGUGAAUUUUUGAAUGUUUAAUUUUAUGUAAGUUCCAUGUAAUAAAUUGUACAAGUUUUAUUGUAUAUAUGAAUUCCAUAUAUAUAUAUUUAUAAUUUAAUGUAUGGUUUCAUGUGUAUAUUUCAAUCAUGUGUAUAAUUAGUAGAUUGCCGAUUUUCUUUUUCUACUAGACAAGGGUUGAUGUAUAAUUACGUGUAUAUGUUUAUUGUAUGGGCAAUUAGGACAAGUUUUGUAUAAAUUUCUUUUAUUUCAUGGUUGUUGUAUGGUUUCAUGUAUAUACAUUUAUUGUACUACUUGAGACAAUUUUAAUUUAAUAUUUCUAUGAUUACAUGUGUGUAUAACUAAUUGUAUUAUUAGUUAAGAUGGGAGCCAAAGAGGAUGAAAGGUAUAUAAUAGAGUAGAUUAUUGCUGGCGGUAGUGGCUCAAACGUUGCAAGAACCUACACCGAGGGUGAGGGUAGCUAGGUGGACAUGUACCUCAACAUGUCCAGUGAUGGCAAUGACGAUGAGGAGCACGAGCAUGACGUCUAUGAUAAUGCGGAACAAGACAUUGCAGAAUUGGAAGGUUCUAAUGAGGUGUGCUUCAUGUUGACGAUCUAGUUGGCUUUUUUUCUUUGGUCACACCUUAGUUACCAUAGAACUUCGUCUCGGGAGAAGAUUGGUGGUGCUAUGGUGAUUGGAAUUUUAUUGCCUCCAAAUUUGAUUUCCAUCGAAUCAUAUCCCUUGUAUUUAUCUUCUUUUUAUUUGUGAGAGCAUCUUCUUUAUGCUUGCAAAACAAUUCAAGUGCACAUACUACCCCUAGGGUGAUGAUUGGGAGUAGAAACAAUUGCCAACAAAACAACACCACAUCCUAAGAUUCUUAACUUGUGGCAUAAUUAAUCUAGUGAAAAGAAAGAUAAAAACCUAAUGGGUGUACGUGAGUGCAAUGUGUAUAUGCAUAUGAGUGGAAGGCAUAUAAGCAAAGACAAUAUUUACACAUAGUUCUAAACACGAUGUUUACAGCUAGGUUGCUGAAUUUCUCCAUAGCUAUAGAGAUUAAUUAACCAAGGUCAAAACACGAUGUCUAUCCCAAGAUCAGUAAUUCUUUAUAGCACAAGAAAAAGAAAGCGCAUUGCAAAGUUUAUAAACCAACCAAUACAGCAUGAAAACAAGAUGAAUAGCUAGCAAGGUUUAUUAAAUUGAAUGAUGACGGUCUGCAAGCAAGUUUGAACACCAUCUUUACACAAGAUUGCAAAUGGAAAAUGCCCAUAUGAAGCACUAACAUGGAUAUGAAAUCAUUCAUCAUAAAGCGUAAAGAACAACCAAGUAGUUUUUAAUGGCAUAUACAUGUAUAAUAUAGUUUAGGUGCUAAAAUUGAUAUUCACAGCUAUUUUGGGCUCCAAUUCGCGUCCAAACCAACCUAGCCCACAGACCACACCCGGCCGGCCAGCUCAUCGGCCCAUCUAGUCACUGAUCCUUCCACCACCACACUCAGCCCAUCAGUCGGUCAGGUCCCGAGCUCCUGCCUGACCUAGUCCGCUACCGCCGCCAGGCGCCAAGCACAGCCGUACGCACUGCACCGCCCCCGUCCACCCAUGUCCGCUGCGCGGCAAAGCCGCGCCCCCCAGCCCCCGCGGUGAGAUCUCGACGCCCGCUGCCGCCAGACCCCAUUAGGCCUCCACCGGCAAGUCCACCCACAGUCCCACACGACCUAGUCCGCUNNNNNNNNNNNNNNNNNNNNNNNNNNNNNNNNNNNNNNNNNNNNNNNNNNNNNNNNNNNNNNNNNNNNNNNNNNNNNNNNNNNNNNNNNNNNNNNNNNNNNNNNNNNNNNNNNNNNNNNNNNNNNNNNNNNNNNNNNNNNNNNNNNNNNNNNNNNNNNNNNNNNNNNNNNNNNNNNNNNNNNNNNNNNNNNNNNNNNNNNNNNNNNNNNNNNNNNNNNNNNNNNNNNNNNNNNNNNNNNNNNNNNNNNNNNNNNNNNNNNNNNNNNNNNNNNNCCCCCCCUCCACCAGGACUGCUUGUUGGCCCCCACCGCGAGGUAAUCAAAAUGGACGGCUCAAUCACUCAAUCUGUUGACAUGAUGCACACGGUUGCAAAAAUAGAUGUGUCAAAAUAGAUAUAUUGCUAAUUGCUAUAGAUGCAUACGGUUGACAUGAAGAAGUUAAAAAUGACAUUUGGUUCCUUGUAGGCAGUCAAAAAUGAAGUCAAAAAAUAUUGAUCUGAAAUCAAUGUGGGAAAGGGCUACGAAGACACACAGAUUCCCUUGUGAACUUUUUAUGUCAUUCGUCUAAAUAUUUUUUUGCAAUGGGCAUACCCUACUCUGAAAUCCUGGGUCUGCCACUGAUGAUGAUGGUCUAAACAUAAAACAAGCCAAGAUUAAUUAGCCACAACUGAAAUUAAACAAAGGUUAAUGUCAUUGACCCUAGCUCUAUCCUAGCUUUUACAAAAGUCCCGGCACAUAUAGUGGUUGGGCCCACUCUCUCUGCUUCCCUCUCUGCUGCAUGCAUGCACACGAGCAACGGGAGGCCCCACAAAGCCCAGAAGGGUUCGGCUGAACCCGGCCGAUCCAAUCUGAGCACCACUCCCUCCCAGCCUUCGCGCAGAUGCUCCUCCAACAUUCCUUGACCCCUCCCUCAGCGUCCCAUUGGGUUUAACAUUGCAGGAGAGGAGUCCCUUUUUUAAAAUCUCAACCACCUCCUCUCCUCAUUCACUCCACUCUCAUCUCCAUCAAACUCACCAAGAUCCACAUCGGAAAUCCCUGCUUACCACCAUGGCUGGCAAAGCCCUCGUCCCUUUCACCAACUUGGGCUUAACCAUUGAUCUCGAUGGGGAAAUCACUCCGGAAAUAGGGCAGUGACCCAGAGCAAAGGUGAUGCCAGAGUGUAGAUAGCAGUUAGCAUGCCAAAUUGUGAACCGCAAGCGCUCGGAUUAGUUGUUUUUUUUCCCUUAGAGAUUCCCCCAAGGUUUAUCAAUCCAUGGAACAAGGGAUUUGCACAUUUCACUAAGCAUUAAUCAAUGUAAUUGAAAGCUUUUUGAAUAAGAUAUGAUUAUGCUAACAAAGGAACUAAGCAAUCUAGAUUAAGAUGGAUAGAGAGUAAAGGUUGUGAACAAGAUAGAUUAAACGCUUAUAGAUGCAAUCACCAUGCAUGAAUGAAUUAGAUCUAGGUGUUAUUGUGAGUGGUUGUGAACCAUACCCCAACACUUUCCCACCCGCAACAUUGUCACUACAUGUGGGUACUCAACUAUCGAAACAUAAGAACACAUCAAGAUGAUCAUUCUAGGUAAGCAAAUAAGCAACCCAAAGUAGCGCUGGCCAGCCUUUUCAUGAAAGAGCAUCAUCAAGAUAAGAUUGAUAACAAAAUAGAUCUCAACCAAAGGUUCAGCGAUUACAAAUCAAGAUCUCCGUAUAACCCCGAUGACAAAUAGAGGUAUUACCCCCAUGAUCUUACACAUGUUGAUGAAUUUUAGGGUAAAGGACGCCCUGUAGAUCAACUGGACCAAAGAUGAUGAUGAACAGGGGCAGGGAAGGCCCAGGCUGAUCAGCCUGGGCACUUUUGAGCCGAUCAGCUUAGGGAGUUUCCUCCUCCCCUGGUGCUCCUCUUCGCGUGGCCUCCUCUGGAUCCAAUCUUCUCUUCAUUUCUCCUACUUGUGGUGGCAAUGGAUGGUGUUUGCAUGGUGAUUUCCUCUUCUCCCCAACUCUCCCUCCUUGAAGUCCAUGAGGGGGUAUUAAUAGUCUCCAAUAUGCGGCAGCUCUGGGUCAAUGUCGGUGAAAAAACCCUAGAGAUCAUCGUACACUUCACGCUGAGGAAACAAGAGGUCGACCGAGCCCUGGGAUAGACCAAGAGGAUCAGCCUAGAGGGUCCCAGGCCAAUCGGUCUAGGCCCUUCCUAGCCCUUCUAGUCCUCUCCUUCCUCGUGCUGGCUUUUCUCGAUGACCCUUGUCCAAAUAUCCAUUAAGCUCUAUAUACAUACCCCCUUGAUUAUGUCGUAUUUCCUGUCAAAAUACAAUGCUCCAAAAUACAACACAUAUGCAAUAAUAGGGUUAUUUCAUGUGCCAAUUGGUGCGUUAGUAUACGAAUAAGCAUGAAAAUACUGGUUAAAUGACACUAAAAGUGUGUCAAUAACGAGCACCAACAAUCCCCCCACGCUUAGAUCUUGCUCGUCCUCGAGCAAGUCUAGCGACUAAAAGAUCUUGAAUUAAACAUGAGCAAGCGAGUCAAGUACCUAGCCUUGAAACAAAAGAUUAGAGGAGCAGCAAAGAUAAUCAAAGUCUGGGUGUUCAAAGAUUUAUCUAAGCAAAGAUUCCCCUACAACUAUUAUUCAGAACCAAGUAACUUCAAGAAUCAACUACACUUAUUUUCUGGCUUUUUUCAGAGGGUUUUUCUUUCAUCACAAAACAAUCUCCCUGCAACAAAAUUGAAAAAAGAAUUAUUUUCCAGGUGCUUACAUGUCGUUUAAAUGAAUGUUCGCUAUCCUACUUAUUUGCAAGCUCUCAUCUCUCAAAAUUCAUUCAAUUAUAUGGUGGAGCUUGGGUAAGGUUAGCUAGAAUCAACACGUAUAUUAUUGAAUUAAGAAAACCCUCUAACGGUAGCCUACCUUUCGAGCCAUUGAUCAUAAGAAUAUCCACAUAAUGUGAAGUUUUCAAGGAUGAGAAUAGAAUGGUGGACAUGUGCAAAGGAAAAGAAAUAUAGUGACUCUGAGGCACAAGCAAUGUCCUCGUCGUUGGAUUGCAUAUGGUUGGAAUGAAAAUCUGUUCCUUAAACAAGUCCAUCUUUUCUUUGCACCACUCUUGAUCUUCAUGACAGUAAAAACUCCUCCUUUAUUUCUUUCUCUCUUUUCCUAUUAUUUCUUUUUAUUUGUCUCAAUACUUUUCUUUCUUUAUUUCUUUAUUUUAAUCUCUUCUCCGAACCUCUUCUGAACACCACACAAUAAAAAUCAGUUUUAGAUCCUUCUAGAGACCUUCCAGGAAUUUGCUACAUGAAAACCGAGGCAAGGAGACCCCAGGCCGAUUGGCCUGGCCACUCCUUUGCUCUCCUCUAGCUCUUCUUUCUUGUGAAGCUUCCUUAUCUUGUAUCUUUCCAAAAAUUUCAUAAAGCUCAACUAGAAACGGAACACAUCUUCAUAUAAUGAGUUGUGUUCAAGGAAUUGGUAAUAAAAUUGAGAAAUUUGUGGUUCGGGUUUACGAAUUCAGUACAAAAAUAUGAUUAUUCCAAUGAAGAACUCUCAUUACUGAAUAUUGACGAGGCAAGCAUUCAAAGAUGGUAAAAAGGAUAUGAUCAAUUCUCAGAAUUAAAGCAAACCAAGAGAGAGCGAUCCUAAUUCAAUUCAAAGUGUCAAAUGUUGCUUAUGGUGGUAUGAAUAAAUAUUUUUAGGCAUUGGGUAGGAUAAAUAAAAACUCUCAACCUGGUUAAAAGAUAUUGAUCAAUCUUGUUUUUGCAGAGGUUUUAAAUAAAAAAUAAAAUUUUAAAUCACCUCCAAUUCAAAGCCUUACUCAUAAAUCAUAAUCAAAACUGAAGCACUUGAUCAUCAUAAAGCAUGGGUAUUGCAUAAACAAAUCGAUUACUAAAACUCCACAACUACGAUUUAGAAUUCAAGACAAUGCUCAUAAUCUAAAGUUGCAAAGACAAAAUAAAAGACAAGCAAGCCAAGGUAGACACUAAAAACACUUGCACGAUCCUUGAAUUUUAUUCAUGCUUCUUCUCACAAAGACGCUAAAGUAGCCAUGUAGGCCUAAGUCUUCCCAAAAGCUUAAGAAGACUACUACUUUAUCUACUUUUGGUUGAAAUAAAAAUACUAAUCUAGACUCUCACAUGAUUCGACUCGACCAAACUAGAUCCAAAAACUCAUACGAGCGACAAUCUCCCCCCCCCCUCUCAAAUCUACGACCUCCUCGUGGUAACCAUAUGGAGUACAAGGAAAAGACGCUUGUAAACGCACUAAUGACGCUACCCGGACUACUUGCACACGGAAUGGUUGUUGUUUCCUUUGCUUUGUUCUUCGUCAUGUUGCUGCACAUCCCGAAGAGCUUCCUCACGUUCCUCUGCAAGAACUUGAACUUGAACUUGUCCUCCUGACGGCAAUCAUUAUCUUCUGCCUUUUGAUCCAGAGCUUGUAAGGCUUGCAUGAUGUCAUCGAACGCAUCGAAGAGGUAGUGGAUGUUCUUCCUGCAAGCUGUGGAACAUGUACGAUCAUGCUCCUACGAUUCUGGCCCGUCGUCUUCUAGAUCCUCCUCUUUGCCCUUGUCUUGACGGUGGCCAUCUUGCUCCUUGCUCGUCUUCUUGCCUUCAGCCCGAUCCCAGUACGUGUUGUCAUCUUCUUCAUCGUCACGGCCUGCAGCACCCUAUGAUCCAUUGUCUAUCUUGUAUGAAAGAAUCAGAAGCUUGUUCUCCUCAGGGUGUCUUGCGCGGUGCAGCGUUUGCAAGUGCAAGGCUUGCUAGUUCUUUUUACACAUUGUAAUGUUCAUUGCAUGCUCUAAUUGUUCUACAUUUGUAAUUUCUUGGUGAAGUUUGGUUACUGAUCCACUGUUUGAUUAACUCUUGGGCCCAAACACUGUACUACUUCUGAUUAGAUAUCUGUAUCUUAACUUUGACCAAAAAAAAUAUCCGGCAGUUUUUGCCAUUAAAGUUUCAUAAAUCAUCUUGCAAAAAUCGUACUAUACAACAAGGGACGGUUUAUUAUAAAAUAUACGUUCCCCUUAUCACAUGCCACUUCCACUCAAAAGGCAACGAAUCAGUUUUCAAUCCUGAGUGAGCAAUUUGCUUUUAUUACCGAUGCCUCCUAUUCCCUUGUGCACCAAGUUCAUUUUGGAUAGGACUGCAAAAAGCGACUAACCAGCUCGGAUUCUCCACCUGCAAAACCGCAUCUGCAGCAACCAACCCCACGCGGUGGAAAAAAAAACAAAACCCAGAAACCGGACGGGGGUGGAUGUGGGGCUCGGAGCCCAAGCAAAAAAAAGGAUCGGGAGCGCCGGAGCAGGCCAUCACCGGAUGUUAGAGAUAGAAAAUGGUUGAAGUUGGAGUGGAAAUCAAACAAGCCUUGGAGCAAAGGAAAAAAAAGAUCAAACCACUCAAGCAUUCAUUUGAUUUAGAAAAGAGAACAUUUGUUAAGGUGGGGAGUUGAAAUCAUCUUUUAAUUAGUUCCACGUAUCUGGUAUCAUUACAGUUGGUUUACUUGUGUAAGUAUAUAAGUAGCUCUGCCGAAGCCUUUGCUCCUAUAAUUUAGUAACUAGUACAAAUGGAUCAUUAGGAAAAUCAAGUUGCAAUCAUUUCUCAGCCAACCAAACCUAUCUAAAUCAAAUUAUUGUCCAUGCCCGGCAUGCACAGGUGCCUGCCAUGCAUGCAUUGUUGCUCCAUUGUAAUAACCAUUAUUGUCCAUUGAUGUUCCAGCGCAUGUGUGCACUGUGCAGACACCAAGCAUCGAGAUUAUGUACUAGUAAGGUACCAAGAACACGUGAAGCACACGGGGGAGGCUGCUCCACUCGGCAUGCACAGGUGGGGCACGGCACCACUACUCGUCUCCUUCAGGCAGAGGACAAGUGAUGUACGCUGAUCAACCACUAGUAGAAAAACGACUUUCCAUCCGCCCCUUUUGUCCCGGUUUAAAGUUGGCCCGGGACAAAAGGUUCACCAACCGGGACUAAAACUCGGUCACUGGUGGGGGGCUCACCAACCGGGACCUUUUAUCCCGGUUGCAAAGGCUAGUGGGAAAAAAAGACUCUGAGAGGCCUUUUAUCCCGGUUUGAAACACCAACCGGAAUAAAAGGUGGUCUUUUAUCCCGGUUGGUGUUUCCAACCGGGAUAAAAGGGUCCCCCACGAGUUAAUACAAAAGGAUAGUAUCCCCUAUAUAGUCAGAUGUGGUGUGUAGGUGGGAUGGCAAGGAAGCUACGCGCGAGGCUGGAGGUUGUGGGUUUGAAUCCCACGAACCGCGCACCCCCACCACGGCAAACGGAGGUGAUGGCGGAAGGUGAGGCAACGACAGUAGCUGGUGAGCUCCCGCUCCAAUGUCUCGCGAGUGAAGGAGGAGGAGGUGGCAUGGGAAUCGAAGAGGAGGCCGCCGCUGGCGGGUUUAGACUACGUGGAUGUGUGGGUAGGGUUAAGGUGACGGUGUGGACUAGUAUAUAUAAGAUGUCUGGGCUUGUUAGAAUAAGAUAACAUUCUAACCGGCCAAAUUCGGACCCGGUUAGAUUAAAUUGAUAUUCUAACCGGUCCUAUUUCUAGGUGGUAAGAAUAAGUUAACAUUGUAAUUGGCUUUAUUUGGAACCCGAUUGAAUCUUCUUGUUAUUCAAAAAAACAUCAAGUUCAUCAAUUUUAAUCCAGAAAAACAUCAAGAUAAUUUAAGCACGAUAUAUAACAAGAUUAAUAAAUUUAAUAAUUGUUUGAUCCACAAAUUAACGAUAUUUAACAAAUUCAAAAAAUCCAAAUUAACAGAACACAAUAACCAAUUGUUCGAAAAAAUCAAAAUAAUCCACACACAUUAAUAUAUUACAAAUUCAGAAAUAUAUCAAAAUAAUCCCCGAUCCACUCGAUACCGUCAUAGGACUUUUAAAUACUGAGCUUCUUGAUUCGUCUGAGGUCCACGUACUCGUCUCAGUAACACUAGUGAUGGCCAUGCAUCUUGUAGAUGUCUUCUAACGAAUCAAGCUUGACGUACAAGGUCAUGCCUUCCGCUCCUUGAGGAUAACCAUCUUUGGUGAUCUUGAAAUGGCAGACGGUGGAUGUGCCAAAGGUACGUAACGAUCCUUCUAAAUGUAUGCCACCACAACUUCCGUCUGAUCGCCAUGGGUGACACCAAGAAGAGCUACCAUGCGGCAAGGGACGAACAAUUUAUCAAUUAGUGCCGCUGUCCAUUCGCCAUCAUCUAAUCCAGCCAUAUCUUGAUGUAUAUUUAAGUAUAGAAAUUAAGAUUUAAAAAUAAACAGAAUAAAUUGAGAUCGACUAUGUAUGUAUAUCAGAACAUUAGCUUUUGGAAAAAGGGCUUCGAUGGAAGAGAGGCACGGGGCAUAGAGACAACAACGAGUGACAAUAUGUCAGAAGAAUACCCGAUCACAAUUAUUGGCUACAGGACGGGCACACACAGCCGAUAUUUACAGUAGUCAAUACCCCUGGUAAAUAACCACACCAUCAAGAGUAAAUAGUGACAAUAUGCAGUAUAUACACGACAUAGCCUUGGUUGCCGUGGAAGCGCCAGAAGGGAGACAAAUAACAGGGACCACAACAUCAAGUAGAUAGUGACAAUAUGCAGAAGAAUACCCGCGCCUGUUAGCAUGUGUGAACUGACCACACCACGAAACGUGAUACACGGCAAGCGUACCAAGGCCUUGCUGUGCAGACUAUGCAUGGACAACACAUGGUACCUGACCGCUUUUGGCCUCAGACACAUCGAAAAACUGCAUCGUUCCACGUUGUACAUCCAUUGCUAGUUUAUCUAUAUUACAUAAUAUAUUAUUAGCUAUUUGAAUAGAAUGAACCAAUUAAAAAAUUGCGUUGUAUUUUAGUACCGGCUGCAGGAUGGUGUUACCAACCAGUACUAAUUGGCCUGUAGGAGUGAUGGUUAUUAGACUUGGUACUGUUGUUAGCAUCAUUAACCUAAUUGUGCGCGGUAUGAAUUUGGGGAUGCAAAGCUAGCUCUCUAUGAAUGUGAGGGAUGGAAAGCUAGUUCUCUAGUAGUAAUUAGCUAUAUAUAUAUGUCAGUCAAGAAAUCGAACACUAUGCUGCUACGAGUCACCAUCAUUUCCUUCAUUGACAAUCUGACAUAGGUGAAGCUGCUUCAAGAAUUUCCUUCGCGCAGUCGUGGAGCUUAUUGGAUUAUCACCAGGACGGGACACGGAAAUGGCCAGCAAUGAAGCUGAUUGCCGUCUGAGGAAGAUUACAUACUUACCUAUGAAAUGAAGCGAUUGCAUAGACUAAUGAAGCAUUGCAUAUUUGCAUGUGAGUGUGGCAGAUAAUUCUGCAGGACAUGAUUGCAAUCCACGCACCAUCGAGAAGACUGGGGCGAUGGGGUUGCCUCAUCAAUAAUCACGUGGAUGCAUGCAUGCAUGUUCCCGCAACCGGACAAGGGUCUGAUAUAUGGCUAUAGUAUUACUGAGCCCACAUCAAUAAUUUCCGCUGGUGUAUCGUGUGGGAAGAAUCAACAUACUACACCUCGAGUUCUUGGAACUAACUGACGUUCACAUGCAACCUCCACAAGGUGCUGUAUAUAUGCUUUUGACAUUCACCUGCCAGUUCGUGUAGAGGACACCCUAACGUAUGGUUAAUAUUAUCCAUUUCAUGAGUAAAAUACUGUGAUUCAAAAAUACUUCAAAUCCCUUGAGACAAUACUUCUCACUUGACUAACCACUAACCAACCCCGAAACCCUAACUCAACUCCGAACCCUAACACCUAACGGCAUAACCACUCCGUUUUGCCAGCCAGAUGGAGGAACUGGCUGGGAGGGAGAGAGGGCAGCGGUCCAGGGUUGAAAACGACGGGCGAGCGCAGUAACAUGUGGAGGAGGAAGUGCCACGUAUUCGUUCACCGCUAUUGGGCAGCGACACACAACACGCCCAAUAAGAUUUUCGCACGGUAGAAGGGCGCCAUGUAUUCAAUAAUGUUAUUGGUCCUCCAUGUGCAGAAGGGCGCGUAUGGAAUAACAAGUAGGGACACUGCAACUAAUCUACUCUGCUCGUCCAGUCCCUAGCCUAUAAAUAGAUGCCAUGCUAGCUCUUGUUGUGCUCACAGUUAAUCCGAUUACACACGAGCUUCUCUCCCUGGCCAAGACACAAUCAUAGUAUGAUGAAGAACAUGGCACUAGCCGGCAAUGGUAUGAAGAAGUUAAUCCUCGCUGUUCUCUUACUGUGUCUAGUUAUAGGGCAGAUACAAGUGGAAGCUAAGAGCUGCUGCCCAUCCACCACUGCAAGAAAUGUCUACAAUACCUGCCGUUUGACGGGUGCAUCCCGUCCAACGUGUGCAAAACUGUCAGGCUGCCAAAUUAUCAGCGGGAACAAAUGCAAGCCCCCUAACGACCACCUCACCCUUGACCCGGACACUGGUAAAUAAUAAAUUUAUCUCACUUGAUUUCUUUGUGUUUUGAGUCGUUAAUGUAUUUUCCAUCUGAUGAAACGCAUUGGUUUUGCAUUGAAGAGGAAGUUAAUGUGCUUAACUUCUGCAAGUUGGGGUGUGCGUCGUCUGUGUGCAACAACAUCAACGCUGGUAAGCACCUUUUGCUCAGACAGAGAAAACAAUAAUCAUUAAUUAGCGGCAGCUAGAAUCCUAUAAUCUAAUAUAUAUAUAUAAUUUUAUCAGCUCUGGGAAAUGAAGAGGCGAACGAUGCCGUUGAGAGUUGCGACCAAGCCUGCUCUAGCUUCUGCAGCGUGCAUGUUGGCAGCGCCACCGUGGUUGCUUAAGCAAAUGCAUCCAACUAGAUCGUCCUUGUGCUGAAUAAUUGGAUAUCGUAUCCACUUAAAGCUGCCUUGUGUAGUACGUCUUUGUGUCUCUCUUUAUAUUCCAAUAAGGUCGGUGAUCUUGAUGCCACACACUCAGAUGUGUGUUCAUCUCCAGAUACUACUCCAUGCUACCUGCCCUUUGUGUUUUGUUCAAUAACUGGGUAUCAUAUCCCAACCAGUAUGCCGUCUGUUUUGUGUUUGUUUCCUUCUAGUUCCAAAAGGGUCAUCAUGAUGUUACCUUCUUUCAAUAUGGUGCUUUGCAUGACUACUGUUGUAUGGUACCAUCUUGUGGCCAAUAAGUACAUCUUAUCCUAUGACCCUUUGCUAUGACCCUUUGCAAAUAAGUAGAAGAUUGUUAUAAGCGUCAAUACUCAGUAUAAUUGAUCGCUGCUGUGAGUUCCCUUUCAGCUUAUCGUAGGCAUACAUUAUUGCUAGCACGGUAAAGCCAACCAACACGAAUGAUGAAGUAAACGUAGCGGUACUUCUGUAUACCAACACCCUUACUUAAAUGUACCGGUGUCAUUCCCUACUGGCACAUAUAUUCUUAUAUGCUAGCCAGCUUGUAAAAUUAACCAAUUAAAAUAAUUAUUUCAAGAUAGAAAUAACUUAUCGGCUUCUGGAAGCAUGUGUAAUGUGAAUUCAAGGACUCGACGGAAGUUGAAUCACUUCAUCUAUAUUGCUUUCAGGAUUUUGGGUAACUAAAUUUAACAUUUGCACAUACAAAUGUUAAAGUACAAAUGUUAAAUCUAGUUACCCAAGCAGAAUAUGAAGAUAGUUUAUAGUAUAUAUAUACUAUAAAUAUACUAUAUAAAUCUAGUUAACAUUUAGUCUAAAUGUUAAAUCUAGUUACCUAAAAUCCUGAAAGCAAAAUGUAUAAAUAUAUAUCUUUUAAGGCAGUAUAAGCUUCGAUUCCUAUUGCUGCUCUGUUAAAUCUCAUCUUUCGUUGUGGCCCAACACUCUAGUAUGCAUGUUGCACCAAGCUUCUUUGAGCCGCUCUGCCCUCUGAUUUUGCUGUGUAGGGGAAUCUUUAUCAGGUUGGGCUACUUCCAGUUGUGCGAUGUAAAGAUUCGUAUUUUCUAGAAGGUAGACAAAAAACUCGCGUUCUCUUAAGGCAACAACCGGAAGAUUCUGCAGCGCAUAGGGCAUACCAUUAUUGUAGAAACGACCUUUAGUACCGAUCUCCAACCCCCUUUAAAACUGGUUUUGCAACCGGUACCGUUAUGUCGGUCCUUUAGUACCAGAUCAAAUAACCGGUACUAAAAGAGUCAACUAAAAGGACUCUUUUAGUACCGGUUGGUAACCAGUAUCAACUUGUUUUGUGGCCAAAAAAAUAAAGAAAAAAACAGUCAGAAGGCUCGCACACACGCGCAUCACAUGAAAUAUGCGUGUGCGGGGUCCAUGGGAUUCGAACCCAUGAAAUCAAGCUACGCGCGACCCUUCGUUACCAUCUCACCUGAAGUAACCCGUGGAGGAGGCUUUAGUACCGGGUCAUAACACCACCCGGUACUAAAAGUGACUCUUCAGUACCGGGUCAUAACACCACCCGGUACUAGUAUCGGAUGGUGUAAUGACCCGAUACUAAAAGGCCUCUAGGGACCCUCAAAUUUGAACCCGGUACUAAUGCUAAUAUUAGUACCGGGUCAAAGUGCAGCCAGAACUAAAGCAUGGGAUGAAAGGUCAUAUUUCUAGUAGUGUAUAGUUGUUGUGAAGGACUUACUUGGCUGUCCUCUCUCUUCUCCAUCCCCUUGGUCUUACGCCGCCGCUCGCACGCGAGCUGGUGCCCAACCAGAGGAGUGAGAGCUAGGGGCAGGUUGGGAGGUGGGGAUAGCGACUGGUGGCCAGGGUGAUGGUUGAUCCUGGCGGGGUUAGGGUUUUAGGGUUUUCGAGCUUCCUAUGGUCGGCGAACCUAGAGGAGGAGCUCAACAUCAGCUGCAACCCGCGAUGGUGGUGGUUUGGCCAGCGCCCGAGGCGAGGCAGCGCGGGAGUGCUGCCGGUGGGUUGGUGUUGGCACUCAUUAUUGACAACUAUUUUGUUCAUAAAAUAACACUCAAACUUGCUGCUGCUGCCGCCGCCAUCGCCACCCUAGCCAUAAUAUAAAGGCAAAAUUUGCUAAAGGACAUGCAAAAUGAUGCUAGUUUGCUGGCGGGCAUCGUUGACCUUGUAAUAUGCUACAAGACACUCUAGUUGUGUAUCAAUUUGCUGAAAGACAUUGCUAUGACUAAAAUAAUGUUUCUGGACUGAGUUGGAGAGAGAGAUGGAGUGAAAUGUCUGUUUUGCCCAUGACCCCACUGGUCAGAUCCUUCUUCUUCCACCCUCCUUUGUUCUUUCUUCAACCAUUACCCAGCUCCAGCGUGUUGCAGAUCUACGAGGGUGGCGGCCUGGGGCGAGGGGCAUUGCUCGCCCUCGGAGGAGCGCUGCGAGCGACGGCGCGGGGGCGGCAACCGCGCGUCAGAACCUGACUGUUCGUUAGCUCCUCUCGCUGCUGGGGAAGAAGGAGGGGGAUGGGCCAUGGACGGGGUUCCCUUGAAAACCUCAGCGUCGAGCUCGGGCGGCUACGCGCAGGCAGCACUAGGCUGCUUCACGGGGAGGGGGCGCGGCCAAUCAUUGGCACCCCACUGGUCCAAUGCUGAUGAAGAUGGUGCCAGCGUCGUGUGAGGACAUCUCAUCUCCUCGAGUUCCAUGGCCAGCACAGGUGAGCUGCCGCUACCACAAAACAGAGAUUUCGUGAGAGUCAAAAAACCUUAUGAAAAUAGCUAAAACCAUCAUGAAAAUAAUCCGUGACAUGACACUCUCACGAAAAUCCUCUCACAAAUAUGGUGCCAUGAAAAUACCAUUUUCAUGAGAGUGAACUGUCAUGAUUUUAUUUCGUGAGAGUAUUUCCUAUCAAUGACCUCCACGAAAUACUUUGUGCCACCAGGUCUUCAAGAUCAUUUUCAUGAGAGCUGAACAUCAGGAAAAGUCCGCCACAAAUGUUUUUCUUGGAGCCUCUAACUCUCAUGAAAAUCAUGCGGGCCGCCACGAAAAACAGCAUGACCAAAUGACAAAUUUUAUUUUCAUGUGUUCAUACCGUGAAAAUGGUCAUUUUCAUGAGAGUUGAUGAAACAAAAAAUAGUGCCAUUUUCAUGAGAGUUCAAGCAACCAGGAAAAGACACUAAUAAACAUCCAGAUCCCAUCCAGCACACAUCCAUGCACACAUAUAACCCACAUAUUGCUCCAGCACACAUCCAUGCAUAUACAAGAUCCAAAUGUUAAUAUAGUAGACAUCCAUGCCUGAACUAGUCUGCCACACAAGUCAUUGAUGCUACAAAUCCUACAAUCGCAGCAUGUGCAUACAAGUCACAGAAUGAGACAAUGUACCCAAAACUAAAAGGUUAGCAUCAACUGUGCUUCAACCAAAGUUGUCAUCCCAACUCUCCUCUUCAUCCAUGCCAUUCUUGUCAUGGCCGUCACUGUCAGUCCCCAUGGCAUUGCCAAUGCUGUGCAUGUCUUGGUAGGAACCUACAUGUGAUGAACCAGUAACCUGCAAAAAGAACUCAAAGGAUCUUGUUCUCAUAUUGUUCUCAUAUUGUAGCUGUGAAAUUCUUACAAGUAGUGUUGCAAUCAGUUCACUUUGAACCAAAAGAGCUCAAAGGAUCUUGUCCUAAAAGUUCCUCAUAAAGCUUAUGGGUUUGCUGGUGGAACUGGAAGGGCUUGAUGCAGCAGAUGCCAUUCUGCAAUAGAGAAAAAUUUAGAGAGCAGUAAUAGUUAAAAUUGGAUGCAGCAGAUACACAUGAAACUAGUAUUUAUACAAGUCUAUACAAUUAAAAUCUAAGGAGACUUAUCAUCGUUUUCAUGUGUUGCGAAUUAAAAUAAUGAAGGAUACACUGUUAGGUGAAAAUUCAAGAAACAAAAUUUUGCAUAGAGAUAAAGGUCCAACAUUAUUACAAGUUAAGGUAGUUUUAAAUAUCCUUGUAAUCUUCCUUUGGUUUCCUCAACGAUUCGAAGACAAUAACCUUGCUUCUAUCAAUGAUAAUUAUAAGGAGAAUCCAGUGGAAACUGUGUAUUCAUAUUAGAACUACCUAAGGUUAAUUAGGUUAGGAAAGGAAAUCGAAAAUAGAUGGUACCCACACUUACUUAAAGUUGUCGGGCAAUAGUAUGUAAUGCUUGUAAUUCCGUUGCUCCAAGAAUUUGUAUAUGUGGUCCAAUGUAGACUUUGGUUGAUCCCGUAUCUGCUGUUGGUUAAAUAAGUGUUUCUAGCCAUUUCUAGCCAUUAGAACUGGGACUAAAGGGGGCUCUUUAGUACGGGUUGAUAUUACUAACCGGGAUUAAAGAGCCCCCAUUAGAGUUGGUUUUUGGAUGCGGAACUAACAACUCCUUUAGUCCUGAGUACGAAAACGACUGAGAUAUUUGUUGCUUGGUUGAAGGUCCUUUCUCUACCGUGAAUAUUGCCAGAAAGAAUUGAAAGAGACUGCUUGCUAAAAAUAUGUCAUAGAUGUAGACCAAGCUACCAAGGAGGUAGCACUAGUAGAGAAUUGACUUUCGAGCCGCCCCCUUUUAUCCCGGUUUAAAGUUGGCCCAGGACAAAAGGGGGUGCGCCGGGGUGCGGAAAUUUGGAGGGGAGCAUUACUCCCGGUUGGUAAUUGCAACCGGGACUAAAGGCCCCCCUUUAGUCCCGGUUGCAACGGCUAGCUGGGGGGCAUCGGUGGCCGGACCCUUUUAUCCCGGUUGGAUCCUCCAACCGGGAUAAAAGGGACUCCCUUUUAUCCCGUUGGAGGAACCAACUGCGAUAAAAAGUUUAGUCCCGGUUGGUGCCUCCAACCGGGAUAAAAGGGUGUCCCUUUUAUCCCGGUUGGAGGAUCCAACCGGGACUAAACUUCCAACCGGGACAAAAGGUGUUUCCUUUUGUCUCGGUUGGAGUUUUUAACCGGGAUAAAAACUCAUCCCCCACUAUGUCCCGAGACAUAGACUUUCUUCUUCCUCCAGCCCGAGCCAGUCCAGCACAUUGAUAGAGAGCUGAGCUUCACCUACUCUCCGGUGGUGCCAAAGCAAGGGAGGUGCUGCCCGAAGUUUUUUCCCUCAUUUUCGUGGGAAUUUGACUCAGCCAACACAAGUGUUGCGAAGGUUUGCUACUUCAUCCUCGUGUUAUGCUUUGAUUUAUGCUUUGGAGAUGGAAAGAUUAUUUGCUACAAUGUGAUGAUGAAGUAGAAAAAUGGAGAGGUAUUUUGAGCUAGAAUGUGAGGGAGAUUGAUGUGUCAUAUAUAGUAUGCAUUAUUUCAGUGGUUUAAAAAUGAUGCUACCUUGUCUAGACGGUUUAUCUUAUCAAAUUCAAUAUGGUUUUUUAAAUCCAUAUACUUGUUGAACUUGCAUACCGUGUUCAUUUCGGCGAGAAUGUUCUCCGCCGAGCAGCAACGUAUGUCAAGAAGGAGGUUCGAUUCUACGAGAAAGAGUGGAUACGGACAUCGUGACCAUGUCCCCUUUUCCGUAGCAUCUAACCUCUUUCAUGACGAAGUGCGGUGCCACCCAGCUGAGGACAUCCUCGCGAAAUGAACACGGUCUUCAAGUUCAACAACUUCUGUAGUGGUAAGGAAAGAAUUUUUGUACAUAGAUGACUUCUGCUACUUGUUGAACUUGCAUACCGUGUUCAUCUCUCCGAGGAUGUUUUCCGCCGAGCAGCAACGUAUGUCAAGAAGGAGGUUUGAUUCUACGAGAAAGAGUGGAUACGGACAUCGUGACCGUGUCCCUUUUUCCGUAGCAUCUAACCUCUUUCAUGACGAAUACCGGUCCCGCCUAGUUGAGGACAUCCUCGCGAGAUGAUCACGGUCUUGAAGUUGAACAACUUAUGCAGUGUUAAGAUGAUCACGAUCUUUAAUCGAUUUUCACGCGUAAUCCAUUAUCAAGUGUAAUCCAUUUUCAUGCGUAAUACGAUGCAGAUGGACUAGCAAUGGAUGUAUAAUGCAGACAGGCGGAGCAAGGCGUUUAUUGAUGGCUUGCAUUAUUUUCUCGAAGUGGCAAAAGCGAACAAGCCAGAGAAUGGGUUCGUAUGUUGUCCAUGCUUCCAAUGCAAUAACAGGAAGGAGUAUUCAAACGAUUCCUGGGGGACUAUUCACAGCCACUUGUUUAAAUACGGUUUCAUGCCUAACUAUUUGGUUUGGACCAAGCACGGUAAACUAGGGGUUGUAAUGGAAGAUGGCGAGGAGGAGGAGGAAGAUGACACCAUUCCGGACUGGGUUGCAGGCCAAGCUUUUGCAGGUACUACAAUGGGCGAGGCUGAUGAAGAUGAGUUUGCAGAAAAUGACCCUACUGAUGACCUUGGUCAGGUGAUACAAGAUGCAUACAGAGAUUGCGAAACUGAGAAGGAAGCAGCAAAGUUGCAGCGCAUGAUAGAUGAUCACCAAAAAUUGUUGUACCGAGGUUGCCAGCAGGACCAUAAAAAACUAGGUACGACACUAGAAUUUGUGCAAUGGAAGGCAAAAAAUGGUGUGUCCGAUAAGGCAUUUCAGGGGAUGUUGAACAUUGUCAAGAAGAUUCUCCCCGAGAAUAAUGAAUUACCGUCCACAACAUAUGAAGCUAAACAGAUUAUUUGUCCUCUUGGAUUGGAUGUUCAGAAGAUACACGCAUGCCCUAAUGACUGUAUCCUCUAUCGUGGUGAUGAAUACGAGAAAUUGGAUGCUUGUCCCGUCUGCGAAGCCCUGCGGUAUAAGAUCAGGCGAGAUGAUCCUGGUGAUGUCGAGGGGCAGUCUCCCAAGAAGAGAGUUCCCGCGAAGGUGAUGUGGUAUUUCCCUAUAAUACCACGCUUGAAGCGCUUGUUCAGGAACAAGGCGAAUGCUAAGUUGAUGCGAUGGCACAAAGAAGACCGUAAGGAAGAUGAGAUGCUGAGACACCCCGCAGAUGGGGCACAGUGGAGAUCAAUUGAUAGAAAAUUCCCAGACUUUGAAAGUGAAGCAAGGAACAUAAGGUUUGGUUUAAGCACUGAUGGAUUCAAUUCAUUGGGUGAGUUGAGUAGUGGUCAUAGUACUUGGCCUGUGACCCUUUGUAUGUUCAACCUUCCUCCUUGGCUGUGCAUGAAGCGGAAGUUCAUUAUGAUGCCGGCGCUAAUCCAAGGCCCAAAACAACCCGGCAACGACAUUGACGUGUACCUAAGGCCGUUGGUUGAUAACCUUUUACAGCUCUGGAAGGAAGAAGGUGUACGUGUGUGGGAUGAGGAUAGACAAGAGAUCUUUAAUCUACGAGCACUGUUGUUCGUAACCAUCAACGAUUGGCCUGCAUUGAGUAACCUUUCAGGACAGACAAAUAAGGGAUAUCGGGCAUGCACCCACUGUUUAGACGACACAGACAGCAUGUACUUGAAGCACUGUAAGAAGGUCGUCUAUAUGGGUCAUCGUCGAUUUCUCCCUGCUCACCACCAGCUGAGAAAGAGCGGGAUGCAUUUCAAAGGGGCGCCAGACCAUCGUAAAAAACCUGCACACCGUAAUGGAAAGCGUGUGUUUGAGAUGAUGAAGGAUGUAUAUGUAGUCUUCGGAAAGGGACUUGGUAGCCAACCUGUUCCGAACGACGAUAACGGACAUGCACCCAUGUGGAAGAAAAAGUCAAUAUUUUGGGAGCUACCUUAUUGGGAAAUCCUAGAGGUUCGCAACGCAAUAGACGUGAUGCACCUGACGAAGAAUCUUUGCGUGAACGUGCUAGGCUUCAUGGGUGUUUAUGGAACCUCAAAAGAUACAUUGGAAGCACGACAGGACCUGAAAGCCAUGGGGCAACGAGAUGACCUACAUCCGGAAAAGAGAGAUAAUGGACAGCACUACUUACGUCCUGCCAGUUACACUCUCAGCAAGGAAGAGAAGGAUAGCAUGUUUGAAUGCUUGAAUAGUAUGAAGGUCCCGUCUGGGUACUCCUCGAAUAUAAAGGGAAUAAUAAAUAUGAAACAAAAGAAGUUUACAAAUCUCAAGGCUCAUGACUGCCACAUGUUGAUGACCCAGUUGCUUCCGGUUGCACUGAGGGGUGUUCUACCAGAAAAUGUCCGGUUGCCGCUCGUAAAGCUAUGCGCGUUUCUCAAUGCGAUUUCGCAGAAGGCAAUCGAUCCAUCCAAGCUAUCAAAGCUACAGAACGAUGUGGUGCAAUGUCUUGUCAGUUUUGAGUUGUUAUUUCCACCAUCCUUCUUCAAUAUUAUGACGCACUUACUGGUUCACCUAGUAAAAGAGAUUGGUAUUCUCGGACCUGUAUACCUGCACAAUAUGUGGCCUUUCGAGAGGUGCAUGGCAGUCCUAAAAAACUAUGUUCUUAAUCGUGCCCGUCCAGAAGGAAGCAUCGCCAGGGGAUAUGGAACAGAGGAGGUGAUCGAGUUUUGUGUUGAUUUUAUUGAUUCAAUUGACUCGAUUGGGGUUCCAACUUCACGCCACGAGGGGAGGCUCCGAGGAAUGGGCACCAUUGGAAGGAAAUCAAGUUUGAGCAAUGAUACUGAUUUGUUCGACAAGGCACACUACACUGUUCUACAACAGUCAUCCUUUGUGUCUCCGUAUAUCGAGCAGCACAGGCAGAUGGUAGCUUCCAAAAACCCGACCAAAUCCGAUGCUUGGCUUACCCGUCAUCACAUGGAAACUUUUCCCUCCUGGUUGCGCCAACAACUUAUGGGUAACUCUGAGAUUCACCCACAGCUUGCCUGGUUAGCCAGGGGACCUACUACCACAAUCGUCGAAUUCCAAGGCUAUGAGAUAAAUGGUUACACAUUUUACACGAGAGCCAAGGACCAGAAAAGCACGAACCAGAAUAGUGGUGUCCGCAUAGAUGCCAUGGACAGAAAUAAUAGCAAGGAGUCGUAUUAUGGUUUCAUACAGGAGAUAUGGGAACUCGAAUACGGACCGCUGUACAUCCCUCUAUUUCUUUGCAAUUGGGUGAAGCUAACUGCCGUCACCAAAGAUCAGUACGGAAUGACAAUAGUAGAUCUGAGCAAGACUGGAUACAGUGAUGACCCAUUCGUACUUGCCAAUGAUGUGCAUCAGGUGUUCUAUGUGAAGGACAUGUGCAGCAAACCCAAGAGGAAUCCAGAAGAGACAUGGGAGCCAAAGUGCCACAUAGUUCUUCCAGGUAAAAGAAAAAUCGUGGGAGUCGAGGAUAAAACAGACCAAUCAGAUGAUUAUGAUCAGUUUGAUGGCAUGCCUCCAUUCGCCGUUGAAGUUGAUCCAAGCAUCCUGCUAUCCAAAGAAGAGGCUCCGUACUUACGCCGCGAUCAUGAUCAAGGAACUUUCGUGAAGAAGAAAUUUUACAACGUUGUAUUGUAAUGCGUUAAAUGUACAUGACCUUUGUGUAUUAAUUGAUACAAUUUGUAAUGUACCCUAUGUAUGAUUUCAUGUGUUAUUAAAUUUGUUAGGUGAAGAUUUUUUAGAUAAACAUGAACAUUGUUAACCACAUACUAACAUGGAUUUUUCUGCUGUUGACGUCGGAUUUCGUCAUCAGUAGAAUCGGCGCCAAAGAGGAAAGAAAUCGAAGGAGGACGGAUGGAAAUCGGCCAAAAGGUGUUACAGUGCGGAAUCGGUCAAGUGGCUUUUACUUCGCUUCAGAGUGAAUACGCCGGGUUCCCAAUCGGCAAUCCUUUGCUGAUAAGAAAUCGGCCGAUCAGGAAGGUGGACUAAGGUGGGCCUGUAUGGGCUUGGAAAGAUGGAAGGAUAAGGUGGAGUUCAGCCCAUGAAGCGUGGGGUAAUUAGUUUAGCUCGGAUUGUGCUUGUAGAUAUUUGUUUUCUGUUUAAAUUAGAGAUAGAGUCCUAGUCGGUUAAGAAGAUUAUUUGUACGGGGCUAUAAAUAGCUACCUUUGUAAAUCUGUAAAAAAAAAACAAUCAAUCAAUACAACAAGUUACUUUAUUCUUCGUACUUACUUUCGAGCAGGCGACUUCGCCAUCACUUUUCCUUCUCACGAGUUCGUGCGGGUUGGCAGGGCUGCAUCAUCUUGAUCUCCGGCCGAUUCUGUAAGUUCCGUUUAUCGAGUAAUAUCUAAGCUUUAACUUCCGGCGCAUCGCUGUUGUUUCGUUUAGAUUUUAUUCAUCAGUUAUCGAUAUCGACUAGAUUCAUAGGUUUUUACCUGUUCUCCUAGUUUUUAUCACCAGUUACCCCGCUAGGAAUCGGUAGUAUCGGCUUUCAUUACUUUCUGUUACCAAAUCCAUCUGUUGCCGAUUAGAUCUUUUCCUGGUGCUGUUACUACGUGCCUUGUACCGAUUACUUUAAUAUUUUUCUAUCUACAAGGCUACGGGGGUCGUGCUGUCUUGUAGCCGAUUUCUUUACCACAGUAAAUCGGCCGAUCUGCCGAUAAGCUCUCUCGAUCGGAAACUUAGCCGAUCGUAGUUACUGAUUUUGACACGUGUUCUUCCUUGCCAAUCAACAGGUCAGAUUGGCUGGCACGCCGCGCGAACCGCACCAGGGCAUUCACCCGAACAGGAGCUAAGCAGAUUCUCCCGGGUCGUGUGUCGGCCGCUGGGAUUCGGUUGACCGAUUUCUAGCGCCAACACACUUUUGGCACGCCCGGUGGGACCAUUACAACCGCUGUCUUGUCGAAAGCUGCUGAAGUCUCCGAAGAUAACGUCAUCGAAGUGACGGAGGCAGAUCUAAAGGACGACCAAAAAGAAGAUCUAAAUCAGUAUUUGGAGCAAGUCCGGAAAACUUGCUUGAAAUCCUUCAGUCGUUCCAGGAGCGGGGAAACUGUUAAAAAGUCUCCUUUCCCUACUCCCCGCCAGAUCACGAUUUCAGAAGAUUCGGACAAAAUGUCCGAUAUGAUUCAGCAAUCUCUUCAUCACGCCUUCAUCAACCAAUCCCCGGUACUUUCAAACAUGGUGCACAAUGCUGUUGUCAACUCUUUCGCCGGAGGUAUACCACAGGGGUACAGGGGGCCUACGUAUUUUCAGCCGAUUCCACCAAAUCAGGCUUAUCAGGCUUCACAGCCGAUCCAAUCCUCUGUCGGAGGAUCUGGUGCUUCUACGUCAUCAACUCCUUUGGGAUACGGCUCCACUGCACCACUCCCUCCAGUCAUUCCUUUACCCUGGGGGGCACCCUUAAACACGACCGGUUUGAAUCAAUCGGUCAGCCAAGGAAAUCCUCCGUUCCAGACACCCUCCCAAACGGCCACUCGGCCGAUCAUACCACCAUACCAGCCUAUCGCUCCGGAGGUCAACAAGACGUCAGAGCUCAUGCUAUAUGAUGGAACAAGUGGUUCAUACAAGCAGCCGUCCUUUACUACACCGCCGGCUUAUACUCAGAUACCACCUUUUCAUCAACCUCCUUUUAUUCAACCUCCGAUUUAUCAACAUGUGCCGAUUCCGCCGCCAAUUAUUCCCCAACAACAACCGGAUUGGACGGCGCAAAUCGCGGAGGUAAUGCAAGAACAAUUCGGACUGAAGCCGAAGGUGCAAACUUAUACCUACAGGACACCAUACCCAUCUACGUACGACUUGUUGCCGUUUCCCCAUCGGUACAAAGUCCCGGAUUUCACUAAAUUUUCCGGAAUAUAUGAUACUUCUACCGUGGAACAUGUGAAUAGAUUCAUCAUCCAAUGCGGAGAAGCAGCUACGCAAGAUGCCCUACGGGUACGGUUGUUCUCGUCAUCUUUGUCUGGAUCGGCUUUCCAAUGGUUCACCACUUUGCCACCAAACUCGAUUAUCACAUGGGCCGAUCUAGAGAGGCAGUUCCACAAGUACUUCUAUGCUGGAGUCCACGAAAUGAAGUUGUCUGAUUUAACUAGCCUCCGGCAACGAAGUGAUGAGCCGAUACCCUCGUACAUACAGAGGUUUCGGGAAAUCAGAAACAAAUGCUACUCCUUGGCUCUAACCGAUGCGCAGUUGGCCGAUAUAGCUUUCCAAGGCCUGCUGCCACACAUUAAGGAGAAAUAUGCUUCGCAAGAAUUCGAGAGCCUGAGCCAGAUUGUCCACCGAUUGUCCGGACAAGAGGUGCGUCCAUUCGAUCCAAGAAGGAAUUUCCAGAAGAAAGUGGCGUUCCUGGAAGAAUUAGAGGACGAGGAAGACGCCGACAUCGGACUUGCAGAGUGGAUUAAAGGAAAGAAGCCGAUAUCAUGCCCGUUCGGCAAAAAGGAGCCGGAAGCAUUUGGUUUCGAUACAACUAAAGCUGACAAAAUCUUUGAUCUUCUACUCCAGGAAGGACAAAUUAAACUCUCGCCUUACCACACGAUACCCUCUGCCGAACAAUUGAAGAAGAUGAAGUAUUGCAAGUGGCAUAACGCCACAUCACAUGAUACCAACGCCAUUGAGCAAGGCAGACUCAAAUUUGAAGUGCCGGCAAAACUGGCUAAACCUAUGAAGAUUGAUCAACACCCUUUUCCUACCAACAUGGUGGAUACGGGUAAGAAUCCCCUCCAAACAAAAGUGCUGACGUCCGAAUCGGCAAAAAGGAGCGGCUCUGUCGACCCCAGAAAUCAAGUUACACCCGAAGACAUCAAAGGGAAACGGCGAAUGGAGGACGACGAUGGUGAGUCUGAUAGACCACGUAUUACUUCCCAGUUCCUGCUCCAAAAGUACCAACGCCAACAUGAACGAUCGAGGUCCCGAGAGGAAGCAAUGCGUCGACACGAAGAACACUGGAGAUGCCCAUUCUUCAUCCAUUGUUGGGAAAAUAACCUCAGGCUUCCAUCAGCCGAUACUUGCCCAGAGUGCAACGGUCCCUAUCGAAGCAAUCGGCCGAUUACAAGGUCUCGCUCCAGAGACGGAAGGCCAGAACCGAUCAGCAGGAAUCGGCGCAACCCAGAUGAUCAGCGCCCUUCCAUGCGUGAUCGGCUGGGGGGCAGAAGUGACCGAUAUGAUCGGUCAGAAGAUAGAAGCCAUAAUAGGCAGGGGGGCAGGACCGAUCGACAUGAUCAAUCAAGUAGCAAAGCCAGCGUUCACAGUCGGCUCCAAGACAUGGCCGAUGCUCGGGUAACAGACGAGAACCCGUUAGGACGCGAGCCAGAAUGGGAACGCGCCAGGAAAGAAGGGAGGCCAAUAAACCCCAGAUGGUGUCCCGAUGGUUUGACCAAAUCACAAAAACGAAGAGUCCAACGCCUCCGCCAAUGGGAACAGCAAGAAGAAGAAAGCGCGAUGGACAAGAAGGAAGGGAGGCCUCGGGUAUGGCGCCCCAAAGGAAACGACAAGGGCAACGAUGAAUCGGCGGGUGAUGAAUCGGCAGCCGAAAUCGGUAUGGUUUUCAUAUUGCCGACGGAGUUUAUGACCCCUGCCGAUCAACAGAACGUGUCGGCAAUAGAGGAACAAACAGCACGGUUGGCGUUAGAACCAAUGAUGGCCACGUUCGAAAAGCCCGAAGACGACGAACGACAACAUAUGAAGGCGUUGUUUCUUAAAGGGCAUGUUGACGGUCGCCCCCUCACUAAAUUGAUGGUCGACGGGGGAGCUGCCGUCAACAUCAUGCCGUAUGCCAUACUCCGAAAGCUGGGAAAGAGCGAUGACGACCUAACCAGGACGGACAUGAUGCUCAAGGACUUCGAAGGCAAGGUGUCAAACGCUCGCGGUGCCCUCUGCGUUGACCUCACCAUCGGCAGUAAGACCCUUCCUACCACGUUUUUCGUCAUUAAUGGCAAAGGGUCCUAUAAUAUGCUUCUUGGACGAGACUGGAUACACGCAAACUGCUGCAUACCGUCAACUAUGCAUCAAUGCCUGGUACAAUGGGUCGGCGACAACAUCGAGGUGGUCAAAGCCGACUCCGCGUACAGCAUCGCAGCAGCCGACGCACAGCAAUGGAGCUGCGAAACCGUCAGGUGCAUAUCAGGUAGGGUGUGGGAAACUGAUUUCCUGAAGGUCACCGAUUUUGGCCUACAGCCGAUCCGAGCAGUCGGCUCUGAAGAAGCGCAAUAAAUGGAUCAGUUCGCCCGAGAAGACGGGAAGCUGGGACACGGAUUCACGUCGGCCGAUUCAUUGGAAAUGGUAGAUUUAGGUGACGGGACCAAACCAAGGCCGACUUUUAUUAGUGCAAAUUUAGAUCCAGAGUACAAGUGUAAAUUGACAAAUUUAUUAAGAGAAUUCAAGGAUUGUUUUGCGUGGGAGUAUCACGAGAUGCCCGGAUUAGAUCGAUCUAUUGUUGAACAUCGGCUACCCAUAAAACCAGGGUAUCGGCCGUACCAACAACCCGCACGGCGAUGCAAUCCUAAAAUUUUACCAGACAUAAAAGCCGAAAUAACUCGGCUAAUUGAAGCGAAAUUUAUUCGGCAAUGUCGUUACGCCGAGUGGAUUUCUAAUAUCGUACCGGUGUAUAAGAAAAACGGGAAACUGCGCGUUUGCGUCGAUUUCAGAAAUCUUAAUCAGGCCACACCGAUGGAUGGCUACCCCAUGCCUACGGCCGAUGUACUGAUCGACGCUGCCGCGGGGCACAAAAUUAUUAGCUUCAUGGAUGGGAACGCCGGAUACAAUCAAAUACUUAUGGCCGAAGAGGACAUACCCAAAACGGCUUUCAGAUGUCCAGGCCAUCUUGGUCUAUUCGAGUGGGUGGUGAUGACUUUCGGUUUGAAGAAUGCUGGUGCUACAUAUCAGAGGGCCAUGAACUAUAUUUUCCACAAACUCAUCGGCCUCCUGGUGGAGAUCUACAUCGACGACGUUGUGGUCAAAUCCAAAAGCCACGAGGAACACCUAGCCGAUUUGCGAAGGGUCCUAGAGUGUACCAAGAAACAUGGUCUUAAGAUGAAUCCCAACAAAUGCGCUUUCGGCGUCUCCGCCGGACAGUUCCUAGGAUUCAUGGUGCACGAACGAGGCAUUGAAGUCAAUCAGAAGACCAUAGCGGCCAUCAACAAAGUCGUCGCUCCGCAGAACAAAACUGAACUACAAUCUCUAAUCGGCAAGGUAAACUUCAUCGGAAGGUUUAUAUCUAAUCUAUCUGGACGGAUCCAGACGUUCACACCACUUCUGAAGUUGAAGCCAGACCAAGAAUUUAUUUGGGGAGAAGAACAGCGCAAGGCGUUAGAAGACAUCAAGCGAUACUUAGUCUCGCCCCCAGUCCUGGUUCCCCCCCAAACGGGUAAGCCGUUUAAACUAUAUUUAUCAGCCGAUGAAAAAGCUAUUGGGUCGGCUCUAGUCCAAGAGUUUGAAGGCAAAGAACGGGUGAUUUAUUACGUUAGUAGAAGACUCCUGGAUGCCGAAACAAGAUAUCCUCCAGUAGAGCGUUUGUGUUUGUGUCUUUACUUCUCGUGCACCAAACUCAGACACUAUCUACUGUCGGCAGAAUGUAUAGUCGUAUGCAAAGAUGAUGUAGUGAAAUACAUGCUGUCACUGCCGAUAUUGAAAGGGCGAAUCGGUAAAUGGAUUUUAGCUUUAUCAGAAUUUGACCUACGGUACGAAUCGGCAAAAGCCAUCAAAGGUCAAGUCAUGGCCGAUUUCGUCGCACAGCACUGUGGGCCGGAGAUCGCCUUCGUGGAACUAGCGCCUUGGCAGUUAUUUUUUGAUGGGUCAUCAUGCGGAGUCGGAUCGGGAAUCAGCAUCGUUCUCAUAUCGCCUCGGGGGGCAAGAUACGAUUUUUCUCUGCCGAUAGAAACCGCCACCACAAACAAUCAAGCGUAAUACAGAGCUGUAUUAAAAGGCUUACGAUUAUUGAGAGAAGUCAAGGCCGAUUCUGUCGAGGUCUUCGGAGAUUCGAUGUUAAUCGUGGAUCAACUAACCGGGAAGGCUGAGUGCAAAGAUGACAUAUUACGAAUUCAUCACGAAGAUUGCCUACAGCUGUUAAAAGAAUUCAGAUCGGCAGUAAUCGAGCAUGUCCCAAGAGACCGCAAUGAGGAAGCGAACAAACUCGCUCAACACGCAUCUGGGUAUCGGCCGAUUCUAGGCGCCAUGGCCUUAGAGCUUGCAGCUGACGAUUGGCGCAAAGAAAUUGCCGAUUACCUAAAGGAUCCGUCUAAAAAGGUGGAGCGGCGAGUACGCUUUCACGCUACCAAAUACGUAUUACUCGAAGAUGAUCUGUUUUACCGAACGAUCGAAGGUGUUCUUCUUAAAUGCCUUGGGACAGAAGAAGCCAAGACUCUAAUGGGAGAAAUCCACGAAGGGGUAUGCGGAGCUCACCAAUCAGCACAUAAGAUGAAGUGGAUGAUCAGAAACAAUGGGUACUAUUGGCCUACGAUCCUUGAAGAUUGUUUCAAAUAUUAUAAGGGUUGUCAGGAGUGUCAAAAGUUUGGAAAUGUCCAGCAUGCACCUGCAUCGGCCAUGAAUCCCAUCAUCAAACCAUGGCCGUUCAGAGGGUGGGGAAUAGACCUUAUCGGCCAAAUUUAUCCACCAUCGAGCAAGGGGCACAAGUUUAUUCUGGUCGCCACCGAUUAUUUCACCAAAUGGGUGGAGGCAAUCCCAUUAAGAACUGUGACUUCGGCUAUCAUGGCCGAUUUUGUAAGGGAUCAUAUCGUCUACCGAUUCGGUAUCCCUCAAACUGUAACAACCGAUCAAGGAACGAUGUUCACAUCGGGGGAAUUUGAGGAGUUUACAACCGAUAUGGGCAUCAAAUUGUUAAAUUCUUCUCUGUAUUACGCUCAGGCCAAUGGUCAAGCAGAAUCUUCCAACAAAGGAAUAAUCAAGUUGAUCAAAAGGAAGAUUGAAGAAUACCCGAAGAAGUGGCACCUGUGUUUAACCGAAGCCCUAUGGGCAUACAGAAUGGCCUGUCAUGGGGCCACCAAGUUAUCUCCUUAUCAGUUGGUAUACGGUCACGAUGCAGUACUUCCAUGGGAAUCGAGGGCAGGAUCAAGGCGCAUUUCACUUCAAGACCAGUUAUCGGCCGACGACUACUCGGCACUUAUGAAAGAAGAACUUGAUGAUGUGGCCGGUCAUCGACUAAGGGCUCUGAUAAGUAUCGAAGAGAAUAAAAAGAGAGUGGCCAGGUGGUACGAUAAAAAGGUCAAAGUCAAGCAGUUCUCCCCCGGAGAUUUGGUAUGGAAGUUAGUACUACCGAUCGGGUCGAAAGAUCCUAAAUUCGGUAAAUGGUCUCCUACCUGGGAAGGGCCGUAUAAAAUCGGCAAAUGCUUAUAUCUUGGAAACAAUAGAAGGAGAAGAAUUCACUAGAGCUCUGAAUGGGAGGUAUUUAAAAAGGUAUUACCCAAGUAUAUGGGUCGGUGCCUAAGGAAUUAAACACGAUCAUACAUGACCGAUACGAUUCGGUCUUGAGACACACAUAAAGUCAACCGGAACGGCCGAUUACAUUCAUUCGGUACGGGCGACGGGUUACAUGGCCGACAAAAUGUUUAGUCGCCCUUAGAACAAAAAUACAGCAACUAAUUAUUCUUUUUCUUACGCUCCCUCUCAGCCCGACCUAACUCUAUCAUGAGUCGGAUGUAUUCUUCUUCUAUGGCCUUCAUUGAAAUCUCCGCUUCGACUUGACCGGGGAGAUCUACGGGAGGGCGCGAAGUCCCCACUCCCGCAUCUUCAAGAACGACUUGCCGAGGGAGUGGAUGACUCCUGUCAAUGGGAGGUCGACGGCUGCCAUUCCUCUCCACGAAGUCCAGGAUCAUUCGGGCCUCCGUGGCGAUGUCGUCUUCAAGAUCGCCACAACGAUCGCCCCUGACAGGUGGAGAUUGCUGGUUACUUUCACUCACCACGGAAUCCAAGACUACGCGAGCCUCCGUGGUAAUGUGAUCCUGGAGCUCUUCUCGGUGAGCCGCGAUCAGCAUCUUGUCCUCCGACGUUAAUGGAUCUUCGGAAUGAAUGCACUCAAUGGCGCGCACGAGCUCGGGGCUAAGACGUUGAGGCUGAAACAAAGAAGGGAUGAGGAGGGAUAUUCUCUUCCUUAGGGUCUAAAAAAGAAAGGAAGGUAGAGGUCAAAAAACUUCACCUGGUUAACAGAGGAAGAAGAAGAUGACGAGGCCAUAGCGAAGAAAUUGCACCGAUGAGAAGGGGCAGAAAGGUUGAACCGAGAGCCAAGAUUGAUGUUACCAGGAGUAAGCGCCGAGCUUGGUAUUUAUAAAAGAAUGCGUGGAAAUCUGGUAAAGCUACGUCCCAUCGGUAAUAAGAAGGCAAUAAAUAGAAAGGGCGUCGCGAGGGGCGGUCAAAGAAGGUAGUAAAUGAUUCGUACAAAACGGUCAGUGUUUUACAGAUUACCCAGAAGGGUAUCGAUGGCCGUGAUGGCCCGACGCCGGAUCUGAUCGGCAGAGUCAAGUACCCGUUGGUCUUCUUCCGCCGAUCCAGGAACCUCCGAUGCGCUGCGAUGGAGUCUCAGUGCCUCGUGAGCAAAGCGUUGCCUCUCCCGUGUUAAAUCGGCAAUAACAGAAGGUAGCUCUUCGAGUUUGUUCUCUUCGGCACUGAUUGCCUUGAUCACUUGCUCCAUUUCCUUGGCAAGCUCCGCCCUACGACGCUUGAGACGGUCUAUUUCUCCUAUGAUCGCCGGACGGGAAUCUUCUAGGACAUGGAUACGCCGAUUCGCCUCUUGAGCCUGACGUUUGAAAGCGUCUUCCUCUUCGCGAGCCUUGGUCAGCUUAGCGCGAUCGGCCAUGUGACGAAGGGCUCUGAAGACCGGGAUCCUCAUAGACUCGAUGAAGGCCGCCGGCGCCAGGGCCUCCUCCGCCUCUUCUGGUACUCGUCCGCUGACGUCAUUGAAGAGCUGCCGAAUCGGCGAGGCGUCUUCUACUAAUCGGCCGAUGUCCCCUUGAAGGAGGGAUCGGAUGCUGGAAAGUUUGGCUCGGACGUCGUCAGGAACGGAACUCAAGGCGACUUGGCGAGAAGCAACUUCUUCGUCGUCAGAGAGGGCGACCGCAAAAGAAAAGAGACUGUUGUCGGGGGUAUCCUGUUCCUGAAGAUAAUAAAGAAAAGAAAUGAACCAGCUGUAAGAAAGAGCAAAUCGGCUAAGAUGGAGGCCGAAACAGAAAAAUACCAUUUUGAAGCGAAUCUCCUCAUGUUGCACUUGAGAAGCCGCCAUGCCUUGCUCGGGGGCCUGCGCCAUGGGUUCAUCAGAUGGAGAGGACUCCACGAUAAUUGGCGCAGUGUUUGGACCAGCCUCCUGACAAGAAAUCGGCGAUCGAGGAGCGAUUGAUGUGCCGAUGGCCUGUGUCAGAAGUUUGAAUAAAUACGGUACGUAAAUGCCCAAAGGAAAUCGGUACGAGAAGUUCUAUACAUUAACGGAAGGAAACGGGGGCACGUCAAUAGCUGGAGGGGCUGCUGCCGAUUGUGGUACUUCUGUAGGGAUGCUCUGUGCAGUUUAAAGAUAAAAGAAAAAUUAAUAUCAAAAAUAAUAAUCGGAGACAGCGCAACUCAGUUUUACCUGUAUGGCCUCCAACAACAACGAUGCGGCGGCCGCCCCAGCUUGCGUCAUGGUUUGAGUAUCGGCACCUUGAAUGACUUGAGGAGGUGGUACGGCCGAAGUGUCUGCCGAUACGCUCACGGGAGGAUCCGCCGAUCCCGUACGAGCCCGGACUCGGCGACUGGUCUUCUUGGUAGUCCUUUUAUGAACUUGUUUCGAUCGGCCAGUAAUCACGUCAACAGACGGGGCGUUAUAGCCGAUAAGGGGAUAAGUAGUGUAUGGAUGACUCUCUAUCAGUCGUCCGCUGCGGCUGUGUGUUGGAGGGAUCCGAUUCUCGGCCUAAAAUAAUAAAAUCAUUAGUACUCGGUCGUGUUAAGGGGAAUAAAAGGGAAUAAAAAUCGGCUAUGUGAAGUACCUCGGCGUUUGGAUCAAUGUUGGUCGGGUCCAGAAGAUUGCAGUAUGCCGAUGCUGAGUUGCAGAAGAGGAAUUGCUUCCAAUCAGCCCACCAUAGUUUGAACGGCUGAACAGCAAAUGGAGCUACUAGCCAGUCGUUCAAGUUAAUUGUACUGGAGUCUGGAAUUCGGUCUCGCAACCGACCGUAAUCUAGGCUAGAUUUGAGAUCAUCUCUAAACUUGAUUUUGCCAGCAAAGUACACCUGAAUCGGCAGCUGACCCAUGCCAAAUUGUCGUGCCGCAGCAGAAGGGUUGUAGAAUUCAUACGUAGGGGCAUCCUUCCCUGAGAAGAAAUUGGCCGGUAGGAUCCCUGGCUUGAUCAACCCUUCAUAGAGAUCUUCAUCAAACCGGCCAGAAGUUGAGUCAAAGCAGGAAGGGAGCUCGAAGAUGGGAAUGUCUCGCUGGUAUGGAAACCAGAUAGUUGCGUCCUCAUUAAAUCCAUCGUAAAAGCACCGAAAGUACUCGGCUACCUUUGUAGCGGAAUACGCACAACCUGGAAAAGCUGAUGCCGCUUCACCAUAAGACAUGCAUCGGCGACGCUCGGUAGGGUCUUCCGCCGAUUCAAUAUUGGGAAACGUCAUGUGGUCCACUGGCUGCCGGGUGAUCCUGUUCAUGUAAAGGUUCAACCAUAGAUUGACGAACCACCAAGGCCCACCUGGGUUGCCGAUUGGUUCUCCCUUGGAAAGUUUUGUGCCGAUUUGGUGGAGCAUGUGGUACACAGCACCCAGAAGAUGUUUCCCGAGAGGAAUGUGGCUUCCUUUGGACAGUGCCUCGGCUAAAGAUUGGGUGUUGGUUGUUGGGCCGGCGGCUCUUCCACAGAAAAGGUGUUUUUCUAGCCACAUCAUCAGGAAAGCGGUGUGCUCCCUAUUAUCAAUAGUACCGGUCUUCUUGUUAUUACUAAUAAAGCCCUUCCAGCUGCCGAUUCCUCUUACGUCCAGCCGAUGCGACGGUACGGUCAGAAGUUGGAAAGGCGUGUCAGGAGAGGAUAUGUCCAGGCCGGUCAAGAGGACCACAUCGGCCAGAGUGGGGGUCAUAGGACCGUGUCCAAAUAAGAAUGCAUUAAGAGCGUCAGACCAAAAAUAGGAAGCCGCCAUCACUAGCGGUUCGUUUUUCUCCAUUUGCGACAGAGAGAGGUUGAUACAUUGGCCGAUUUUGAGUUCAUCCCACAAGACGCUCUUUGACGUGGCCAUCCGUUGGUACCAUUCCCUCCAACCGGGGGUUUCAUUCGGCCAAGAUCUAAAAGUGCUGGCCCAUUGAUCUAAGUUCAUGUCAGAUCGUUUGAAAGGUAUCCGGUCAGUUUCCAAGUUUAUGAGGUCUGCUGGAUCUGGGUCUCCCAUGGGACCAAGGCAAACAAGGCCAGGACUACCCGUGAGAUGGAUAGUGAUUCUAUGUCUAACCGCCUAAAUGAGGAAAAGAGGCAUAAGAAUAUAAGGAAUAGAUCUAAGAUAAAUACGUUACCGAUAGAGGAAAAAUUCGGUGUUUACCUCCGGUAUAAAAUUCUGAGUAAUCGGUGUGGUCGCCGAUGCAGAUGCAGAUGAUGAAGCCGUAAUGGGGAUCGCCAUUGGGAUCUCUGAUGAAGCUCCUUCAUCUAUGGAUGGAGUGACGGUUGUUGCCACCGUUACCGGAGGUGCUACCUCCACCGGGGGCAUUGUCCCUGGAGCAUCGCGUGCUGGGGAAUUACCGGAGGGAGUCGCCAUUGAAGGGGAGGGGAAGAAGUGACAGGAGCUGGAGCUGGAAGGCUUCGAUGGCAAGAUUGAAGAAGGAAGGAAGUGCGCGCGCUGGAAAGAGGGAUGUGAGCUUGAAGAUGAGUUGCGGUGAAAUGAUAUUUAUAGGGUGCCUGAAGAAAGGGUAAAGAUGGAAUUUUCAACGCGCCGGCGCGUCGAGUUUUUCGGGGUAGUGGCUGUCGUGGGCGCCCGUUUCAAAAAAUUGCAAUGAUCAGCCGGGAGACCGCGAAACGGAAGGAUAUUUUCACUGCGGCCGUUUCGGAAGAGAGGUUAUAAAGAAUUUCGAAGUAAAAGGCUAUGUUUUACUCCGAAACUGGGGGGCAUGUGUUGACGCCGGAUUUCGUCAUCAGUAGAAUCGGCGCCAAAGAGGAAAGAAAUCGAAGGAGGACGGAUGGAAAUCGGCCAAAAGGUGCUACAGCGCGGAAUCGGUCAAGUGGCUUUUACUUUGCUUCAGAGUGAAUACGCCGGGUUCCCAAUCGGCAAUCCUUUGCUGAUAAGAAAUCGGCCGAUCAGGAAGGUGGACUAAGGUGGGCCUGUAUGGGCUUGGAAAGAUGGAAGGAUAAGGUGGAGUUCAGCCCAUGAAGCGUGGGGUAAUUAGUUUAGCUCGGAUUGUGCUUGUAGAUAUUUGUUUUCUGUUUAAAUUAGAGAUAGAGUCCUAGUCGGUUAAGAAGAUUAUUUGUACGGGGCUAUAAAUAGCUACCUUUGUAAAUCUGUAAAAAAAAAAAACAAUCAAUCAAUACAACAAGUUACUUUAUUCUUCGUACUUACUUUCGAGCAGGCGACUUCGCCAUCACUUUUCCUUCUCACGAGUUCGUGCGGGUUGGCAGGGCUGCAUCAUCUUGAUCUCCGGCCGAUUCUGUAAGUUCCGUUUAUCGAGUAAUAUCUAAGCUUUAACUUCCGGCGCAUCGCUGUUGUUUCGUUUAGAUUUUAUUCAUCAGUUAUCGAUAUCGACUAGAUUCAUAGGUUUUUACCUGUUCUCCUAGUUUUUAUCACCAGUUACCCCGCUAGGAAUCGGUAGUAUCGGCUUUCAUUACUUUCUGUUACCAAAUCCAUCUGUUGCCGAUUAGAUCUUUUCCUGGUGCUGUUACUACGUGCCUUGUACCGAUUACUUUAAUAUUUUUCUAUCUACAAGGCUACGGGGGUCGUGCUGUCUUGUAGCCGAUUUCUUUACCACAGUAAAUCGGCCGAUCUGCCGAUAAGCUCUCUCGAUCGGAAACUUAGCCGAUCGUAGUUACUGAUUUUGACACGUGUUCUUCCUUGCCAAUCAACAGGUCAGAUUGGCUGGCACGCCGUGCGAACCGCACCAGGGCAUUCACCCGAACAGGAGCUAAGCAGAUUCUCCCGGGUCGUGUGUCGGCCGCUGGGAUUCGGUUGACCGAUUUCUAGCGCCAACAUCUGCGCAUUCAAAUAAUUUAAUUGAAUAAUUUCUUGAUCACAGCAAUGCAGUAAAAUAAAUAUUUUACAGGCUAAAUGAGUUGGUAUAGAAUUAAUGAUUACUUCAUACUUAUUGUCAAUUUACUCGUUAAUUAAAUAUAUUUUUGCAUGUACAAAAUCUGUGAAGGUUUUGUUUUUCAUCCUGAAAUGCAGUGAAAAGGUAAAAUAAAAUCCAUUUCCAAAAAACAGGCGGGAGAAGAAAAAUAGGAAAAAAGACCUUUUGUCUCGGGGCUAACAGCAACCGGGACAAAAGGCCCCCCUUUUAUCCUGGUUGCCAACGGCAACCGGGAUAAAAGGGUACGUUUCGUCUCCCGCCCAAACGUACCCUUUUAUCCCGGUUGCCAACUGCAGCAGGGAUAAAAGGGUACACUCCCAGCCCCACCUGGCGGGGGUACCCUUUUGUCCCGGGUCCCGUCGCCAACCGGGAUAAAAGGGGGGGGGCCUUUUAUCCCGGUUGGUGNNNNNNNNNNNNNNNNNNNNNNNNNNNNNNNNNNNNNNNNNNNNNNNNNNNNNNNNNNNNNNNNNNNNNNNNNNNNNNNNNNNNNNNNNNNNNNNNNNNNGACGAGACGACGACGCGAGACGACGACGGCCGAGGCGAAGACGACGACGGCGGCGUAGGCGGGACGGCGACGAGACGGCGACGAGGGGCGACGAGGAUGGAGCCGGCGACGAGGAUGUGGAGCCGGUGGCCGGAGGCGACGAGGUGGCCGGGGGCCGGGCGCGUCGACGGACGAGGAGGGGAUCGAGGAGGGCCGGCCGGGGGACGACGACGGCGCAAUGGGGGACAUCGACGGCGCAAUGGGGGACGACGACGGCGGCGGCCGGUGAGGGAGGCGGACGGGCGGCGACGGCGGAGAACGCGCGGGACUUGCGAAAUUUUGGCUAAGUGUGUAACUGGCAGGGGGUAGAAGGGAGUACAGUGCCUUUUAACCCCCCCCUUUUAUCCCGGUUCGUAAUAGGACCCGGGACAAAAGGCUCUUUUGUCCCGGGUCCUAUUACGAACCGGGAUAAAAGGGGGGGGUUAAAAGGCACUGUACUCCCUUCUACCCCCUGCCAGUUACACACUUAGCCAAAAUUUCGCAAGUCCCGCGCGUUCUCCGCCGUCGCCGCCCGUCCGCCUCCCUCACCGGCCGCCGCCGUCGUCGUCCCCCAUUGCGCCGUCGAUGUCCCCCAUUGCGCCGUCGUCGUCCCCCGGCCGGCCCUCCUCGAUCCCCUCCUCGUCCGUCGACGCGCCCGGCCCCCGGCCACCUCGUCGCCUCCGGCCACCGGCUCCACAUCCUCGUCGCCGGCUCCAUCCUCGUCGCCCCUCGUCGCCGUCUCGUCGCCGUCCCGCCUACGCCGCCGUCGUCGUCUUCGCCUCGGCCGUCGUCGUCCCGCCGUCGUCGUCUUCGUCCUCGUCGCCGUCCCGCGCGCCGCCCGGCCGCCGCCGUCCCGCCGCCCCGGCCGCCGCCGUCCCGCCACCCCGGCCGCCGCCGUCCCGCCGCCCCGGCCGCCGCCGUCCCGCCGACCCGGCCGCCGCCGACCCGCCGACCCGGCCGCCGCCGUCCCGCCGUCCCGCCGUCCCGGCCGUCGGCCCGCGCGGGAGAGGUCCGCUGCCGCGCCGGCCGGCAGCGCCGGGAGGGUUUUCUUUUUAAGUUAAUUAGAAAAUUAAGUUUUAUUUUUAGAUAGAAUUGUAAUUUUGUUAAGUUAGAUUUUUAGAUUUCUAGUUAGUUUGUUAAGUUAGAUUUCUAGUUAGUUUUUUAAGUUAGAGUUGAUAUAGAGAUCGCCGAGUAGCCGCCGUGAUCGUCGCCUUGUAGCCGCCGUGAUCGCCGCCGAGUAGCCGCCGUGAUCGCCGCCAUCCCGCCGCCCAUCACAACCUAGUAGGCACCGCCCGUGGUUCCGGUGAACCGUCCCCGCCGUACCGCCGCCCUGACCGCCGCCGUCCCGCCUCCGCCGCCCUGAUCGCCGCCGUCCCGCCUCCGCCGCCCUGAUCGCCGCCGUCACAACCUAGGCACCGCACGUGGAUAUUGUUACAAAUUCGUAGAAAUUCGUCAAAAUUCGUAGAAAUUCGUCAAAAUUCGUAGAAAUUCGUAGAAAUUUGUAGAAAUUCAUAGAAAUUCGUAGAAAUUCGUAGAAAUUUGUAGAAAUUCGUAGAAAUUCAUAGAAAUUCGUAGAAAUUCAUAGAAAUUUGUUGAAAUUCGUCAAAAUUCAUAGAAAUAUUUCGGACUUUGUACGAUUCAUGUUAUUUUAUGAUUUCAUUAUAUACAUGUAUGAUUCCAUUCCGGACUUUGUACAAAUUUGUAUUAAGACGAUUUCUAUGACUGUCAUGUAUGAUUCCAUGUAUGUUUCCAUCAAUAGUUGAAAUGGCAGACGAUGAGACCGCAAGGUAUAUCAUGGAGCAGAUAAUCGCUGGUGAUGGUAGUGGCGACAACGUUCCACUAUCAUACACGUAUGAAGAGGGCACCCAGGCGGACAUGUUCCUCAACAUGUCCGCUGAUGGGAAUGAAGAGCAACAGCCGCAACAACAACUUGCCGUGGCGGAAGGUUCCGGCGAGGUAUAUACAACCAUUCUUGUAUUGUUUCACGCCACCGCUACUACUACGUACUAAUUAACGAAUCUUGAACUGUUAGCCCUCCGGAUCGACACAAGGGCAGAAGACCUGAGGUCGUACAAAGGUGAUGGAAGGGAGGCUUGUCAUCACCGAAGUUACAGAAGAGGGCAAGCCGGUUGCUCCCGAGAAAGUAGCAAAGAAGUACGUGAGUCAAAUCGGGGCAAUCGUUCGGGACAACGUGCCUAUCAGCAUCAGAGAAUGGAAGGGCAGAAGAGAUAAUCCGUACGCCCUUCCAGAGAUAGAAAAGAAUAUGCUGUGGGAAGACGUGAAGAGACAUUUCACAUUCCCCGAAGGAUAUAGCGAGAAGGAUGUCAAAGCGUGGACGCUUAAGAAGAUGGCUACUCAAUUCCAGACAUUCAAGAAGAUGCUGGACACCCACUACAUCAAGAAGGGCAAAACUCCAGACUUCAACGCGUGGCCAAAGUUGAGGGACCACUGGGAUGCAUUUGUUGAAUACAAGAGGAGUGAAGAAGGUGUGAAAAAGAUCACGACCAACAUAGCAAAUGCUAGUCAGAAGGGCUACCACCAUCAUUUGGGGUGAGGUGGGUAUGGCUCAGCAAUUCCCAAGUGGAGGAAGAUGGAACAAGAUCUGAUCGAACGGGGAAUCGUACCUGCAACUAUUGAAUGGCCCGAACGAUCAAAGAACUGGUACUACGCUCAUGGAGGCUCCCUAAGCCAAGAGGAUGGGACGCUGAUUUUCAAUGACACAAUACGUGAGAAGGCCGAACAUCUCAUGAAGAACAUUGAAGAUUCCAAGGCUGGGAGGUUGAGGGUGGACCAAGAAAAUGAUGAGCUCACAUUGGCCCUCGGUAAUCCAGAGCACCCAGGACGUUGCCGGGGGUUCGGGGUGGUUCCGUGGAAGUUCGCUUUCCGAGGCGACAGCGCCUCUUACAGAAGCCGGAAGCGAAGAAAGGAACAGAUGGAGGAGAGCUGGUAGCAGAUGGUAGAACAAAGAAUGAUGGAUGAAAUCAAUCGGCGGGUGGCCGACGCAGUUGCGGAGUUGGCGCAAUCUGGAGCAAUGCCGAAUCCUAACACCGCCAGCCCUUCUCAACGCCUCGGGAGCAGUUGUGCUUCUACAGGGGUCCCCGAUGCGCAGACGCCCAGGUUACCCGUGGAGGAGCAAUGGUUCCCCGUGGAUGCCAUCACGCAACGGACCUCAUGUAAGCUGCAUGCACCGGUCGGCAACCUCACUAUUAAGGUAUACUUAUACAUAAUAUUUAUGCAAUCUUGUCAAUUGAUCCAGGCCUCGAGAUCGGAGUUCAACCUGUUUACUUCUACUAUAUGUACAGGUAGCGUACGGGAGUGUGUUACCAACCCUGGCAGGGCAGAGCAGUCAUGGCAUGGACAUUCCAACAGGCUACGCCAGCGUCUGCGUCGAGCAAAUAGUUGAUCCCCAGUAUGAAGGUCUAGAGCUCGACUUCCCGGGAGGCGACGGGGAAAAGACAUUGGCAGAUGCGCUUCAUGGGAUCAUUCUAUGGAAGAAACGCUACAUCAUUAUUCCCCGCACGGAGCCAUCUCCUCAGACCUCAAGACCACUCCCCGUAGAUCCCCAGCAGCGACCUUCUCCUCAUACCUCGAGACCGGCAUCUCCUGCUCCAGGACCGUCUCUUCCAUCUAUAUCAAGGUCUCCAUCUCCACCACAUCCUGGUGCUGGGAGCGACGACGACAAUAACAACACCCCUCCCCGAUCACCGUCACCGGCACCAAGAGCGGCCCCCUCGAAGGAACCUGCAGCACCACUCAAGAAGUCACGAGCACCGCCUCCCAAGCAAAGACAGAGAAAGAAGAAAACAAAGGUCGACCCUGAAGUGGCUCGCAAGGAACGCUUUGAGGCAAUGUCUCAUGAAGAACAGUGGGCAGAAAUCCAACGAGAGGCCAGUGAGUGGUUCAAGAAACAAGCCGAAUUAAAAAAGGCAAGGGAGAUGGAGCCACCGUCAGUAAGUCGGCGAGAUUUAAACUUUUUUAUCAGGAUGGAGGAAGAAGCCAAGAAAAGGAUACCACUCUUGUCAAACUAUGAACGGGCUCUAGUAAAGGCUGAUGAAAAGGAUAAAAGGAAAGGAAAAUCAUCCUCCAGCAGUCCAGUCCCCGACCUCAGCCAUUUAUCAAAAAAAGAUGCUCAACGGGUAAAAGCAAUGCCCUUGGAUCAACAAGCAAAUAUAUUGAAGUUCAUGGAAGAAACAGGUCUGGGACUUGAUGAAUGCAUAGGGCAAGUCGAGACGCCAACUGCACCGCCCCCUGAGCCGAAGUGGACUUAUGAGCUAGGCAAACCUCUAGUAAAGCCUUCAAUGGUACGGAAGCUAUCAACAAAGAUGUACGAAUUCCAUCAAUGGUCGGCAUGAAGGUAAAACCGAUAGAUUUUCACGGUGAAGGGGAGAAAGUGCUGUGGCUAGACUUCAAGGAUAUAUACGAAGUGUACCAUCAUGAUGCCCUGGACGUCUCUCUGAUCAGCGCUUGGAUUCUGUAAGUGUCCGUUUAUUAUCUCUACAUGUAAAUUUUGGCGUGCGUCACCGUACUAACUUCAUCUUCCAUUUCAUGUAGGAUGCUAAUUCAGACAUGCCGCCGAGAGGCGUACCUACAUGUAGGCUUCAUGGAUCCAUCUGUAGUUAACCAACAACAGAUACAAUUAGCGCCGGAAAAAACCUUUGCGGAAAUAUACAAUUUCCUACACAAACAAACAUUCAAGGAUUUCAUACUACUUCCAUACAACUUCAAGUAAGUGUGUGUAUACCGUCUACUUUCGAUGUCUUUUUCCUUAUCUCUACAUGUUAGUUAGCUCUAAUAUGCAUGAACAUUUUACGCACGCAGCUUCCACUGGAUCCUUAUUAUAAUUGAGCCUGAAAGAAGCCACGUCACUGUCUUAGAUUCGUUAAGGAAAGAUCCGAUGGACUACCAAGAAUUGCAAGACAUGCUAGGCUUGUAAUAAUUCUGGACCUUUAUCUCUAUGCAAAAAUUUAUUUCCUAAAUUUUAUCCCUGUUACACUAUGUCAUUCAUUAUUCUAAUCCGCAGCGCAUGGAAACAAUUCAUAAGGACACACAAAGGUCCAUUCAAAGAAAAUCUUACAUGGAACACAGACUUCCCGGUACGUAUGCAGUCUGCACAUUUAUUACAUUGUAUAACACAAAUAUUUCAUAACUUAUUUUUUUCCGCACUGAAGUGCUUAAGACAGGAACCCGGGAAUAAUCUAUGUGGCUACUACAUCUGUGAGCACAUGCACAGUUUUUUGGGACCCAAGGGACCGAAGAUGACGCCGCACAACUUUAAAGUACGUAAAAUAACUAUAUUACUAGUUAAUUAUUUUCUAGCUCCUUAUAUGUAUUUGUUCAUGUAACAUUCACAAAUUUCCAAAUUAUAGAUGUUAAAUAUUCAACAAGGACUCUUGAAGGAAGAAAGAGUAGCGGCAAUAUGUGAAGGUCUCAUUGGAUUCAUAAUGGACGAGGUGGUGGACGAGGUGGUAAAUCCAAGAGGAGAAUUUUAUUACGAUGGACGACAAUUAGACACUCCGAUCAGCAACACCACGAUGGAUACUUUGAUUUAUUUGUAUAUAUAAUACGCGCUAAUUAUGAUCGAUUUGUACUAAGCUAGUUGAAUUGUGUAUAUGAAUUGUGUAUAAGGAUUGUGUAUAUAUAUAGUAAUUGUAUAAUUACAAAUCCCAUUCGUUUAAAUACUAGUUGAUUUCGUUCUAAAAAAAUCUCAACUACAAGGUUAACAAAUUAAAAGGGCUGCGGUACUACUAUACGUAUACGUGAUGCAUGCAUGAAAAAUUCAGACGUCACGGCUGUGCCAUGCAAGCGCCAUUUAGUCCCGGUUGGAAUCGAGCCGGGACUAAAGGGGACCCCUUUAGUCCCGGUUGGGAAAUCCAACCAGGACUAAAGGGGGACCUUUACUCCCGGUUAAAAGACCCGGGAGUAAAGACCCCCCCCUUUUGUCCCGGUUGGUUUAUCCCGGAUGGAUAUCCGAGAGAUAUGCACCCUACCAACCGGGACUAAAGGCCAAUUCUCUACCAGUGUAGACCAAACAUGAUACACACCAUGCGUACCUUGCUGUGCAGACUAUGCAUUGACAAGAUACCCGACCACAUGUUGGCCUCGGUCACAUCAAAAGAAUCAUGUAGGCCACCAAUAAACUACUUGAAGCGGCAUUCCGUAUCGUAUAUGCAUUGCCGGUUCAUCUGCAUUACAUUACAUAAAGCACUAUUAACUAUUUGAAUAAAAUGAACCAAUUUAAAAGUAAUGUGUUGUACUCUACUAUAGAAAGCCCUAUCACUGCCGGAUCCAAAAACAUCAUUGUUAAUGGUGGUUAAGUACCAAAUAUGAUGGUCAAUAUUCUCAAGAAUAAUGGAGAAUUAGCAUUUCUUAGACACAUAUUUGGUUUUGAACAAUGUAGUUCCACAUGUCUUUGGAGAUUAUUUGGGUGUGGGUGAAAUAAUACAAAAAUAAGGAGAAAACACACUCCCAUGGCAAAGAAACACAACUCCAACCAAUGAGAGAUAGCCACAGGGGCAGCACACGGAUCCAUGGGCCCACAAACCGCAUCAAACCGUCUUACCAAGGCAGGUAGCACCCACAACCGUCAUUAGGACCCACCUGGAAGUCUACCAAGAAGAAGGUUGCGAGUGGGGCCAGGAGGGGUUCGGUUGAAUCAUCUCUAGCUAGCUCCCCUCAUCCCCAGCUGGUGGGUGGUGGUGGUUGAUGGUGUCCCUACAUCGGUUAGAGGAGAUUCCCCCAAAUAUUCCUCCUGUAAACCACCUCUAUGGACCUAUACAUAGAGGGGUGUGCUCUCCAUUCCAACACACACCACAAGUUGAAUCACUGUCUCCCUCUUUAGUUUCCAAGUUUAUGGAGUUAGGCUAGAGUAGCUCUGCUCAAGGUUCCAAGUCCACUUGGAGUUAAGCAUAUGUCUCUUGUAUCGUUAUUUCCUAAAUUGACUUUAUGCUUAGUUCUUAUAUGCAUGAGUUAGUCUAAUACCCUUGCUCUAUUGAUAUGCUCGACUUAUAUGCUCGUAUGCUAGUCAUAUACCCUUGCUGUCGUAGUAUAGGCUUAUAUGCUCUCAUGUGUGCCUGUAGACCUUGCUAUAGUAUAUACUUGUUGUGUAUACAUACCAUGUAUAGGCUAGUCGAUCUAUACCAUGGCAUUGGUUCAAUAGCCAUGUUUUUGGUGGCUCCAGCCCUAGUCACAAUAGCUCGGGACAGCUGGAGUGUUGUUAAAAAUGCAAGAGUGGUGCUUGGGUUGUUUAGCAUCGUUGGAUAUGGGUUUGCCCCACAGGUUUCUAACGGUAGGCGACAGCUAGUGACAUCCCUGUCCGUCCUUCGUAAUCCCCCCACAUUCAGGUACGCCAUAAAUGUUCGUAAAUUAGCAGUAACUACGCCGGUACACCCAUAGGGUAUUGUCUCCCUGUAGUACCUUGGUGCAUAGAACUAAGUCCUAUACACUGUGUGUGUAUGUUUACGCUGAUAUGAUCUGUGCAGUAUAUAGGAUGUAUAUAUGAACCUAGAGCUAACUCCUAGUCCGUUCUCCAUAGCUUAGUUAUCUUGAGAUGAUUCUUUUGUAUGUGUAACACUACCCAUCUUAUCAUUAUCCUUGCUCCUGUCUUGUGUAAUAUAUCUACUCAUCCUAUGAUAUACUCAUAUGCAUAGUAAACUAUUUUGACCUACCCGCCUUCCUUUGGGAAAUAUGAUACCCUGGAAUAAUCCUAGGUGAAAUCCUACAACGGUAUAUCCAUGUGCUUGCGGAUUUAUUCAUGACCAUUAAAUAUACCAACAAUCAUCACUGCCGGUUAUGGGCGUCGUUAGUGAAGGGUUGGUAGUGAUGGGCAUCCCCUUCACCAAUGGACCUGGAACCGGCGGUGAUGGCUGUUAUAAAAAAGGGGACACCACCCAGCGUACCCCGCGACCCGGCUGGCCGCACCUCCCAUCAUCCCCGCCAGCCGCCCUUCCUUUUCGCCGGCCGAGCAUGGUCCUGGCCUUUGUCCCUACCGCCUCGCCUCCACCGCGACCCCCCGCCGAUGCCCUCAUGCCUGGCCCCCCUCAUCUUGCCGGCCACCCUCCCGAUGCGUCCACUAGGGCCCUCACACCACCAACCGCCCUUGCCUAGAGAGGGAGAGAGAGGAGGGAGGUGAGGCCACGCACCUCGUCCUACACCGCCGCUGUUUCUCCUCGGCCCACCGCGCCUCACCCCACACCACAGCCGCGCCUUGCCAUCUUACCGGCUGCGACGCCUCAUCUCACCGGCCACCGUUCCUCACCCCCACUUCGGUCGUCGCCGCUCCUUGCCCUACUGCUGCUCUUUGCCGCUGCGACUGAGCGGCGAGUGGAGGAGGAGGGACGGGGCAGGAGGAGGGCAAGAUCCGGGAGGAAGGGAGAGAUCUUGGGAGGUGGAGAUGGAAGGAUAUGGCGGAAGGGAGAGAUCCAGAGGGAGAGAGCAGGGGAGAGAGGGGGGCAUGUGGGGAGAGAGUGCGUGUGGGGUGGGGCCAGGCUGGUGGGAUGGAAGGGAGAGGGGCUAGACGGGCGCAGUGCAUUCAACUGGAUGAAGUAAAUAUUUCGGAUUCGAGACCCCAGCUUUAUUAUCACCGCUGGUCCGUAGUACCAUCCGGUGCCUGCUCGUAAUUUAAUUUGAAUCUGCGGUGAUGUUUUAUUAUCACCAUCGGAUCAUAUAAAAAAUCCGGCGGUUAAAAAUCCGCUGGUUUCGAUGAAAACCGACGGUGAUAGGAUGACUGUGAUAGUCUCUUCUCUAGUAGUGGUAUAUUAGUACCGGCUGCCAGACGGUGUUGCCGACCAGUACUUCUCCGGAGGCGAUUCAGUACUGCUGUUAGCAAAGCUUGUUCUCUAUGAAUCUGGGGAUGGAAAGCUAGUUCUCUAGUUGUGAUUUGUUACAUAUAUAUCUAUGAUAGUCUAGAAAUUGCAUGUCCUUCGUUGACAUAGUUGAAGCUGCGCGCUUCAAGAAUUUACUUCGUGCAGUCGUGCAGCAUAUUGGAUUAUCACCUAGACAGGAUACAUAGGUGAAGCAUUGGAUGUGAUUGUGGCCGAUAAUUAUGCAGGACGCUGUUGCAAUCAACCACCAAGAAGUCUGGAGUGAUGGGGUUGCCUCAUCAAUAAUUUUUAUAUAUGGCUGCAGUAUUAUUAAGCCCACGUCAAUAAUUUUUUCUCCGCACCAUAUAUCGAUGGGGUUGCCUCAUCAAUAAUUCGCGCAACCAGACAAGCUGCAGACUCAAUAUGGUACGAAGCUAGUUGCUCAGCCCACAUGCUCUGAUAUAACAUUGACAUCUGCUGAUCUACAGUAUAUAUGACCAGAAAUAUUGUGCCCACCUCAAUAACUUUCUGAAGUAUCGUGGGGAAGAACCUACUCGUACUAUGCCUCGGAACUAACUGACAUAUCGGCCUAGGCGGUCUAGGCCGAUUGGACUGGCUCUUCCUUGUGGCUUCUCACGUCCCCUUCGUCCCCAAGUAAUUUCAGGUGUUCUGCAGUUUCCUUUUCACUUGCAUCUGAGCCUCAUAUAUCAAUAGCUUCGGGAUAAGAAUGCCUCUUGAUAACCUUCCAAAUCCUCGCUUGAUUCACAUUGAUUCCGAAAUCAUCUUGCCAUAUCUUCAGAGACUUAGGUCCUAAGGCAUCAUGGAGGAUUGCUCGCCAGGAAUGAGCACCAUUGGGCUCCUGAGGACCCUAGGCCGAUCAGCCCGGGCUCUAUAGGUCGAUUGGCCCAGGCCCUCUCUGGGCCCGUUGGCCUUCAUCUUUCUCUGAGUCGACGCUUAUUCAGGGCUUUGUCCAAUUAUAGUCUAUUAUAGUCUAAUUUCCUACAAAAACAGAAUGUCCUCCAAAAUACAAUGCAUAUGUGAAAACAGCCCAAUUAUUAGGUAUGAUCAAUAGUUUAGGUAUAUAAAUUAAUAUUAUUAUUUAAGAUAAACAGGGGUAAAGGGUGUCAUUAAUAACAAGCGCCAACAAGCGUCCUGGCUGUUCAAUAAAUUUUUUCUAGUACCGAUUGGUAACACUAACCGGUGCUAAUAUGUACCCUUUAGUACCGGUUAUUUUACCAGGUACUAAAGGAGACAAGAGCAUCCUAACAUAAGGUUAAUAUCAUCCAUUUCAUGAGUAAAAUACUAUGAUUCAAAAAUAAUUCAAAUCCCUUAAGACAAUACCUAUCAAAUGAGUAAAUUGUAAAUAGAGUAAUCUUGAUCAAACAAUGUCCUAAUGAAACGGAACACUUCUGGUUCGUGUAGAGCACAAUAUAGAAAACAGUAGGGUAGCUGUACGAUUGACACGUGGUCCAUUAAUUCUUGAGCCAACACUAUGGACAUGUCUUCAUGAGUAGUGUACUAGUCAUGAUACAUGGUAUGCAGUAGGUGGAGGUAUUGACUUAGCCAUGCUAUGAGCACUUAGUUACAACAAACACUUUGCCAUUAUCGAGCAUCCCAAAUCACUACAAAAUCCAUAGUUUACCAUAUACUACAAAAUCUGAGUUAAAAUAAGAGCAUACACGGAAGAGUCCGAAUGCACCGGCACAUUGAAUUACUAGACAAAAAUUAUGGGACAAGGUUUUGGGUAACCGCAUGAAAAAUAUUGGAUUUUACUGAACACUUAGUUACAAUUACCAUGCCGUGAGCACUUAGUCACCACAAACAUUUAACCACUUUAGAUCAUCCUGAAUCCCUAUAAAUUCUAUACCUUACACCGUACCAUGAAAACGACAAGAACAGAGACAGAUGCGGUGAAAAUCUCCAGAGCAAGCCUGAAAUUAAAAUAAGAGGAGGCAGUCACUAUCGACAGGACACGGAGAUUGCUAGCCAUGACAGAGGAAGACAUGAUAUGAUAUUCACCUCUGAAAUGCAGCGUAGACUAAAUGAAGCACAAUUGCAAGUGAGUGUGGCAGAUAAUGGACCAUCGAGACCAUCGAUUGGUAUGAAGCAUGAUUAUCACCUAGACAUGAUAUCCUAGACAGGACGGUGAAUUGUAAAAAGAGUAAUCUUGAUCAAAGAAUGUCCUAAUGAAACGGAACAUUUUUGGUACGUGUAGAGCACAAUAUAGAAAACAGUAGAGUAGUUGUACGAUUGAACUGCAUCCAUCGACGUGGUGCAUGAAUUGUUGAGCCAACACUGGGGACAUGUCUUCAUGAACACCAUCUAGUGAGGACAGCAUGCAGAAAAAUAUCAAAACAUGUCAUAGGGAGGCAGACCAAUCUUGCGAGGUAGACGAAACGUGAUACACGAUCUGCCUACCUUGUCGUGGAUACCCCAAGUGAAGAUGUCAUAGAGGUGCAGACCAAGCUAGCAAGGAGGUAGAUGAAACGUGAUACACGGCCUGCCUACCUUGCCGUGGAUAUUAGUCCUGAUAUCAUUCUAUUGUUCAAGGAAUAACACUCAAUGCUGCUGCUGCUGCUGACCUGGCUCCAUAAAGUUAUAUUCCUCUAGCCGCUUGCACUAACUUUAUCUGAAGUAUUAUUCUCUCUGCACUGUAUAUAUGGUUACGGAGUUUGCUGGAGUAUCCGGGGGGAAGAACCUACAUAAUAUGUCUUGGAACUAACUGACAUUGAUUCACAGACAAGGUGCUGUUGUUGCCAUAUUUUAGAGCAUCCCAAAGGACUAUAAAUAAUAUAGUUUACCAUAUACCGUAUACCAUUAUAUGUUAGCUAAAAUAAGAGCAUAACAUGUCGCAGGAGUCCAAAAGCACCGGUUGAGGACCAGGUACAUUAAAUUACUAGAAAACGAAAGGGGACAAGGUUUAGGUAGCCACAUGAAAAACAUUUGAAUUUACUGUACCAUGAACACUUAGUUACCAUGCCGGGAGCACCUAGUUAACACUAACAUUUAGCCACUUUAGAUCAUCCCGAAACACCAAUGACCCUCAAUAGCGACAAAUUUUGGUUUAAAUGCCGUCACCAAUGAUCCUCAAUAGUGACGUGUUUAGGUUUAAAUCCCGUCACUAAUAACCCUUGGUAGUGACGUGUUUUGGUUUAAAUCUCAUCACCACUGAUCCUCACUAGUGACGUGUUUUUAGCAACACACGUUAUGAAUGACUUGUCAUUGGUGACAUGUUAAACGCGUUAUCUCAAUGGCAAAUCAAUGGUGACGUGUUUAAAAAAACAUGUCACCGUGAGAGUUAUUGGUGAAGGGUAAUUAAAAUGCAUCACUAAUUUUGUAGCAUUAGUUAUGAUAUAAUUUUGUAACGCAAAAAUCUACCAUAGUAACGAGGUUUAGAGCCGUCGCUAAUGUGGGUUUCUUACGUAGUGAUGCAAGCUCUACAAGGUGCUGUUGUUGCCAUUUUAAAGCAUCCCAAAUGACUACAAGUGUCUGGUUGAGGACUAAACAAAUUGAAUUACUAGAACCAAAUGUAUGUCCAGAACAAAGAAAGGGGUCAAGGUUUGGGUAACCGCAUUAAAAACAUUGGAUUUUACUGUACCAUGAACACUUAGUUACCAUUACCAUGCCUUGAGCACCUAGUUACCACAAACAUUAAUUUAGCCACUUUAGAGGUUCCUCAAUCACUAUAAAUAAUAUACCAACACCGUACCAUGAAAACAUCAAGAAGAGAGACAGGUACAUGGACCACCAUCAAGUGAGUAGUGACAGCAUGCACAAGAAUACCCGGAACCUUUUAGCUUGUCUGUAGUGAUCUGUUUUCUUCCCCGUAAAAUCCAUGAGUAUUGCCACAAAUAAUGAAAGAGGCUGACCAAGCUAGCAACGAGGUAGAGCAAACGUGAUACACGUAGGUUUCAUUCAAGACAUCCAUGUAAGAUUCAUUCAAAACAUUCAUGGAAAUUUCUUAUAAGUUUUCAUGUAAAUUUCAUUCAAGACAUUUGUUAGAGGUGUUGUAUAUAUACUUAACGUACAUAUAUCUAUGAUUUCAUGGUUGUUAGUGAUGGCAGAUGAGGAGCAUGCAAGGUAUUUAAUGGAGCAGAUUAUUGCUAGUGGCAGUGGCUCCAACCUGCCCGUAACGUACACCGACGAAGAGGGCAGCCAGGCGGACAUGUUCCUCAACAUGUCCGGUGAUGGCAAUGAAGAGCCCGAGCAAAACCUUGCCGUGACGGAAGGUUCCAGCGAGGUAUAUAUCAUUUCCAUUAUUUUACCCCAUCUAUAAUUUCAUAUUCAUUAUUACUAUGUACUAAUUAACGAAUCUUGAACCGUUAGCCCUCUAGAUCAACGAACCGAAAUAAGCCCCGAGGUCUUACAAAGAUAAUGCAGGGAAGGCUUCACAUCAUGGAAGUCACAGAAGAGGGCACCUCGGUUGCUCCCGAACAUGUGGCAAGAACGUACGUGAGUCAAACCGGGGCAAUCGUAAGGGACAACGUGCCCAUCAGCAUCAGGGAAUGAAAGAGCAAUAGAAAUGAUCUAUACGCACCCCCGGAUACACAAAAGGAUAUGCUGUGGGCAAAUAUCAAGAAACACUUCACAUUUCCCAAAGGAUAUGUUGAAAAAGAUGUGAAAGCGUGGAUGCUGAAGAAGAUGGCCACCCAAUUCCAAACAUUCAAGAAGAUGUUGGAUGCCAACUUCGUCAAGAAGGGUCGAACUCCGGGUUUCGAUGAGUGGCCAAAGUUAAGGGACCACUGGGAGUCAUUUGUCGAAUACAAGACGAGCGAAGGUGGUGCCAGUAAGGUUCGCAUCAAUGUUGCCAAUGCUAGCAAGGAGUACCAUCAUCAUCUAGGGCGACGUGGUUACAGCACUGCAAUUCCCAGAUGGCGCAAGAUGGAACAAGACUUGAUCGAUCGGGGUAUCGUACCAGCAACUCUUGACUGGCCUGAUCGAUUGAAAAAUUGGUAUUAUGCUCAUGAAGGCAAUCUGAGCCAAGAGGAUGCGACAUUGGUCUUCAAUAAAACAAUACAUCAGAAGGUCGGAAGGCUUAUUAGGAACAUUGAAGAUGCUAAAGCUGGGAGGUUCAAGGUGGAUAGAGAGAAUGAUGAACUCACAUUGGCCCUCGGGACUGUCAUCUCUAGCACUUCCAGCUCCAGGACUAUCAUCACCACCGGGACCGUCGCUUCUUGCUCGAUCACAGUCUCCAUCUCCAGCACAUCCUGGUGGUGCGAGCGACGACGACAACAACACCCCUCCCUGCCCACCAUUGCCGGGACUAAGACCCGCAUUGUGUAAGGAACCUGCAACACCACUGAAGAAGUCGCGACCACCACCUUCAAGGCAAGUCAGCAAAAGAAGAAAGCAGAGAAGCCUAAACCCACUGAGAAGCCAGCGACUGAUAUGACCGAUGCGGAAAGAUGGAAGGCACUCAAAGAAGAAUGCAUGGAGUGGUUCAGAAAAAGGACCAAAGAAAGAAAAGGAAAGGAGAUGGAGCCACCGCCAGUAGAUCCAAGAAAAUUAUAAUUUUUUAUUAAGAUGUCAAAAGGAGCUAAGAAGAUGAUGCCACAACUAUCAAACUACGACUGGGCGUUAGUCAAGGCUGAUGAGAGUUAAAAAAGGAAAGGAAAGUCAUCGUCAAGUGGUACUGUCCCCCAGCUCGAGGAUCUACCAGAAAAAGAUGCUAAAAAGAUAGUAGCAAUGCUCUUGGAUCAACAAACACAUAUAUCGUGAGAUUAAUGCAAGAAACAGGUAUGUCCCUUGCUGAAUGUCUAUGGCAAGUUGAUAUGCUAGCUCCAGAGCCAGUUGUACCGAAAUGGACCUUUGAGCUAGGCAAGCCUCUAGUAAGGCCUGAGUUGGUACAGAAGCUAUCCACAUAGAUGCAUGAAUUCCAUGAAUGGUACAUGAAGCAGUCUGCCAAUGAGAGGGAAAUGUUCGGUCUCGAGGAAAAACUAAUAAUUUUUUUCGGCGAAGGCGAGAAAGUCGUAUGAAUCAAAUUCAAGGAUAUAUAUGAAGUGAACCAUCAGGAUGCCCUUGAUGUCUCUCUCAUCAGCGCCUAGGUUUUGUAAGUGUAUGUUUAUCUAUACGUAAAUUUUGGCUCAUAUCAUUAUUUUUUUUGCGUGCGUCACCCUACUAACUUCGUCUUCCAUUUUAUGUAGGAUGCUAAUUCAGACGUGCCGCAUAGAAGCGUACUUCCAUGUUGGCUUCAUGGAUCCAUCCCUAGUUAACCAAAAGCCGAUACGGAAGUAGCUAGAGAAAACGUUGGAGGUGGUGUACAACUUUCUGGACAAACAAAACUACAGAAUAGGGGCAAUAUGUGAGGGUCUUGUAGGAUUCCUAGUGGACGAGGUGAUAAAUCCAUAAGGAGAAUAUCAUUACAACGGACGAGCAUUAGACACACUGAGCAACACCUAGACGGGAGGAUCCUAGGAAUGACCUCAACAGAUUUUGGUAUAAAUAGUAAUUGUGUAAAUACUAGUUUGAUUUGUAUAGGAAUAUACUAAGAAUUGUAUAUAUAGUAAUUGUACAAAUACUAGUUUGAUUUGUAUGAAUACUAGAUUGAUUUUAUUAUAAAAAAGUUUUAAGUCGUACGUGCAUGCGCCUACAAAGGCGCGGAUGCCCUUUAAUCCCAGUCGGAAAAACAAACCGGUACUAAAGGGGCUCGUGCCGCACCUGGCAUGACCACCCCUUUAGUCCCGGUUGAACGACCCAGGACUAAAGAUCUCCGCGUCUCAAAAAUUUUAUCUCGGAUGCUUUUUAGAGAGAUUUGAGGCCUAUCAACCAAGACUAAUAUCGAGUUUUCUACCAGUGGAACUAACUAACGUUCACAUGCUUUUGACAUUCACCUGCCAUUUGGUGUAGACAAGGGCACCCUAACAUAUGGUUAAUAUUAUUCUUGAAAGAAAAUCCUUUGAUUCAAAAUACUUCAAACCUAAUAAUACAAUACUUCUCACAUCUCAAAAAUAUGAGACGGCCCGACAGUAUUCUAACCGACGCAAUAAUAUUUUGAGGGCAGCACUACUACAGCGACCCUCAUUCGUGCCGGUGCUGGGACUCCUAUCACGACCCUGAUACAAAUGAGGGUACAUUAUUGGUGCCAGUGCUAGAACAGCCACCAAUAACUUGCUAAACGUGCUGUUACACUCACUACAGGGACCAAGAAGGUAGAUAAAUUACACGACAUAGCCUUGGUUGCCGUGGAAGCGCCAAGAAGGGAGACAAAUUACAGGGACCACACCAUCAAGUAGAUAGUGACAAUAUGCAGAUGAAUACCCGCGCCUGUUAGCAUGUGAACUGACCACACCACGAAACGUGAUACACGGCAAGCGUACCAAGGCCUUGCUGUGCAGACUAUGCGUGGACAACACAUGGUACCUGACCGCUUUUGGCCUCAGACACAUCGAAAAACUGCAUCGUUCCACGUUGUACAUCCACUGCUAGUUUAUCUAUAUUACAUAAUAUAUUAUUAGCUAUUUGAAUAGAAUGAACCAAUUAAAAAAUUGCGUUGUAUUUUAGUACCGGCUGCAGGAUGGUGUUACCAACCAGUACUAAUUAGCCUGUAGGAGUGAUGGUUAUUAGACUUGGUACUGUUGUUACAUCAUUAACCUAAUUGUGCGCGGUAUGAAUUUGGGGAUGCAAAGCUAGCUCUCUAUGAAUGUGAGGGACGGAAAGCUAGUUCUCUAGUAGUAAUUAGCUAUAUAUAUAUGACAGUCAAGAAAUCGAACACUAUGCUGCUACGAGUCACCAUCAUUUCCUUCAUUGAGAAUCUGACAUAGGUGAAGCUGCUUCAAGAAUUUCCUUCGCGCAGUCGUGGAGCUUAUUGGAUUAUCACCAGGACGGGACACGGAAAUGGCCAGCAAUGAAGCUGAUUGCCGUCUGAGGAAGACUACAUACUUUACCUAUGAAAUGAAGCGAUUGCAUAGACUAAUGAAGCAUUGCAUAUUUGCAUGUGAGUGUGGCAGAUAAUUCUGCAGGACAUGAUUGCAAUCCACGCACCAUCGAGAAGACUGGGGCGAUGGGGUUGCCUCAUCAAUAAUCACGUGGAUGCAUGCAUGCAUGUUCCCGCAACCGGACAAGGGUCUGAUAUAUGGCUAUAGUAUUACUGAGCCCACAUCAAUAAUUUCCGCUGGUGUAUCGUGUGGGAAGAAUCAACAUACUACACCUCGAGUUCUUGGAACUAACUGACGUUCACAUGCAACCUCCACAAGGUGCUGUAUAUAUGCUUUUGACAUUCACCUGCCAGUUCGUGUAGAGGACACCCUAACGUAUGGUUAAUAUUAUCCAUUUCAUGAGUAAAAUACUGUGAUUCAAAAAUACUUCAAAUCCCUUGAGACAAUACUUCUCACUUGACUAACCACUAACCAACCCCGAAACCCUAACUCAACUCCGAACCCUAACACCUAACGGCAUAACCACUCCGUUUUGCCAGCCAGAUGGAGGAACUGGCUGGGAGGGAGAGAGGGCAGCGGUCCAGGGUUGAAAACGACGGGCGAGCGCAGUAACAUGUGGAGGAGGAAGUGCCACGUAUUCGUUCACCGCUAUUGGGCAGCGACACACAACACGCCCAAUAAGAUCUUCGCACGGUAGAAGGACGUCAUGUAUUCAAUAAUGUUAUUGGUCCUCCAUGUGCAGAAGGGCGCGUAUGGAAUAACAAGUAGGGACACUGCAACUAAUCUACUCUGCUCGUCCAGUCCCUAGCCUAUAAAUAGAUGCCAUGCUAGCUCUUGUUGUGCUCACAGUUAAUCCGAUUACACACGAGCUCCUCUCCCUAGCCAAGACACAAUCAUAGUAUGAUGAAGAACAUGGCACUAGCCGGCAAUGGUAUGAAGAAGUUAAUCCUCGCUGUUCUCUUACUGUGUCUAGUUAUAGGGCAGAUACAAGUGGAAGCUAAGAGCUGCUGCCCAUCCACCACUGCAAGAAAUGUCUACAAUACCUGCCGUUUGACGGGUGCAUCCCGUCCAAUGUGUGCAAAACUGUCAGGCUGCCAAAUUAUCAGCGGGAACAAAUGCAAGCCCCCUAACGACCACCUCACCCUUGACCCGGACACUGGUAAAUAAUAAAUUUAUCUCACUUGAUUUCUUUGUGUUUUGAGUCGUUAAUGUAUUUUCCAUCUGAUGAAACGCAUUGGUUUUGCAUUGAAGAGGAAGUUAAUGUGCUUAACUUCUGCAAGUUGGGGUGUGCGUCGUCUGUGUGCAACAACAUCAACGCUGGUAAGCACCUUUUGCUCAGACAGAGAAAACAAUAAUCAUUAAUUAGCGGCAGCUAGAAUCCUAUAAUCUAAUAUAUAUAUAUAAUUUUAUCAGCUCUGGGAAAUGAAGAGGCGAACGAUGCCGUUGAGAGUUGCGACCAAGCCUGCUCUAGCUUCUGCAGCGUGCAUGUUGGCAGCGCCACCGUGGUUGCUUAAGCAAAUGCAUCCAACUAGAUCGUCCUUGUGCUGAAUAAUUGGAUAUCGUAUCCACUUAAAGCUGCCUUGUGUAGUACGUCUUUGUGUCUCUCUUUAUAUUCCAAUAAGGUCGGUGAUCUUGAUGCCACACACUCAGAUGUGUGUUCAUCUCCAGAUACUACUCCAUGCUACCUGCCCUUUGUGUUUUGUUCAAUAACUGGGUAUCAUAUCCGAGCCAGUAUGCCGUCUGUUUUGUGUUUGUUUCCUUCUAGUUCCAAAGGGGUCAUCAUGAUGUUACCUUCUUUCAAUAUGGUGCUUUGCAUGACUACUGUUGUAUGGUACCAUCUUGUGGCCAAUAAGUACAUCUUAUCCUAUGACCCUUUGCUAUGACCCUUUGCAAAUAAGUAGAAGAUUGUUAUAAGCGUCAAUACUCAGUAUAAUUGAUCGCUGCUGUGAGUUCCCUUUCAGCUUAUCGUAGGCAUACAUUAUUGCUAGCACGGUAAAGCCAACCAACACGAAUGAUGAAGUAAACGUAGCGGUACUUCUGUAUACCAACACCCUUACUUAAAUGUACCGGUGUCAUUCCCUACUGGCACAUAUAUUCUUAUAUGCUAGCCAGCUUGUAAAAUUAACCAAUUAAAAUAAUUAUUUCAAGAUAGAAAUAACUUAUUGGCUUCUCGAAGCAUGUGUAAUGUGAAUUCAUGAGACUUCAAGCAACCAGGAAAAGACACUAAUAAACAUCCAGAUCCCAUCCAGCACACAUCCAUGCACAUAUAUAACCCACAUAUUGCUCCAGCACACAUCCAUGCAUAUACGAUAUCCAAAUGUUAAUAUUGUAGACAUCCAUGCCUGAACUAGUCUGCCACACAAGUCAUUGAUGCUACAAAUUCUACAAUCGCAGCAUGUGCAUACAACUUACAGAAUGAGAUAAUGUACCAAAACUAAAACGUUAGCAUCAACUGUGCUUCAACCAAAGUUGUCAUCCCAACUCUCCUCUUCAUCCAUGCCAUUCUUGUCAUGGCCGUCGCUGUCAGUCUCCAUGGCAUUGCCAAUGCUGUGUAUGUCUUGGUAGGAACCUACAUGUGAUGAACAGUAACCUGCAAAAAGAGCUCAAAGGAUCUUGUUCUCAUAUUGUAGCUGUGAAAUUCUUGCAAGUAGUGUUGCAAUCUGUUCACUUUGAACCAAAAGAGCUCAAAGGAUCUUGUCCUAAAAGUUCCUCUUAAAGCUUAUGGGUUUGCUGGUGGAACCGGAAGGGCUUGAUGCAGCAGAUGCCAUUCUGCAAUAGAGAAAAAUUUAGAGGGCAGUACUAGUUAAAAUUUGAUGCAGCAGAUACACACGAAACUAGUAUUUAUACAAUUCUAUAUAUGUAAUAAUUUGUCCCCUAAAUUUUUAGGAUCCUCUUGAUGGUGGUGAGUCUUCCAGUAAGGCAAUUGAAUGUCCGUCAUAAUAAAAUUCUCCUUAGGAUUUAUCAUCUCGUCAACCAGAAAUCCUAGGAGUGCUUCUUGGAUUGCCAAAACCCUAUCCUGAUGCAGGAGUUCGUCCUUAAGCCUUAACAUUUGUAAUUUGGAAAUAUGUGAAAGUUAAACCAACAAUUAAAAUAUAAGGAGCCUUAUCAUCAUUUCCAUGUGUUGCGAAUUAAAAUAAUGAAUAAUACAGUGUUAGGUGAAAAUUCAAGAAACAAAAUUUUGCAUAGAGAUAAACGUCCAACAUUAUUACAAGUUAAGGUAGUUUUAAAUAUCCUUGUAAUCUUCCUUUGAUUUCCUCAACGAUUCGAAGACAAUAACCUUACUUCUAUCAAUGAUAAUUAUAAGGAGAACCCAGUGAAAACUGUGUAUUCAUAUUAGAACUACCUAAGGUUAAUUAGGUUAGGAAAGGAAAUCGAAAAUAGAUGGUACCCACACUUACUUAAAGUUGUCGGGCAAUAGUAUGUAAUGCUUGUAAUUCCGUUGCUCCAAGAAUUUGUAUAUGUGGUCCAAUGUAGACUUUGGUUGAUUCCGUAUCUGCUGUUGGUUAAAUAAGUGUUUCUAGCCAUUACUAGCCGUUAGAACUCGGACUAAAGGGGGCUCUUUAGUACGGGUUGAUAUUACUAAUCGGGAUUAAAGAGCCCCCAUUAGAGUUGGUUUUUGGACGCGGAACUAACAACUCCUUUAGUCCUAAGUACAAAAAUGACUGAAAUAUUUGUUGCUGGAUGGAAGGUCCUUUCUCUACCAUGAAUAUUGCCAGAAAGAAUUGAAAGAGACUGCUUGCUAAAAAUAUGUCAUAGAUGUAGACCAAGCUACCAAGGAUGUAGACCAAACAUGAUACACACCAUGCGUACCUUGCUGUGCAGACUAUGCAUUGACAAGAUAGAAAUAAUUAAUUCUAAUAUGCGUACCCUUACUUACACUAGUAGAGAAUUGGGCUUUAAUCCCGGUUGGUAAGGUGCAAAUAUCUCGAAAAUGCAUCCGGGAUAAACCAACCGGGACAAAAGGGGGAUCUUUUAUCCCGGGUCACUCAACACGCGAUUUUUCACAAAAAAAAAAUUCCCGAGCUCCCAGGCAGGCCCCCCACACGCGAUUUUUCACGCGAAAUAUGCGCGUGCGCGGUUCGUGGGAUUCGAACCCACAACCUCCAGCCUCGCGCGUAGUUUCCUUGCCAUCCCACCUACACACCACAUCUGACUAUGUAGGGGAUACUAUCCUUUUGUAUUAAAAGGCUCUUGACCCUUUUAUCUCGGUUGGUGUUACCAACCGGGAUAAAAGGGGGGGUCUUUUAUCCCGGUUGGUGUUUCAAACCGGGAUAAAAGGCCUCUCAGAGUCUUUUUUUCCCAUUAGCCUUUGCAACCGGGAUAAAAGGUUCCGGUUGGUGAGCCCCCCACCAGUGACCGAGUUUUAGUCCCGGUUGGUGAACCUUUUGUCCCGGGCCAACUUUAAACCGGGACAAAAGGGGGCGUAUGGAAAGCCAAUUCUCUACUAGUGUUAAAUAUACCGGUGUUAUUGCCCACUGGCACAUAUAUUCUUAUAUGCUAGCCGGCUUGAAAAUUAACCGAUUAAAAUAAUUAAUUCAAGACAGAAAUAACUUAUCGGCUUCUCGAAGCAUGUGUAAUAUGAAUUCAAGGACUCGAUGGAAGUUGAAUCGCUUCAUCUAGAUUGCUUUCAGGAUUUUGGGUAACUAAAUUUAACAUUUGCACACACAAAUGUUAAUGUACAAAUGUUAAAUCUAGUUACCCAAGCAGAAUAUGAAUAUACUCUAUAGUAUACAUAUACUAUAUAAAUCUAGUUAAUAUUUAGUCUAAAUGUUAAAUCUAGUUACCUAAAAUCCUGAAAGCAAAAUGUAUAAAUAUAUAUCUUUUAAGGCAGUAUAAACUUCGAUUCCUUUUGCUGCUCUGUUAAAUCUCAUCUUUCGUUGUGGCCCAACACUCUAGUAUGUAUGUUGCACCAAGCUUCCUUGAGCCGCUCUGCCCUCUGAUUUUGCUGCGUAGGGGAAUCUUUAUCAGGUUGGGCUGCUUCCAGUCAUACGAUGUGUGGCUUCAUAUCUUCUACAAGUUAGACAGGAAACCCGCGUUCUGGAAGAUUCUGCAACGUGCACGUUGGCGCUGCCACCGUGGUUGCUUAAGCAAAUGCAUCCAACUGAAUCGUCCUUGUGCUAAAUAAUUGGAUAUCGUAUCCACUGCUUAAAGCUGCCAUGUUUAGUACAUCUUUGUUUUUCUCUCUUUAUAUUCCAAUAAGGUCGGUGAUCUUGAUGCCACACACUCAGAUGUGUGUUCAUCUUCGGAUACUACUCCAUGCUACCUGCCCUUUGUGUUUUGUUCAAUAACUGGGUAUCAUAUCCUAGUCAGUGUGCCAUCUGUUUUGUGUUUGUUUCCUUCUAGUUCCAAAGGGGUUAUCAUGAUGUUACCUUCUUUUGAGGUGUCUAUGACUUUGUUAAUAUCAAUAUUAACCAAUUCAAUCUAUCUUAACUAUUUGUAAGGGGUAUGAUGUAUGCAUGAUUAUAACAAUGAUUGCGCAUACAAUCACUGCCAAAGAAACGGUCAAUACCAUAAAGACAUAUUACAGACAAUUCUCAUAAUCUAUAAUGAAUAUACAUAUUCACUACUGCAGAGACUGUCAUCUGUAUCAGCUCAUACGUGCCAGGGCAAAGGUCACCCUUGCAUUAAAAGUACAUUUGCACGGUAAAGAUAACCAACACGAAUAAUGAUGUAAACAUGCCGGUGCUUUUGUACACCAACACGCUUACUUAAAUGUACUGGUGUCAUUCCUCACCGGUAGCCGGCUUGAAAAUUAACCAAUUAGAACAAUUAUUUAUUGUAUCGGUGUGAAUUUUGACCUAUUGGAAUAUGAAUUUGACCAUUACUGCAUUCGUCAAGACUCAAGAGAGAAAUAACUGAUCGGCUUCUUAGAGCGUGUGCAAUGUGAAAUCAAGGACUGGAUGGAAGUUGAAGCGCUAGCUUCAUCUUCCGCUGCAUGUUAAUUGCUUGGAUAAGAAGUUGUAGCCGCGUAUAUAAAUAGUCCCGCUGAUGCUGUGCUCCGAAGUCUAUACUAUAUAUGCGAAAACUAGAUUGCUUUCAGGAUUUUGGGUAACUAAAUUUAACAUUUGUACAUAAAAAUGUUAGUUUACGAAUGUUAAAUCUAGUUACCCAAGCAGAACAAGAAGAUAGUAUAUACUAUAUACUAUGUAAAUCAAGUUAACAUUUAGUCUAAAUGUUAUAUCUACUUACCCAAAAUCUUGAAAGCAAAGAAAGAAUAAGUAUAUAUCUUUUGUUGGAAAAUUGGUCCACGGAGAGUGGCCUCGUUCGUUUCACCGGGAAGGAAUUCCAGUCAGGAUUACUUCCAAGUCCGGUUUAAGUGAUUCCACCCAUGUCACUCAAUUCGGCUAGGAUUCAUUCCAGGGGUGAGGAGGUAUGGUUUCAAUCCGGGCCAUCUAAUGUAGAAGGAUUCCAAUCCAGGCCGGUUUUCGUUCUAGGCUAGACUAAAACGAACAACACUUUCAAUGCAAGUCUGGUUUCAAACCGGGCCACUUCAAACCACCCGGAAUGGACCUCAUUCCGGGCCAAUCCGGUGAUAACAAACGAGGCCUUAAUGGAAUCCCAAAGCAAGAGUUCAGUGGCAUUCUAUAGUCCCAUGCUGCUAGUUUGAGUUGGUCGAAGCCAACUUAAAUAGGAGAGCUCUCUCACUUCUCUAAAAAUGUAACUGAAGGAGAGAAGGGGGCUUGGGUUACACAACGCACGCACGCACGCAUAUUUGCAUUCUUUUCGCGUAACCGACCGCGUGACUUGAAACUUGCGACGUAGCGUGCUGCUAAGUCAAGUUGAUAUAACCUUUUUGCCGUUUGCGUGUAAUCUUUUGACAACGGUCAUUGGAGGUGAUAAGCACGCAGUCAAUACCUUAAUCCUGAGUUAAUAGGGCGGUUACUACUGCCAAUUAGUGCAGCAAUUUUGUAGGGGAAACGGUUAGCAGAGGGCUACCGUCUUCUCUAUAAGAAGUUUUGGAGACGUCCAGGAACACACAUGUACAUGUGAGAGACCCACGGAUUCCUUCCCUUCUCCCUUUUCCAUCUGGUGAAGUGUGCUAUGGUACUGAGCUGCUGGAUCUCGCUGGCUCUUCUCCUUGGCGUGCACCGAGGAGGAGGAUGAGCGGUAUCUCUGAGCUAUUGCCGUCAGGAAGCCUGCACGAGGGACAACAAUAAAGUUUUUAGGUAGCGCCUGCCUAAUCUUCGAUCUGCACUGCAACGCGUAACCCUGCAGCAACUCUACACGAGGACGGAGCACUAAUCUGUAAGUCCUAGAUUGGUUUCUUACAGAGUUGUAGGUUACACAAGAUCUAGAAUGGUUACAUACCAAUUAUUAUGGGUUACAUGAUGUUUUGUACGGUUUCGUCUAUUUUGCAUAUGUUAUUUUUACAUACCGUUUACAUGCAUAUGUUAAUGGUUACACCUAGCUAUUUGAAUCUAGAAUUGGGUUACAUAGCAGUAGCAAUGAGUUACGUAAUAUGCCUCACGUUUAUAUCUGGUAGAAUUUAACACGUAUCUCCAACAUAUUUUGAGGCAGUAUAAAUUUCAAUUCCUUUUGCUGCUCUGUUAAAUCCCGUCUUUCGUUGUGGCCCAACACUCUAGUAUGCAUGUAGCACCAAGCUUGUUUGAGCCGCUUUGUGCUUUGAUUUUGCUGCGUAGGGGAAUCUGUAUCAGGUUGGAUUGUUUCUUUGUCUUGCGAUGUAUAGCUUCAUAUCUUCUAGAGGUUAGACAGCAAAACCCGCAUUCUCUUAAGGCAACAACCCGAAGAAUCUGCAGCGCCUCUGAUAUAUCACUGCUGCAGAAACGAUCUUUAGUACUGAUCUCCAACCCUCUUUAGUAUCGGUUGGGCAACCAGUACCACUAUGUCGGUACUAAAGGGAGUUCUCUAGAAUCGGAUCAAAUAACCGGUACUAAAAGGGCUCCUUUACUACCGGUUGGUAACAACAAUAGGUAGUGACUUUUUUGCACCCAAAAAAUUAAAGAAUAACAGCCGGGAGGCUCGCACACACACGCAUCAUGAGUAAUAUGCGCGUGCAUGGUUUGUGGGAUUUCAACCCACGACCAAGCUAUAAGAACGUAGUUACAACAAAUCAAACACUUAGACAUUUUAGAGCAUCCCAAAUAACUACAAAUUCUAUAGUUUACCAUAUACCAUAAAAUAUUAGUUAAAAUAAGAGCAUACACAUGUCGGAAGAGUCCCAAUGCACCGGUUGAGGAUCAGACCAGGCACUUUGAAUGCACAUGCCAUAAGAUAAUUCUGCAGGACAAUGAUUGCAAUAAUGGACCAUCGAGAAGAUAGGGGCGAUGGGGUUGCCUCAUCAAUUAUCACUUGGCGCAACAAGACCAGCAAAGUCUUUAUCGACGGGGGUGGAUCAAGGGGUGGGGCAGGCAGAGCUCCAGUCCUCCUACCGCCGCUCGAACAAUGGAGCCCCCUUAGCCCCUCCAUAAAUUUUUAGGUAGAAGAAAAAAGAAGAGAAGGGAAGCAAGGGGAAGAAGAGGGAGCCCCUGCUAAGUAGGUCGCCAUCGUGCUUCCCAACGCAUGAUCGCCGCACCGCAUCCAUUCCUCUACAAGCCUUCAGCGUCUCUCCCGCCGCUACCUCUGAACCAUGUGCAGCUAUAGACCCAACUAGUGUGUUGUCGCCCAUCUCAGUCCCAACAGAGCGGCGGCGGCUGCCAACACAAAUCUCCCUCCGCCUCUUCUUCACGGUCGAUGGCCGCCACAAGCAUAAACCUCGCCUUCGCAUCCAAGCAAAAGGGUCGUUGGGGUGCCUUCUUGCAUCACUUCUCAGCCUCCUUCACUUGCGGCCAGCGAAGAACUGCGCCACCACCUCGGGUGCGUGCCACCACUCCAGGGCCGCUACCCCAUGCCUGCGGCCGCCACCGGCCACCACGCGUGUGCAACCGCGUUGCACCGCUUCCCUGCUUUGUGCCACCACUACUGCUGUACCACCAGCUCCACCACCUUGGGAUGGUCGCCAGGGUGACUGAUUGGUGAUUAUUACUAAAAAUAAGUUCCUUAUUAUCUGCAACUACUAUUAACUCAGAGAUACAUGCGUCUUUUGCUUCUCCUGCUAAUAGGUCCUAAAAUAUCUAGGAUGCUUUAUAUUUCUGGACAGAGGAAGUAUUUGAAUAAAAUGAACCAAUUUAAAAAAAAUGUGUUGUACACUACUACAGAAAGACCUAUCAGUGUCAAACCCAAAAAUGUCGUCACCGCCAGUUUUAGGCAUCGUUGGUGAAAGGUUGGCGGUGAUGGGCAUCCCCUUCAACAACGGCACUGGAGCCGACGGUGAUUGACAUUAGAAAACAAAAAAGGGAACCCCACCUAGCCACCCCUGCAACCCAGCCGGCCGUGCCUCCCCUCAUGCCCACCACCUCGCCUCCCCCGUGACCCCCCGCCGGCGCCCUUGUGCCUAGCCCCCUCGCCUGCCCGGCCGGCCACCCUCGUCAUGAGAGAGAGAGGUGCAUGUUGUAUAAUUGCGUGAAUUUUUGAAUGUUUAAUUUUAUGUAAGUUCCAUGUAAUAAAUUGUACAAGUUUUAUUGUAUAUAUGAAUUCCAUAUAUAUGUAUUUAUAAUUUAAUGUAUGGUUUCAUGUGUAUAUUUCAAUCAUGUGUAUAAUUAGUAGAUUGCCGAUUUUCUUUUUCUACUAGACAAGGGUUGAUGUAUAAUUACGUGUAUAUGUUUAUUGUAUGGGCAAUUAGGACAAGUUUUGUAUAAAUUUCUUUUAUUUCAUGGUUGUUGUAUGGUUUCAUGUAUAUACAUUUAUUGUACUACUUGAGACAAUUUUAAUUUAAUAUUUCUAUGAUUACAUGUGUGUAUAACUAAUUGUAUUAUUAGUUAAGAUGGGAGCCAAAGAGGAUGAAAGGUAUAUAAUAGAGUAGAUUAUUGCUGGCGGUAGUGGCUCAAACGUUGCAAGAACCUACACCGAGGGUGAGGGUAGCUAGGUGGACAUGUACCUCAACAUGUCCAGUGAUGGCAAUGACGAUGAGGAGCACGAGCAUGACGUCUAUGAUAAUGCGGAACAAGACAUUGCAGAAUUGGAAGGUUCUAAUGAGGUGUGCUUCAUGUUGACGAUCUAGUUGGCUUUUUUUCUUUGGUCACACCUUAGUUACCAUAGAACUUCGUCUCGGGAGAAGAUUGGUGGUGCUAUGGUGAUUGGAAUUUUAUUGCCUCCAAAUUUGAUUUCCAUCGAAUCAUAUCCCUUGUAUUUAUCUUCUUUUUAUUUGUGAGAGCAUCUUCUUUAUGCUUGCAAAACAAUUCAAGUGCACAUACUACCCCUAGGGUGAUGAUUGGGAGUAGAAACAAUUGCCAACAAAACAACACCACAUCCUAAGAUUCUUAACUUGUGGCAUAAUUAAUCUAGUGAAAAGAAAGAUAAAAACCUAAUGGGUGUACGUGAGUGCAAUGUGUAUAUGCAUAUGAGUGGAAGGCAUAUAAGCAAAGACAAUAUUUACACAUAGUUCUAAACACCAUGUUUACAGCUAGGUUGCUGAAUUUCUCCAUAGCUAUAGAGAUUAAUUAACCAAGGUCAAAACACGAUGUCUAUCCCAAGAUCAGUAAUUCUUUAUAGCACAAGAAAAAUAAAGCGCAUUGCAAAGUUUAUAAACCAACCAAUACAGCAUGAAAACAAGAUGAAUAGCUAGCAAGGUUUAUUAAAUUGAAUGAUGACGGUCUGCAAGCAAGUUUGAACACCAUCUUUACACAAGAUUGCAAAUGGAAAAUGCCCAUAUGAAGCACUAACAUGGAUAUGAAAUCAUUCAUCAUAAAGCGUAAAGAACAACCAAGCCAACCAUAUGCAAAGCAUGAAUGGAAUGCAAUGAAGGUGCAAGAGAACAUUUUUGGAUGAACACAUUAUGAUGAUGGCAAAAUGCAAUGCGUGCAGAAAUAAUAAAUAUGAACAUGAAUAUGAUGAUCAGGGGCGGACCCACUAUUGUGGCCUGGGUAUUCCUGGGCAUACCCAAUAUUUUUGGGAAAAUGUUUAGUAGUUUUUAAUGGCAUAUACAUGUAUAAUAUAGUUUAGGUGUUAAAAUUGAUAUUCACAGCUAUUUUGGGCUCCAAUUCGCGUCCAAACCAACCUAGCCCACAGACCACACCCGGCCGGCCAGCCCAUCGGCCCAUCUAGUCACUGAUCCUUCCACCACCACACUCAGCCCAUCAGUCGGUCAGGUCCCGAGCUCCUGCCUGACCUAGUCUGCUACCGCCGCCGGGCGCCAAGCACAGCCGUACGCAUUGCACCGCCCCCGUCCACCCACGUCCGUUGGGGGGCCAAGCCGCGCCCCCCAGCCCCCGCGGUGAGAUCUCGACGCCCGCUGCCCCCAGACCCCAUUAGGCCUCCAUCGGCAAGUCCACCCACAGUCCCACGGGACGGGGCAGCCUUUUGGCUUUGGGCGCUCGGGGCGCGCCAAUGCCAGCGCAGCCCCAGCAGGCGACUGCCCCCCCCCCCCGCAUCAGGCCUCAGCCCCUCCCCAGCUCCCCCUCCCCCCUCCACCAGGACUGCUUGUUGGCCCCCACCGCGAGGUAAUCGAAAUGGACUGCUCAAUCACUCAAUCUGUUGACAUGAUGCACACGGNNNNNNNNNNNNNNNNNNNNNNNNNNNNNNNNNNNNNNNNNNNNNNNNNNNNNNNNNNNNNNNNNNNNNNNNNNNNNNNNNNNNNNNNNNNNNNNNNNNNNNNNNNNNNNNNNNNNNNNNNNNNNNNNNNNNNNNNNNNNNNNNNNNNNNNNNNNNNNNNNNNNNNNNNNNNNNNNNNNNNNNNNNNNNNNNNNNNNNNNNNNAUUUUUUUGCAAUGAGCAUACCCUACUCUGAAAUCCUGGGUCUGCCACUGAUGAUGAUGGUCUAAACAUAAAACAAGCCAAGAUUAAUUAGCCACAACUGAAAUUAAGCAAAGGUUAAUGUCAUUGACCCUAGCUCUAUCCUAGCUUUUACAAAAGUCCCAGCACAUAUAGUGGUUGGGCCCACUCUCUCUGCUUCCCUCUCUGCUGCAUGCAUGCACACGAGCAACGGGAGGCCCCACAAAGCCCAGAAGGGUUCGGCUGAACCCGGCCGAUCCAAUCUGAGCACCACUCCCUCCCAGCCUUCGCGCAGAUGCUCCUCCAACAUUCCUUGACCCCUCCCUCAGCGUCCCAUUGGGUUUAACAUUGCAGGAGAGGAGUCCCUUUUUUAAAAUCUCAACCACCUCCUCUCCUCAUUCACUCCACUCUCAUCUCCAUCAAACUCACCAAGAUCCACAUCGGAAAUCCCUGCUUACCACCAUGGCUGGCAAAGCCCUCGUCCCUUUCACCAACUUGGGCUUAACCAUUGAUCUCGAUGGGGAAAUCACUCCGGAAAUAGGGCAGUGACCCAGAGCAAAGGUGAUGCCAGAGUGUAGAUAGCAGUUAGCAUGCCAAAUUGUGAACCGCAAGCGCUCGGAUUAGUUGUUUUUUUUCCCUUAGAGAUUCCCCCAAGGUUUAUCAAUCCAUGGAACAAGGGAUUUGCACAUUUCACUAAGCAUUAAUCAAUGUAAUUGAAAGCUUUUUGAAUAAGAUAUGAUUAUGCUAACAAAGGAACUAAGCAAUCUAGAUUAAGAUGGAUAGAGAGUAAAGGUUGUGAACAAGAUAGAUUAAACGCUUAUAGAUGCAAUCACCAUGCAUGAAUGAAUUAGAUCUAGGUGUUAUUGUGAGUGGUUGUGAACCAUACCCCAACACUUUCCCACCCGCAACAUUGUCACUACAUGUGGGUACUCAACUAUCGAAACAUAAGAACACAUCAAGAUGAUCAUUCUAGGUAAGCAAAUAAGCAACCCAAAGUAGCGCUGGCCAGCCUUUUCAUGAAAGAGCAUCAUCAAGAUAAGAUUGAUAACAAAAUAGAUCUCAACCAAAGGUUCAGCGAUUACAAAUCAAGAUCUCCGUAUAACCCCGAUGACAAAUAGAGGUAUUACCCCCAUGAUCUUACACAUGUUGAUGAAUUUUAGGGUAAAGGACGCCCUGUAGAUCAACUGGACCAAAGAUGAUGAUGAACAGGGGCAGGGAAGGCCCAGGCUGAUCAGCCUGGGCACUUUUGAGCCGAUCAGCUUAGGGAGUUUCCUCCUCCCCUGGUGCUCCUCUUCGCGUGGCCUCCUCUGGAUCCAAUCUUCUCUUCAUUUCUCCUACUUGUGGUGGCAAUGGAUGGUGUUUGCAUGGUGAUUUCCUCUUCUCCCCAACUCUCCCUCCUUGAAGUCCAUGAGGGGGUAUUAAUAGUCUCCAAUAUGCGGCAGCUCUGGGUCAAUGUCGGUGAAAAAACCCUAGAGAUCAUCGUACACUUCACGCUGAGGAAACAAGAGGUCGACCGAGCCCUGGGAUAGACCAAGAGGAUCAGCCUAGAGGGUCCCAGGCCAAUCGGUCUAGGCCCUUCCUAGCCCUUCUAGUCCUCUCCUUCCUCGUGCUGGCUUUUCUCGAUGACCCUUGUCCAAAUAUCCAUUAAGCUCUAUAUACAUACCCCCUUGAUUAUGUCGUAUUUCCUGUCAAAAUACAAUGCUCCAAAAUACAACACAUAUGCAAUAAUAGGGUUAUUUCAUGUGCCAAUUGGUGCGUUAGUAUACGAAUAAGCAUGAAAAUACUGGUUAAAUGACACUAAAAGUGUGUCAAUAACGAGCACCAACAAUCCCCCCACGCUUAGAUCUUGCUCGUCCUCGAGCAAGUCUAGCGACUAAAAGAUCUUGAAUUAAACAUGAGCAAGCGAGUCAAGUACCUAGCCUUGAAACAAAAGAUUAGAGGAGCAGCAAAGAUAAUCAAAGUCUGGGUGUUCAAAGAUUUAUCUAAGCAAAGAUUCCCCUACAACUAUUAUUCAGAACCAAGUAACUUCAAGAAUCAACUACACUUAUUUUCUGGCUUUUUUCAGAGGGUUUUUCUUUCAUCACAAAACAAUCUCCCUGCAACAAAAUUGAAAAAAGAAUUAUUUUCCAGGUGCUUACAUGUCGUUUAAAUGAAUGUUCGCUAUCCUACUUAUUUGCAAGCUCUCAUCUCUCAAAAUUCAUUCAAUUAUAUGGUGGAGCUUGGGUAAGGUUAGCUAGAAUCAACACGUAUAUUAUUGAAUUAAGAAAACCCUCUAACGGUAGCCUACCUUUCGAGCCAUUGAUCAUAAGAAUAUCCACAUAAUGUGAAGUUUUCAAGGAUGAGAAUAGAAUGGUGGACAUGUGCAAAGGCAAAGAAAUAUAGUGACUCUGAGGCACAAGCAAUGUCCUCGUCGUUGGAUUGCAUAUGGUUGGAAUGAAAAUCUGUUCCUUAAACAAGUCCAUCUUUUCUUUGCACCACUCUUGAUCUUCAUGACAGUAAAAACUCCUCCUUUAUUUCUUUCUCUCUUUUCCUAUUAUUUCUUUUUAUUUGUCUCAAUACUUUUCUUUCUUUAUUUCUUUAUUUUAAUCUCUUCUCCGAACCUCUUCUGAACACCACACAAUAAAAAUCAGUUUUAGAUCCUUCUAGAGACCUUCCAGGAAUUUGCUACAUGAAAACCGAGGCAAGGAGACCCCAGGCCGAUUGGCCUGGCCACUCCUUUGCUCUCCUCUAGCUCUUCUUUCUUGUGAAGCUUCCUUAUCUUGUAUCUUUCCAAAAAUUUCAUAAAGCUCAACUAGAAACGGAACACAUCUUCAUAUAAUGAGUUGUGUUCAAGGAAUUGGUAAUAAAAUUGAGAAAUUUGUGGUUCGGGUUUACGAAUUCAGUACAAAAAUAUGAUUAUUCCAAUGAAGAACUCUCAUUACUGAAUAUUGACGAGGCAAGCAUUCAAAGAUGGUAAAAAGGAUAUGAUCAAUUCUCAGAAUUAAAGCAAACCAAGAGAGAGCGAUCCUAAUUCAAUUCAAAGUGUCAAAUGUUGCUUAUGGUGGUAUGAAUAAAUAUUUUUAGGCAUUGGGUAGGAUAAAUAAAAACUCUCAACCUGGUUAAAAGAUAUUGAUCAAUCUUGUUUUUGCAGAGGUUUUAAAUAAAAAAUAAAAUUUUAAAUCACCUCCAAUUCAAAGCCUUACUCAUAAAUCAUAAUCAAAACUGAAGCACUUGAUCAUCAUAAAGCAUGGGUAUUGCAUAAACAAAUCGAUUACUAAAACUCCACAACUACGAUUUAGAAUUCAAGACAAUGCUCAUAAUCUAAAGUUGCAAAGACAAAAUAAAAGACAAGCAAGCCAAGGUAGACACUAAAAACACUUGCACGAUCCUUGAAUUUUAUUCAUGCUUCUUCUCACAAAGACGCUAAAGUAGCCAUGUAGGCCUAAGUCUUCCCAAAAGCUUAAGAAGACUACUACUUUAUCUACUUUUGGUUCUAAUAAAAACACUAAUCUAGACUCUCACAUGAUUCGACUCGACCAAACUAGAUCCAAAAACUCAUACGAGCGACAAUCUCCCCCCCCCCCUCUCAAAUCUACGACCUCCUCGUGGUAACCAUAUGGAGUACAAGGAAAAGACGCUUGUAAACGCACUAAUGACGCUACCCGGACUACUUGCACACGGAAUGGUUGCUGUUUCCUUUGCUUUGUUCUUCGUCAUGUUGCUGCACAUCCCGAAGAGCUUCCUCACGUUCCUCUGCAAGAACUUGAACUUGAACUUGUCCUCCUGACGGCAAUCAUUAUCUUCUGCCUUUUGAUCCAGAGCUUGUAAGGCUUGCAUGAUGUCAUUGAACGCAUCGAAGAGGUAGUGGAUGUUCUUCCUGCAAGCUGUGGAACAUGUACGAUCAUGCUCCUACGAUUCUGGCCCGUCGUCUUCUAGAUCCUCCUCUUUGCCCUUGUCUUGACGGUGGCCAUCUUGCUCCUUGCUCGUCUUCUUGCCUUCAGCCCGAUCCCAGUACGUGUUGUCAUCUUCUUCAUCAUCACGGCCUGCAGCACCCUAUGAUCCAUUGUCUAUCUUGUAUGAAAGAAUCAGAAGCUUGUUCUCCUCAGGGUGUCUUGCGCGGUGCAGCGUUUGCAAGUGCAAGGCUUGCUAGUUCUUUUUACACAUUGUAAUGUUCAUUGCAUGCUCUAAUUGUUCUACAUUUGUAAUUUCUUGGUGAAGUUUGGUUACUGAUCCACUGUUUGAUUAACUCUUGGGCCCAAACACUGUACUACUUCUGAUUAGAUAUCUGUAUCUUAACUUUGACCAAAAAAAAUAUCCGGCAGUUUUUGCCAUUAAAGUUUCAUAAAUCAUCUUGCAAAAAUCGUACUAUACAACAAGGGACGGUUUAUUAUAAAAUAUACGUUCCCCUUAUCACAUGCCACUUCCACUCAAAAGGCAACGAAUCAGUUUUCAAUCCUGAGUGAGCAAUUUGCUUUUAUUACCGAUGCCUCCUAUUCCCUUGUGCACCAAGUUCAUUUUGGAUAGGACUGCAAAAAGCGACUAACCAGCUCGGAUUCUCCACCUGCAAAACCGCAUCUGCAGCAACCAACCCCACGCGGUGGAAAAAAAAACAAAACCCAGAAACCGGACGGGGGUGGAUGUGGGGCUCGGAGCCCAAGCAAAAAAAGGAUCGGGAGCGCCGGAGCAGGCCAUCACCGGAUGUUAGAGAUAGAAAAUGGUUGAAGUUGGAGUGGAAAUCAAACAAGCCUUGGAGCAAAGGAAAAAAAAGAUCAAACCACUCAAGCAUUCAUUUGAUUUAGAAAAGAGAACAUUUGUUAAGGUGGGGAGUUGAAAUCAUCUUUUAAUUAGUUCCACGUAUCUGGUAUCAUUACAGUUGGUUGACUUGUGUAAGUAUAUAAGUAGCUCUGCCGAAGCCUUUGCUCCUAUAAUUUAGUAACUAGUACAAAUGGAUCAUUAGGAAAAUCAAGUUGCAAUCAUUUCUCAGCCAACCAAACCUAUCUAAAUCAAAUUAUUGUCCAUGCCCGGCAUGCACAGGUGCCUGCCAUGCAUGCAUUGUUGCUCCAUUGUAAUAACCAUUAUUGUCCAUUGAUGUUCCAGCGCAUGUGUGCACUGUGCAGACACCAAGCAUCGAGAUUAUGUACUAGUAAGGUACCAAGAACACGUGAAGCACACGGGGGAGGCUGCUCCACUCGGCAUGCACAGGUGGGGCACGGCACCACUACUCGUCUCCUUCAGGCAGAGGACAAGUGAUGUACGCUGAUCAACCACUAGUAGAAAAACGACUUUCCAUCCACCCCCUUUUGUCCCGGUUUAAAGUUGGCCCGGGAUAAAAGGUUCACCAACCGGGACUAAAACUCGGUCACUGGUGGGGGGCUCACCAACCGGGACCUUUUAUCCCGGUUGCAAAGGCUAGUGGGAAAAAAAGACUCUGAGAGGCCUUUUAUCCCGGUUUGAAACACCAACCGGGAUAAAAGGUGGUCUUUUAUCCCGGUUGGUGUUUCCAACCGGGAUAAAAGGGUCCCCACGAGUUAAUACAAAAGGAUAGUAUCCCCUAUAUAGUCAGAUGUGGUGUGUAGGUGGGAUGGCAAGGAAUCUCCGCCCUCUCCACCUUCGGUACUCCAUGGGAAACCAUUCCUUUGGAACCAAGGAAGCUUGAACAGUAUAACGAAUAAAGUUUCAUAUAUCCAUUUGAUUUCACAUGAAAUAAAAUAUCCUGUCAGAACCAAUGGUUUCACUGAAGCUCCAGGCAGCGAGCGAAGGGGUGAGAGAGGAUAACGCUUACUGUGUGUUACCAUCACGUGCACCAUGGAUGACCAACGCGCAGCCGAGAUGAAACGGCGGACCUAAACAGGUCCUCGCUAUUUUUGCAGGUUCUCGACCAGGCCAGUUCUUUGGGCCAACCUAUAAUUCACGAGUUAAACAUACGGUGGCUGUAGAAAUGUUCUAUUCUUUUCAACAAUACCAGCUGGUUCCUCCGUUUUUAUUCCACCAAUACAAGCACCACCUUGUAACAUUUCCUAUGUUUUUUUUCCUUUCGUCUGUUUUCUCACUACAUGCGUUGCUCUUUCAUGCAUUUUUUUCCAUUCCUGUAUUCCAAAUAGGUCUACAUGAACACAAAAUGAACUAGGGGACAGAAAAAGCCAGUGAAGUUAGUUUUGAGCUUCACCAGCUACUUGCUACAUAAAGUGUGCUAUAGUCGCAGAAAAGCUAAGCUGGAUCAGACGUGGCCGAAACCAUGCCAAAGAGCUAGGUCCCUAGCUGAUGGCAACACAUCAGAUGACUAGCCUGCUUUUUUGUAAUAAUGAUAUUGAGCAAUACACUGCAUGGCUAACCUGCUUUACAAUAAUUGUCAUUUUAUAAUAUUGGUCAUCACGAGAGAUGCACAUUGCAUACACCGGUCCAUCCCUAUAAAUAGCCAAGCCUUUCAGCCAUCUUGGGCACCUCCUCUCAGGGCCUCGUCUCACCAUUAGACAUCUCGUUCCCAGUUAUAAUUUGCGAGGUUAGAUCAGGCUGCGCCAUGGCGUCCGCAGCUGCUGUCAAGAUCGCCGCCAUCUUCAUGCUGGUGCUGACCAUGGGCCACCUGAUGGCCGAAGCAUCACCGCAGCCUCGGCGUCUGCUUGCAGAAACGGAGCAUGCUGCGGUGUCCGGGAAUCCUGGCCUCCCAGGUGAUGCUAGCGUCAUGCAGGUCCUCGAACCCGCCCUAGUUUCUCCUCUUGCCUGCAAGCCAGAGUGCACAGUCCCUUGGCCUCCUUUUGUAUGUAUCUGCUAGAUCCUCUUCCUGGAUCAACGGAACUUCAGGGAAAUGGCUGUGACGUCGGCCAAAGAAUAAAUUGGCUGAACAUAAUAUACCCCGGGUAGUGUAGCUUGGGCUUUUGUUGAGCGUCUGGUACUAGUUGUAUUUUGUUUGCUCAUGUGGCUUUGUUUCUGGUUGCAUAUUGUCUUUCCUAUCGCUCUCUGUUGCAGCUAUGGUUUCUGCCAGGUGUGUGUCAAUGCGGUUUGUAAGCGGUGCUUGUUCCUACCUUCUGUUUUCAAUAAAAGAAGUCGGAGUCUCCCUCCGACUCUUGUUAUCAGUCAAGAAAAAUGAGUUGUAUCAUAUAUAUCUGCGUCUUUUUUCUAUGUAUCUCUGGGCUGCUUCAGCUGGAAGUUUAUCGUAAGUACGUGUAUCAGGAUGAUCGUUUGAAUUAAAACGAAAUGAUAAUGUGUGGCUGCUAGAAAUGGAAUGAGCAUCUUACUAUAUUACUAAUUGGAAGCCUCCACGUGAAGCCACCUAGAAAUUCUAGGUGGAUGUUUUAAAAAAAAGAAAACCAAUAGAAGCCUCCACCACCUAGGAAUCCUAGAUGGACGCUCUAAAAAGAGAGAAAUCCUAGAAAUUCUAAAAAAAGAAAAAAAAUAAUAACAAUAAGAUUUUUUUUGCAGUCAGUUACAUAUAUUUUUUUGAGACACCGUGCUGCUAGCUCUUGCCAUUGCGACCAAUAAAGCAAGCAGAUAGUAAGAUGACAUGCGUGUGGAUUGAUUAAAACAGAUUCUGUUAGUUGAUUCUAAAUCAUAUGUAUCCUAAAAGGAACUAGAUAUGUGCGUGCAUGGUCCCUAGCGAUGACAUGUAGACAUGUAUUGCAAUUUCUUUUUUAAAAAAUAUGUCUAUCUCUAAACCAACAAACAGAAAAAAUAUCAAUCUAAAUCUAAAUCUCUUCCGUUCUCACACGCCUAUUAAAGAGAACACAACCAAUCCCAUCCAUGUUCCAUAGAAUCCAUCUAAAAGCUUGCUCACUGCGGACGGCAAAUCAACGAAAGAUCAUCCUCUCCAAAUAGCUAGACGGCAUCACCAUCUUUAUCUCACCAACCUACAGAGCUACAACGAUGUUGUAGAGAUCAACUAGGUAACCUACCAAUCACCCUCCCCUUUUCUAUAUGCUCUAAAGAACACGUGGAGUAAUUAUAGGCCUAUAGGAGCCGACUAACCUAGAUUAAUAUGAAAAAUAUUCCAAUAUUAAAAGCAAGCAGAUAGUAAUACUUGCCUUUGAGCAUUUUUCAAGAACUGUUAUUCCUAUUGAAUGUUCAAGUGCUACGGCCAGGCAUCGAAUGUCUGCACGGAACCUUCCUAUUGAAUGGUUACUCUAGAGAUCAACGCACCGCGAGACAUUGUUUUUGGAAUUUGUUUGAUUCCCCUUCUACAAUUAGAUUAAUUUUUCAUGGUAUAUAUUACUACUAUUAAAUUAUUUGUUUAUUAUCUGGCCUGCUGCAUGUGUGGUAUAGAUGACUUGCUUCUCACCAUUGUUCUCAAACUGUUAUUCCUAUCCAAUCUUUCUAUCGAAAUAUAUUUUAAUUACUUGAUUGUUGUUUGUGUACCAUAACUUCUGUAUAGAAAAAUUCCAUGUUUGUAGAUAAUGUCUUUUGUAUAGAAAAAUAGCCCAAUUAGGUCCAUCACCAUCUUUUGCUUAUGUAGUUGAACAAGUUGCAAUGCUGAACAAAACUUUAAGUGAAAUUAGACUAGGAAAAGGAAUUGUGGAACAUUAAGGCAAGGGUAACCAGAUUGUGGAAUGCAACCUUACUCAGUAGUGGCGAACAAUUAAGUCUUGACAUGAUCCUUAUUGAUCAAGAGGUAUGAUAGAUGUUCACUUUGAUUGCAUUUUUGGUAUAAUUUUUGGCUUACAAAUUAUUAAUGAUGAUGCAAAAUUAGGGAACCAUGAUCCACGGUGUUAUCAAUAAGCCCUAUAUGGAAAAGUUCAAACCAUUGAUUGAAGAAGGCAAUGUGUACAUAAUUGCAAAUGUCAGAAUCACACCAGAACCACAGAAGUAUCGGCCAGUGGGAAAUGACAGGAUAGUCAACUUCUUACCCACAACUGCACUAAAAAAGGUCAAAGAUACUGAAGACAUUCCAAAGUAUAGUUUUAACUUCAUGAGCACGGAUAUGCUUUCAGCAAGAAUAAAUGUGGACAUGUACCUAUCAGGUAAAACAUUACUGGUUUUUCAAUUUUUACACUUCCACUCAUUCAAUGACCAUCUAAUAAUAAUUCAGAUUUAUGUUUCAUAGAUGUUAUAGGUAUCUCAGCUCACAUUGGACCGAUAGAAGAAACAAGGACAAACUUCGGAUUUACCAAAAUCCGUGAUAUUGUGCUCCUGAUCGAGUAAUUCUCAUUUCUUUUGUAGAGAACAACUAUGAAACUUUCAACAUUUACAUGUAUGGUAUAGAACUUCUGUUGAACUAAAAGAUAUCUUCUACAGUGCCCCUACAAAUAAUUAAUUUCGCAGUUAGGUAUUUAAAAUAUUAAUUAUUCACUUUUAAUUUUGUGGCCAUGAAGUUAAAGUUAGAUUUUGGGGAGACAAAGUUGAGGAAGUUGAUGAUAAGACAAAAUCCCAUGUCAUUGCAAUAACAUCUACAACUGUGAGGAAAUUUGGCAGUAAGUCUUCAUUCAAUAUGAGUUAUUCAAUAUUAGUCAUUCAACAAACUAACCUCCUAGGAAAAAUAAAUAAUUGAUAUUUUAUCAGGGUAUUCUCUAUCGUCAACCAAUGCAACAAAAGUUUAUGUAGAUCUACCUAUUCCUGAAACUAAGGAUGCGCAUGAUAGGUGAGAAAAAUUAGAUAUUGUUUUUCUAUUUUAAUCUAUGUAGCAUGCACUCUAACAUGAUACAUUCUUUCGUAUGAUGAAAAAAUGUUAGUUCAAUUGAUAAUAUUGUCAAAGAGAUUCAUUAUUGAGGACCAUCUAAAAGGGAUAUUGGAAGACCAAAUGCAGUACAAUAGAAGAACUUUAGAAGAAUUAAAUUUGAUAUUAUUUGAAACAUCAAAUCAGGUAUGGAUUAGUAUGUUCAUUGUACACUAUACUAUUUAGAGACAUACAUACAUAAUGAUGGUAUUGUUCCUACUUUCAGGAUGAGGUAUUUACGAUGAGGUAUUUACUAUUGAAGCAACAAUAAAUGAAAUUAAUGCAACAUAUGGUUGGUACUACAUCUCAUGUAGUAGAGGCGAUUGUAAGAAGCAACUUGAAAAGAAGUUUCAUCACUACUAUUGCAAUAAAUGUGACAAGAGAGCCGAACCUAAAGCAUGGUAAAUUAUUUAGUAGUUUACAAUCUUAUUAUAAUACUUCUAUUUCUAAUUGGAGAAUAAUAUUUGCAAAUUCAAAAUUAAGCUUCAAAUAAGUGAUCCAACAACAAGUGCAACUUCUGUACUUUUGACAAGGAAGCAGAAAUGAUAAUUAAUGAAUGAGCAGAUUCGAUGAUCACCUCCGUUGAUCAUGAUAAUAAGUAGCUACCAAAAUCAACUAUGCAAAAAGUAGGAACAGAUCUUAAUCGGCUAUGCAAAAAGUAGUAAAUUGAGCAAUAAGAUAUAAAAAAGCUGACAGUCCUAAUUCCAAGCUGUAUAACUGGUGAUAAAACUAGAACAACAUGCAAAACCUAGAAUUCUAGUGAUUAUCGAUAACUGGUGAAUAAAUCUAAACAAAACGACAGCAAUGCGCCCGAAGUUAAAGCUUAGAUAUUACUUGAUAAGCGGAACUUAUAGAAUCGGCCGGAGAUCAAGUUGAUGCAGCCCCGCCAACCCGUACGAACUCGUGAAAAGAAGAAAAGUAUUGGCGAAGUCGCCUGCUCGAAAGUAAAGUGCGAGGAAAUAGUAGUUUGUUGUAUUGAUUUGAUGAUGAUUACAGAUCUAUGAAAGCGGCUAUUUAUAGCCAGUUACAACCAAUCUCUUAACUGACUAGGACUCUAUCUCUAAUUUUAAACGAAAACGAAUAUUUACAAGCAUAAUUCGUAUCGGAGUUGGUCAUCGUGUUCCCAUGGGCCGAUCUCCUUUUUAUCUUCAUAGCUCACUUUAGGCCCAUAUUGGCCCAACUGCUCCAACCUCCCAAUCGGCCGAUUUCCACCAACUCCAUCCGCCGAAAUACUACAGCACCAAUCGGCCGAUCCUCAACUGUAGCACCAAUCGGCCGAUUCCCAAUCGUGACCUCCGUGUUUCGCCGCAUCAGCUGAUUCCUUCCCUUCUUGACGCCGAUUUCAUACGCGUCAAAAUCUGGCAUCAACACAUGCCCCAAGUUUCGGAGUAAAACAUAAUCUUUACUUCAAAAUUCCUUUCAACUUCCCUUCCGAAACAAACGCAUUGAAAAUACCCUUCCGUUUCGCGGUCUUCUGCCUGAUGAUUGCAAUCUUUUCGAAACGGGCGCCCACGACAACCACUCCUCCUGAAAAAAUCGAACCGCCGGCGUGGUAAAAAUUCCGCUUUUACCCUUUCUCAGACCGCCCUUAGAUAUCAGUACGUCCCGUACUUCUUCUUCACGAGCCCACGUCUUCCUUCUUUGGCGCACUGACCUCCUUCUUCUUCCGGCGUCUCUUUAGCCUCUAACCUCUCACUCCGGCGAGUUCUUCCAUCUACAUUCCACCCCACCUUCCCGAUGGCAACACCUUCAGGCACUCCACCAACAUCCGAGGUCCCGGAGACGGCUCCAUCAGCAGCGGCUCCAACAGCAAUGGUGGCAGCUCCAUUGGCAGGAGCAGGAGCUCCAUCGGGCGGGAGCGGGAGCUUCAUCAACGACCACAAUGAGCUUCAUACCAGAGGUUUCUACCAAAACUUUCCUUUCCGCUCCUCUAUGUCGAUGCAUUUACCUUAGAUCAUUUCUUACUGCCCCUUCCAUUCUUUACCUGUUUAGGCAGUUAGGCACCACAUUACUAUUCGCCUCACCGAAACUCCCGGCCUUAUCUAUUUUGGUCCCAUGGGAAACCCAGAUCCAACCGACCUAAUCAAUUUGGAAACCCAUAGGAUCCCUUUCAAGCAAUCAACCAUGGACCUAGAUCACUGGUCAGGUACCUUCAGAUCAUGGCCGAAUGAAACCCCCGGCUGGAGGGAAUGGUACAAAUGGAUAGCCGCCUCAAAAAGAGUUCAAUGGGACGAGCACAAAAUCGGCCAGUGCAUCGACUUAUCUUUGUCCCAAAUGGAAAGGAAUGAGCCUUUAGUAAUAGCAGCCUCCUACUUUUGGUCCGAUGCCCUAAACGCAUUCCCCUUAGGACACGGAGCUAUGACCGCUACCCUAGCCGAUGUGGUCAUGUUGACCGGCCUUGAUAUCUCCUCUCCCGAUACUCCUUUCCGUUACUUGGCCAAAACAUCCCAUCGGCUAGAGACGAAAGGAAUCGGCGGGUGGAAAGGAUUCAUCAAGUGCAACAGAAGGGCCGGGACAGCCCAGGAAAGAGAGCAUGCGGCCUUCUUGAUGAUGUGGCUAGAAAAACACCUUUUUUGCGGGAGGGCAGCCGGUCCAUCCACUAACACACAGGCUUUGGCCGAGGCACUAUCGAUAGGUGCCUCUGUUCCUCUUGGAAAGCACCUAUUGGGAUCGGUUUACCAUAUGCUGCAUCAGAUCGGCGUCAAGCUAUCCAAAGGAGAGCCGAUUGGAAACCCAGGUGGACCCUGGUGGUUCAUCAACUUGUGGCUUAAUCUAUAUAUGAGCAAGAUCUCCCAGCAGCGAGUGGAGUACAUGAUGUUCCCCAACAUCGAAUCGGCAGAGAAUCCCACUGUACGGUGCCGGUGUACUUCCUUCGGUGAAGCGGCAUCGGCCUUCUCCGGUUGCUCAUAUUCUGCUGCCAAGGUGGCCGAAUACUUCAGAUGCUUCUACAAUGGCUUCAGCAAAGACGCAACCAGCUUGUUCCCUUAUCAAAGGGAGGAACCACUCUUCGAGCUCCCCUCCUGUUUUGACUCGGCCACCAGCAAAUUUGAUGAGGACCUCACAGAUGAAUUGAUCAAGCCUCUCGGGGAAGGAUGCCCCCACUUAUGAGUUUUACCAUCCUUCCGUCACAGCACGGCAAUUCGGCUUGGGUCAACUGCCGAUUUAUGCAUACUUCACCGGCCGAGCAAAAUUUCGAGACGAGCUCACCAAAGGUCUCCACUACUACGAUCGGAUUCCAGACUCCAGCACCAUAGACUUGGCCAGUUGGAUAGUAGCCCCUUUCGCUGUUCAGCAGUUCAAGCUAUGGUGGGUGGAAUGGAAGCAACAUCUAUUCUGCGCCUCUACGGCGAUAUAUUGUAAUCUCCUGAAUCCCGACAACAUCGAUCCGAAUGCUGAGGUAUCGCUCUCUUUCUAGCUGAUUUUCAACUCCUUUUUUUUUAUACUGACUCUUAUUAUUAUUUCAGUCUGAGAGCCAUGCUCCCCCAAAAUGCAGUCGGAGUGGUCGGUCGAUAGAGGACCGUUAUCCAUACACAACAUUCCCCCUCAUCGGCUAUCACGCCCCCUCCGUUGAUGACAUAGCCGGCCGAGCGAAGCAAGCGCAGAAAAAGAUUAUCAAGAAGACAAGUCGCCGAGUACGCGCCCGCACAGAAUCGGCCGAUCCACCCGUGGUUGCAUCGGCAGAAAUUUCGGCUACGCCGACCCUUCCGGUCGCUGAAGAAGUUGACCUCCAAGCCGCUAAAGAGGCCGGAGCGGCUGCCGCGUCAUUGUUGGUGGAAGCUAUUCAGGUAAACUCACCAUCCGAUUUUCCUGACAGUCAUUUCAAUACUGACCUUUCCUUUAUUAGGCCGUGCAGAUUGCCUCAGCAGAUCCACAGCAAUCUGCAAUGCCCCAAGCAGAAGUUGAAAUACCAGUGCCCCUUCCCGUUGAGGUACAUGAUCUCUCAACUCACUUCUUUAAUAUUUGAAUGAUGAUCCUACCAACCUUGACGCAG